UUUAUAUAUAUUAUGUAUAGUGUAGGGACCAAUUGUAACUUUAUAUUGUAUAAAUAUAUUCUGCAGUAUAUGUCUCAAAUUGAUGAGGCUUUUCCCACAUUUAACAAAAGGAAAACUAAAUUAACACCAAAUUGCCCAAAAUUAAACCAUAUAUUAUACUAAAUUAAUUCACAACAGUUCGACAUCAAUCAAAUAUUAUCUCGCACUCGAAUUCACAAAACUCACUUUCCGGGUACAAAGUUUGUAGCAUAUGACCAUGCAUUGUUUGCAACAGGGUCAGCAAGGUGGUCAGCGAGGUUCUCCAAUGGUCCCUUUCCGGUAACAAUGGCUUGAACAAAGAAUCCAAACAUAGAGAACAUGGCUAGUCUACCGUUCUUGAGCUCCUUCACUUUCAGCUCAGCAAAUGCCUCUGGGUCAUCAGCCAGACCCAAUGGGUCGAAGCUACCACCAGGGUAAAGUGGGUCAACUACCUCACCAAGAGGUCCACCAGCAAUUCUGUAACCUUCAACUGCACCCAUCAAGAUCACUUGGGUAGCCCAGAUGGCUAAAAUGCUUUGUGCAUGGAUCAAACUUGGGUUCCCCAAGUAGUCAAGACCACCCUCACUAAAGAUCUGGGAUCCAGCCUUGAACCAUACAGCCUCACCAAACUUGACACCAUUACGCGCCAAGAGUUCGGGGAAGACGCACCCAAGAGCUCCGAGCAUGGCCCAUCUGCUGUGGAUGACCUCAAGCUCACGGUUCUUGGCGAAUGUUUCAGGAUCAGCAGAGAGCCCAGCAGUGUCCCAACCGUAGUCACCGGGGAACUCACCGGUCAGGUAAGAUGGGGCUUCGCCGGAGAAUGGGCCAAGGUACUUAACACGGUCGGGGCCGUACCAUGGACUUCCUGAUGGUGCGACUUUCUUGACUGCUGUCUUCCUCAUGGAAACCCUUCCAUUUCCGGUGAUUUCUGAACCAGAUGGUGCUACUUUCACCGCCUGUCCGACGAAAGAAGAGGAUAGUGCCAUGGUGGAAGCUGCCAUUUUUGUGAGAUUUGUUUUGAAGAUGUUUUGAUGAUAUGAUAGUAUUAUGAGUGAUGAAGAUGUGUGGAUCUGGAACAUAGAUUUAUAGGGUGGUUUUUGGGCCAAGUAGUUGAUAAAUGUUUAUCUUGAUGCAAUUUUUAACUUCAUUUUGAUUGGCUACCAAGAUUUUAGUUCUAUCAGUGGGUCCAUAAUCUGCGUGGUUCCACUAUUCGAGUUCUCUGGCCCACAUGAGAUAUUUGAAGGGGCAGCGAUAUUCAUGGCUCUGUCUUAUUAAGCGAAUAUAAUGGCUAGAAAUCUCAGCCACUAGCUACCAUGCACAAACCGGUUUUUUUUUUGAACCGGACCGCUUCAAAAAUCCGGUUCGGUUCUAGUCAAUUUAGUCAAAACCAGUUUGGUUCCAAACCGGUCCAGCUUCAAAAUAAUUCAAACGUAUGUAAACUCGUUAAAGAAAAAACCGGUUCAAAAAGGGUUCAAAACCAGUUUGACGGAAAAAAGGUUUUUUUCAAUUUUUAUUUUGUUUUUAGGCUAAUAACUGAAAAAUAGGAAUUUUUUUUUAUAAUAUUGCUUUUAUUGUGUUUAAAAAAAAAGUUUCACACUAGGUUUUUUGAAAAUGGAAGUGGAAUGAAUUGGGAAUUCAUAAGCCUUUUUUUUGGUAAUACACACGUACACACGUCCAUAUGCCAAAAGGUUUUUAUUAUUAUUUUUUUUAUUUCUUGUUUAAUCUUUUGAUGUAUUAAAUUUUUUUUUUGUUUCAGAUUUGAUGUUUUAUCUUUUUUUUUUUCAUUUUUUUUGUUUUUUAUAUUGGAAAUACAUAAUACAACUUCAAACAUAAAAACACAAAACAUCCAAAUUGUCAAACUAAUACAUCUUCAAAUAUAAAACAUUGAUGUCGUCGUAGUCUUCAUUCCAAGUCCGUAGUCAUUGUAUUUAUUCGUCAUCCGCCAUGUCGUUGCGUAAUUCUCUCUCAUACUCGAUCUCUUCUAGGGUGAGUGACACCGACAUUCCCAUCGCUACUUCUUCCUCAUGUACUCGUGCUUCGACAUGCAACGAUGUGCCUUCUAGUGCUUCGAUGUCUUGUAUCCUUUCCACGCCAUCAAGGUAGUAUUUCAAGCAAAUGCACACUUCCACCGACAAAUGGGUUAGUUUUGUUCUUCUUGGUGAUAUUACCCUGCCACUAACAGAAAAACCGAUUCCGANUUACCCUGCCACUAACAGAAAAAGCCGAUUCCGAAGCUACCAUAGAAGCUUGGGAGCUUAGUAGAUCACGGGCCAUAGCGGCUAGAAUUGGAAAUUAGGUUUCCUUUCCUUUCCACCAAACCAAAAUAUCAAAAUUUUCAAACUCUUGAAUACUCAUUUCACUACUAGAAAAAUAGCCUUUUACGACGCGCGAACAACGACACGCGCUGUUUUAUGAUACACAAUAGUGUGUGCCCUAAAAAUAAUGUCGGCUCUCCAAAAAUUAGAAGGAUUUAGGGUACGCAUUUUUGCGCGCCCUAAAAUAAGUGUUACAUUAAAAAAAAACACGGAGGGCACAUAACAUAAAACGCGCGUCCACUAAGUAUGUCGCUUUAUAUUUUUUAAAUGAAAUGCGGGUCACAUUUUUUAGGGAAAACGAAAUUCCAAAAAGUUUGAAAGGCCCGCCAUGUUCCUACCUUCUUUCCACCGUUCUUCUCUCCCUUACUCAAAAUACCCAAAAAAAACCCUAAUAUACUCAUCGCUCCUCUUUUCUCCCAUAACAAACUCGCACCAUCACCAAAUCUCUGAUCUCCCACCAGCAAAAGGUCUCCUACCGAUGUCUCCACCUACUCUCUGCCCUCUCACUAUUUCUCUCAAUUAAAAACGCUAGAUCUCUCAAUCAGAGAACCAUGGCUACUUCUCCUUUCUCCCACACCAGUUGGCAAAAAGUGAGGAGUCUCGAGCCUAGCAGUUGAUAUUCACAUGCCCUCUUAAAUUGAAGGAAUCAGAACAUUGUCGACAUCAAUUCGUUAAUCAUCACUAGAGAAAUCAGAUACGCCAUCUGGUUGAUGAGUCAAGAGAAAUCACAUAUGUCAUCGCUUCAGCAAUCAUCCCUCCUUUUAACCGUAAGUUUUCAAUCUUACACUUUACAAAUAUCAUAUAAACAUCUCUCUCUCUCUCUCUCUCUCUCUUUCUCUCUCCUGCUAUACCUUGAUGAAUUAUCGCAUACAUAUGGAGGAACUGCUUUCUAAAAGCCAGCUAUCGGGAGAGUCAACAGGGUCAAUUGGGUGUUCAAAAGGUGCUUCGAUAUCAUCUUCCCGCCAGCAAAUCUCUGUUAAAGUUGUCACAGAGUAAUCCAUUUGAGUUUGGGCAUAUAUUUUUUGUUAUUAAUUUAGGGGGAGACUGUGUUCCAUGAUUUUGGUCAUGCAUUUCUUCAGCACACGCUAACAAGACAAGAUGAAGGGCUUGUUGUUGGUAUUCGUGGCAUAGAGUGGAUGCUGUUGAGUUACCUUUCCAGUUCAUGGAAAAUUGGUGCUACCGUAGGUAGGUAUAUAUAUCUCCAAUUUCAAGAUGUUGUUCAACUGCUGCAGGAACGAGGUGAGGGUGGCUGAUGAGAAUUUGUGACAGGAACUAUCCGAUUGGGGAUUCCAGCUCAAGUGGGGCAGUUGGCGCAUCAGAUCCAGCAGAAUCAGAAGAUAAUGAGGCCUUUAUUGCAAUUCUCUUCUUUUGAAUAUGAAAAGAUGCACUUUUCAGUCCUAAUCUGGGAUGUGAAAAUGAAAGGAACCCCUGUUUAGCCAACAAAACAAAGUAAAAUUCAGUUACAACACUUACCCAAAUAUAGCAUUCUACCUUUAAUUUUUCUCAUCAAGACAAAAUUGAAUCAGUUAUGAAACCGACCACAUAAAAGGCUGUUUUUCUAGAGUUGCAAUGUUAGGAAUAAAAGUCACAAUGGUAUGUGGUCGGUUUCAUAACUGAUUCAAUUUUGAUGAGUAAACAGGUUAGAUUUCAUAUGGUUGUUUGUUCAGAUUGGUAUUCAUCCUGAUUUUCCUUCAAUUAUGCAACAACUAUGCUGGAAUUUGCUAUGUUCCAUACUCGGAUUUUGAAUUUAUCGGAAAAUUGAAUAAUUAAUCUGGAAAAAUACCAUCUUUGAAUGAUUUUUUUGUCAUCUGUAGAUAAGGAAUACCAUCUUUGGGUAAUUAGUUUAUCUAGUCUACAUGAUUAAAUUAAUGGACAUAUAAUUCUCUAUUGAUAGAACAAAAAACAUUGCUUUGUAGUGAAGAUAAGGAAUACCAUAUUUGGGUAAUUAGUUUAUCCAUACUCGGAUUAUGAAUUUAGCCCACCAUCAGCAGGGGAUUGCUGAGUUUUAUGUGACCAUAAUGCCCUUUCGGUUUGUAGUGAAGAUCCAAGCAUGUAAUUAAUAACACCUCUAAUUAAUUAAUUAAUUAAUCCCCUAAAACUAACUAUGGUUAAAUUAAACUGGUGGUAGGUGCCAGUGUACAUAGGGGCACAUAUGGUCAAAUAUGUUUUAAUUAUUAGUCUAAUAUCUUUUGAUACUUAUCAAUAACAACAAAAUAAUGUAAAAUCGUGUGAAUACAAUUCAAGGGUAUAAUGGUCUAGACAGAGAUUAUUUUUAUUAAAGAUAUUUAUUUAUUAAUCAUCAGAGAAGAAGGAAUUAAUAUGAAAGAAUCACUUACUGCAAAAUAAUCUUCAAAUGUAAAAUCAACAUAGCCUAAGCCCUGAUUUUUAUUUCACCACAGGUUGGCGAGCUGGCGGGAAUAGCUUUGGGAGCAACUGUCAUGCUUAAUAUUCUUAUAGUUGUGUACGUUAUGGUCAAAAUAGUUCAGCAAGAACCUCUGUUGAAAUGAUAUAGGCCACUAAUUAUUUAAAACUAUCACUGGCUCCUCAUUAUGGUCAAAAUAGUUGGUCUGUUAAAAAUUGUGACUAUGAGCAAUUUGCCACUUCUAAAUGGGUUCUUUGUAGUUUUCCUUUCUAUAAUUCAGGAAAUAGGAUCAUAUUUUACUCUUGCAGAAAUAGUUAUGGUCUGUGAGCAUUCUUCCAGAUUGUAAGAACGUAAUUUUCAACACAACAAAGGUGAAAUUAUAUCUAUGUUUUCUUGUGUAUUUAACUUCACAGGAGCUGAAACAUGAUCUAAUUUUUUUUAUCUAUUGGUUAUGUUGAAUAUGGAUAAAAGGUUGUGGCUCAGAAAAGUGUUGGUGAUGCUUCUACAUUUGUUGAGAGUGAAUUUUCACUGUCAAAUUCAAGUUGGAUUUGGUAUGUAGAAAAAGUGUGUGUUUAGAGUAAGGACUUUUUCCUUGUUGGACUGUAAUAGUAGACCAAUAUGAUUCGUUUUAUAAAACCCUUAGACAGAUCACAGUUGGUUCUGCAAUUGCAUGGUCAGGUAAACAUUCUAAACACAUUUUCAAUUUAUUUUGUGAUAUUUAAUUUCUCCCAUAUUCUUUUAAAUUAUAUUAUAAUAUGCUUAUAAACACUACUUUCCUUUCAUGUAGCCAAAAAAUUGUCCCAAAGUUGACUGAGGUACUUUGGACAAAAAUACAAUGUUAGCUUACAUCUUUAUUAGUUAAUAUAAUCAAAUUUCUAAUUUUAGGUGCUAACUGAUACGCGUCCGCAAGUUCAGUCUGCAUGGCAGACAACACUCCAGCAGGUUUGACUAUAUUCUUAUGGGUUGUGGCAUUCACAUUCCCAUAGUGAUCUUGAUAAAGUUGCUUCUAUUUCCAUGCUAAGUUGGCUUUUAUUUGUAAUAUAGGAGGUCCAAAAUCUUGCAAAGAAGGCUGCAGAAACUGUGGUGUUGGUAAUUGAUGAUGAAGGGACUGAGUAUUUGAUAUCAGAACUUCUCAAGUUGCUUCUAUUUCCAUGCUAAGUUGGAUUUUAUUUAUCUUACUGUUUAUUAUCAUUUUUUAUAUAAAAUUUCAUCAUUUAUAUUAUAUAUAUAGUACAUUAUAGACUUUGCAUCAUAAUUUGUUGAAUGUUACAAGAUAUAAUUCAAAAUUCAAUUUCCUCAUGUUGUUGCUGAAAUGACAGCAAUUGGUUUUGGCCUACCAAAGAAUGCAUUCACCGCUUUAAUGAAGAAUGUAAGUGUUUAUUUUUCUUUUCUGUUUGGUGAAAAUCAUCAAAUGACAAUCUCAUUAUAUAUCUUAGGAUCUUAUCAGUUAAUAAACUUGAUCGUGGGUAUGAUCAAGCAUAGGUUUACAUUUAUACCCCUGCUUUUAUCUUUUAUCUUUUAUGUUAUAUAAUUAUAUUCCCCCUUUUUUUAUCAGGUUAAUUUGGUGGUUAAUUAUGAUCUUCCUAUAAGACAUGAUCAUCAAUCUCACUACAAGAAAAAUACCCUUUUACGACGCGCAAAACACGACGCUCUUUGAUUUAUGUUACGCAUUAGAGAGCGACAUUAAAAAAGUGUCAUCUCUUAAAAAAUUUUAAGGAUUUAGGUCGCGCAUUACUGAGUGCCCUUAAAUUAGUGUCUCAUGUAAAAAUAUUAAAAACACGGAAGGCACUUGUGCGUCGUCUGUGAAUGUCGUUUUAUAUUUUUUUUUAAGAAACACGCGUCUCGGAGGGAAAAUGAAAUCCCCAAAUUUUUUAAACCCCCACCUUUUUCUCCCUCGUCUCCACCCCUCAUCCACAUCCACUACCUCCGAUCCUCAUUUCCUCUUCUAGCCUCAAACUACGGCGAUGCACCUUCCUUCUCGAAGAAUGCUUCAUUUACCACCAUCGUCCGAUUAUGUGAGCCCAAGGAAUUGACCAAGACGAAGAAGAUAAUGGAUCAAUUGCUUCACAUCAUGUUUAAGGUUAAGGGUUUGAGUUAGUCCGCAACAGGUAAUCGAAUUUUGCCUAAUAUAUAUUUCUACUCUCAAACUGUUUAUUCGUCCGAUUGGAUGCAUAUUUACUAUUAAAUUUGGGGAUUUUCUUUUAAAACCCCCGCGCCUCUUCUUGUUUGUAGCUAAACAACCGUGAAUUUGUUAGAGUGAUUGGAAGAGGAAAAAUAGAAGAUAGAAGAAAAAGAAGAAGAAGAAAAGCGAACAAACGGGAUUUCUUGACCUGAUGUGUUAAUCCGUGAUCAGGUCUUCUGAGCGAAGAGAAGAUCUGAGGCUCAAUUGAAGAAAUAUGAGCGCUUCUAGAUUUAUAAAGUGCAUCACAGUCGGUGAUGGCGCUGUCGGGAAGACUUGUCUCUUGAUUUCCUACACCCGUAACACCUUCCCCACGGUAAUCAUCUCUUCAUCAACCGCCUUCAGUUUCUGCCCAACUAAAGCACGGUUACACACUUAUUUCUCUUCGGACGUUUCUGUGGCUUCCAUGGGAACGGAGGAGGAUGAUAUAAAUGAGGCAACAACUUCAUUCGCUACAUGUUUGAACCUUAAAUUGAAGGGAUUAUAUAUUGAAAUUUGAAUCUACAACUUCGAAUUUCAGUCAUCUCUCUUCUCUUCUACAUCUCACCUGAUUCUCUAUUGAAAUUUCUAGGGUUUUUAAUUGAACCUACAUCUUCAUCUUAAUCUUCUUUUCUGAAGUUAGGGCUUUUUUCUUAAGAACAACUAAUUUUUUGCAGUAAGUAAACCUCUAAUUUUUUCAUUUCUCAUUUCCUUAGACCUCUCCCCUUUCCAUCUCAUAUCGAGGCAAAAUCAAUUUCACUUUGGUGGCUUCGAUUUCCUAGCACAUAUUAUGUUAUUAUAUGGAUUUGUAGGAAAUUAGAAAUCAUGUUAGAAUGUUUGAUGUUCUGUAUGUUCAUAAAAGUACAUCUAAAACAAAAAUCUUAGAUUAAACAAAACUGAAGCAUUUAAUGAGAUGUAAUUACUAACUUUUGUUGGAGAUGCAAAUGCUAAAUAAAGAAAACUGAAGCAUUAAAUGAGAACCUUUAUAAUUCGAUUUCAUUCAGAUCUUCGGUGGAUAUUUAGGGCUAACAAAGAAAACUGAAGCAUUUAAUGAGAUGUAAUUACUAACUUUCGUUCAAGGUAACCCCUGUUAUGAAUACAUGUAAGAAUUUAUUUAUCUUUUUCUCUCACCACUUGCUAUCCAUGUGCUGCUCUCUCAUAGUUGAUAUCUAACAACAAAGACCUGAUCAGUCUAGUUUGCUUGUUUUUUUUCUUUUUCUUAUAAUUCUUGAAUACGUGCAGAUUUUUUAAGACUUCUAGUUUUGUUUUUUGUUCAGUGAUAUUGAUGAUGAGGCAAGUUUAUCAACACUAUGGGAGAGAUAUCAAAGUGUCUCUGAAAAGGUAUUGCGAUAUCAAAGCAUAAAUUAUUUAUGGAUUAAAAUGGGAAAAUGACUUAUAUGGGUAAGAAAGUUUUAAAAACUUUUAAAAAUGACUAUCAAAGUAUUGUUUGUAUAAAAAACACCAACCAAGUUUACCAUUUUGUCAAAUCUAACAGGUUGGUAACCUGCAUCUGCCGGUCAAAAAAAAUUACCUGAUCAUUUUAAAAACUGAAAUUAUAAAUGACAUGGCAUCCUUUUUUAGUCUUACGUGGAUUAAUUGCAAGGGAAGAUCCAUUUUCUCAGCGUUCUUUCUCAAAAUCAGGAGGGAGUCAACACAGAACCCUCUCUAGGGUUAGUUUCUGCCCCUGUAUACAGUUAUUUUUGUUUAAAUUGACUGAUUUUAACAGUUGACGAAUAUGCUCCUGCUUUGGGCUAAUCACACAUAUGUCUUUUUUAUGACCAAAUUGCCCCUGUAUAUAGUUUUUUUUUGUUACAAUUGACUGAUUUUACCAGUCAAUUAAGGUGUUGUUUAGAAACUGUUAGUAUCCAAGACCAUUUACAUGCUCGUGCACAAAGACGAAUUUGCCCUUGAUUGUGACCAAACUGCCCCUGUAUACAUAUUUUUUAUUACUAAAAACACCCCCUGUCCUAGAAAAAUAUGACACUUCUAUACAAAAGCUAAUACCAAUUUCUCACUACAAAUCAACUAAUAAGAAAAGAAGUGGGCAACUCUCUAAAAUGACCAAAAUUUGAAUUGCAGUGUCACAAAUUGACAAUUUUUUAAAGCUAUAAUGAAAUAAUGCUUUGUUUUGUAAAAUAUACAAAAUCCGUUUGUUGUUGUGUGCAACUAAUCCACAAACAUUUACAUAAUUCUCGUUAGUGUACUUUGCAAAGUGGUGCUGAAGUAAUUUGGGCAACAAAAGUACAUAUAACUAUAUUAAUAUUCUCUAAAUAAUCAUAUAUAAUGAAAUAAUGGUUUGUUUUGUAAAAUAUACAACCCAUACUGUAUUUUUGAUAAAAAAAAAUAAUGAUUUUAAGAGAUUUUGUCCGAAAUACCCUUAUAUACUCUUUUUUUUGGUAAAAAAUUAAUGAUGUAAUAGUUUUUGACUAAAAUGCCCGUAUAUACUAUUUAACAGGUUUGACCCCAUCUGAAUUAUGAUUCAGCUUAAAAUUGAAUGCCAUUUUGACAAUUUUAUUGCUUUUAAGACUAUUUACUGCUGAAAAUAUGUCAAAUUUGUUACAUUUUGCUGCUAUAAAUAGUCAAAAAAUAACUAAAAGUCUACAAAGAUUCAAGGUAACAGUAAAUAAUACUGGCAUUUCCAGCAGCAAAUCUUCAAUUGCAGGGACUAAACUUUGUCAUUUUUAGCAGAAAACUUUAUCAACCAACAAAAAGAGGUUAAUAAAGAAUCUAAAUGGCAUUCCAUUGUAACAGCAUCAAAACACGACCUGCACUCAAAACCCUCCAAAAUAGCCCCUACACUCAAUUGUAACAGCCCCUCUGUUGUGAUUCCUUUAACUGUGACCAAAUUGCCCCUCUAUUGUGAUUCCUUUAGAUUCAAGGUAACAUUGUUUUAAGUGAAAAGAUCAUUUCAUAACUUGUUUACAUAAAUUCUUUCUUAGCUUGUUUACAUAAAUUCUUUUUCUGUCAAUUCCUUUCAAGACAAAAAGAAAGAAAGCAGGAACUUAUAGCCAUGCAAGUAAUUUCAUUAUUUUUCUCAUUAACGAUUGUACUUCCUUUGCUCUUUCUUGCAUAAUAAUAAACAGAUUUAAAGAGGAGUGGAGCCAUAUGACCACCUGAUGCCCCCAAAUCAAUUUAUUUGAGCUAGAUUUGAACGAUUUACAAGGAGAAGAAGAAAAUCAAUUGUCAAGAGGAGAGGAGAUGUAUGACCACCCACCUGAUGCCCUAAAUCGAUUUAUAAUAUGUAUUUUUCAUUUAAUGCUGAGUAGAUGUGCAACACACUACCUAAAUAUGCCAACUAAUCAUUACUUUUGCCAACUCAGCCGUUCACCUGGAGAUCCGGUUACCACCGGGUCAUAUUUGAACAAAAGAUAAACUUCGUUGGUAUUUUUUGUACGACGCCUAUAGUUAAAUGGUAUUUUUGAACAACUAAAACUUCAAUGGUUUUUUUUGAAUGUUUUUGAAACUUUCUUACCCUUAUAAGUCAUUUUCUCGAUUAAAAUUGAACUUUUUUCAUACAUUACCUAACAUUGACUUGUCUUAAUUUGCAGGCAGAAAUACAAAAGGCUUUUCAUAUAUUUCUUAAACAAUUUUUUGUAAUAUACAAGAAUUGGGAGCCAUUAGAUUUAGAUAAUUCCAUAGAACCUUUCAUUGAUUCAAGGGAUCCUCUUUCUGAAAAAAAGAUUGCAGUGGCAUCAGAAGGCAGUCAUAUCAGUGAUGGAAGCUGGUGGUCUUAAUUGGUUAGUAGGUAAGGUAUGCAUCUUCAGAUUUAAUUUCUAUUGAGAACUAAACACAUUUGAAUAUCUGAGAACUAAACACACUUGAAUAUUUAUAAAUGAUGCACACAUCCAAAGGGAUAAUAGCAAUGUUUCUAAUGGCGUCAAAUAGACCUGAUUGUGACCACUAAUGGUUCAUCAGGUUUGUUGAUUUUUAUUUUAUUUUAUUUGAAGUGCAUUAUCUGGUUUAAUAUGAAAUGAUUCAUGUUGAAAUUGGUUUCUUUUGUUACUCCAUAAUACUUGAUAUCUUAUUUUUUGCAUGCAGGUGCUAACAAAUAUGGUGUCAUUAUCAUUGUUGUUGUUGUUGUUGGAUACGGAUAUGUUUGGUGGAAGGUAAAUAUAAGCUCAUAUAUUAAUAUUAUUACUUUUUACAGUUAACUUGUACAUAGUUUUUCUUCAACUAACAGAAAUGGUAUCAUUAACAGGGUUGGAAACUUCCUGAUAUGAUGUUUGCUACAAAAUGAAGUUUAUCUGAUGCCACAUAUGCUUUAGCUAAAUAGAUUGACACUGUUUACUCAUCACUUGCAGUAAGUUAUUUAAAAACUUUGUUAUUUUUUUGUUAUUAAUUUGGGUUGUUUAUUAUGUUGUUUAGGCUACCAAGAGACAUUUAUCUACAAGGAUUGACCGUGUUGAUAGUAGUUUAGAUGAGGUUGCAGAAAUUACUGCUGCUAAAAAAGAGGAGGUAUGACAAGAUAAAGGUUGUUCUAGAUGUUUAAUCUAUACAUAAUGCGGUUUACACCCUGGUGUGGUUCUUUUCCAUUUUGUCUUGUGACUUUGAUAUUGUUUUCUGAGUUGGAUAUGUGGUAUGAUAAAUUAUUUUUACAUGAGAGUAGGCUGAGUAGGGUUGAAUUGAAAUAGGUACUGAAUAUUACCGUUUGACAUGCGAUUUUUUCUAGCUUAAUGAGAUAUUUAUAACAAAUAAUUUUGAAUUUUUGUUGUCUUUUGUAGGGAAAUCCAUCAAGUUCAUCAAGGCCAGCUCUUGAAUUACCAUAGAGAGUAAACUUCUAAUCUUAUACAAAUACAAUGAUUUGCUAAAUUCAAGAAAUAACAAUGCACUUUUAUUUAUUACUUUUAUUAAAACAUCCUAGUUUAAUUUCUAGCUUAAUGAGACAUUUAUUACUUUUAGCAGAGAUCGAUAUAUAUAUGAGCUUUUUGCUUUCAAACAUUGUUGGGGAAGAAUGUUGAAACUUGCUCUUUGUGAAGGUAAUUUUUUUUCUUAAUGCAUUAUCCUCUAUAUUCUUGAUAUUUUUCCCACUUUUUAAAUCUUUUAUCAAAUUCUCACUUUUGGAUACAGUGCUUGAUGAGAGAAUGUGUGACCUAAAUCUUUUAUCAAAUUCUCACUUUUGGAGUUGGCCAUAAGAAAAUGUAGGCAAAGGGUAAUUUGUUAUAGUUCAGGUUGACAAGGUGCUGUAUUUUUCACAUAAUUGACAAGGAGCUGUUGUAUCUAUUCAGACUAGACUUAGAGCAAUGGUUGCAAGAGAUGAGUUCAGCAGAAAAAGAAACAAGGCUGCAACUAUAGUUAAGGUACUAUGGAUGAAUUAUGUUUGUAAAGUAUUUAAGAAAAUGAUUAUAAACAAGGGUGAAUUUGUACAAAUUAGUUAGCUACUUGCANUGAGUAUUUGAUAUCAAAACUUCUCAAGUUGCUUCUAUUUCCAUGCUAAGUUGGCUUUUAUUUAUCUUACUGUUUAUUAUCAUUUUUUAUAUAAAACUUCAUCAUUUAUAUUAUAUAUAAUACAUUAUAGACUUUGCAUCAUAAUUUGUUCAAUGUUACAGGAUACAAUUCAAAAUUCAAUUUCCUCAUGUUGUUGCUGAAAUGACAGCAAUUGGUUUUGGCCUACCAAAGAAUGCAUUCACCGCUCUAAUGAAGAAUGUAAGUGUUUAUUUUUCUUUUCUGUUUGGUGAAAAUCAUCAAAUGAAAAUCUCAUUAUAUAUCUUAGGAUCUUAUCAGUUAAUGAACUUGAUCGUGGGUAUGAUCAAGCAUAGAUUUACAUUUCUACCCCUGUUUUUAUCUUUUAUCUUUUGUGUCAUAUAAUUAUAUUUCCCUUUUUUUAUCAGGUUAAUUUGGUGGUUAAUUAUGAUCUUCCUAUAAGACAUGAUCAUCAAUCUCAACCUGACCAUGAAGUGUAGUUGCACUGAAUCGGAAGAGCAGGGUGAUUAUGGGAGAUGUUAAGUAGUUAUAGGGCUUUAGAUGCUUUCCCUUUGGGUAGGAAAUGUUUUUAAGACAUGAUCAUCAUUCUCUACCCCUGCUUUCCCUCUGGUGUUUAUCUCCCAUAAAACCCUAAAAUGUGGAUGUGCUAAAACUGAAGAAAUUAGAAGACACAUACUGGAUUUUAGCAAGUCGGGUAAGUUUAAAAAUAUCUUAAUACGAUAUUGAUUAGAUUACACAACAUGUAAUGUAGAAAAUAUCAUGAAUAUUUAUGAUCAAUAUUCAACUUUUGAAAAUGUAUCCAGUUUGAUGUUUAUCUAUUUGACAUUUUUUUGAUAGAAAAUGAGAAUACCGGAGAAGAUGAACCACAAAUUUACAUUGAAAUGAUCAAUGGAAUUAUCAAAUCCCUUCAGGUAUCAUCUCAUAUCACUUGCUUAUGAAAUUUAUUCAUCUAUACUUGAAAAGAUAUAUUUAUUUUUGUGUUGUUUCCAGGCUAUCCUUGAUGCAGUUCUCAGCACAACAAUUAUGAUUUUAUGAUGUUAGGCUAAACUAUAAAGCAAUCAUUCUUUGUUUUAGGAAACGUUUCAGAGCUUCUUUAGGCAGCUUAAUGAUGAGUUAUUGAAACAAAAUGGUGCCCCUUUAUAGCAAUGUAGUAUUAGGUUAUAUAGAUAGGAAAAACCUCUUAAUAACAACGUACAAUUAGAUCCCCUUAAUAUCAAUGUAUUACAAUUUUAUGACAUGAUGUUAUUGAAUGAAAUUGAUUGUGUAAUGGAUUGUAUUUUUUGUAUAUGGUAUUUUAUUUUCUAUUAUGAGACAUGAAAUGCAAAUUUAAUUUGAAAAUUAGUAAAUCUAUAAAUAAUUUUUAAAAAAAAUAAAAUAAAAAUUAUGAUACGCAAAAAUGUGUGUCAUCUUCAUUUAUGACAUGGCCUUUCUUGACAGUGGCUUUAAUGAUACGCAUUGCGUGUCAUAAAUACGUGUCGUCUAUAGACGACGCGCAAAAGCGCGUCGUCUCUCGUUAUGACAGGGCCUUCCUUGACGCGCAUGCGCGUCGUCUGACCGUUUUACGACUCGCAAUGAGCGUCGUAAAAGGCAUUUUUUCUAGUAGUGUUUGAGACAAGAAAUCAGAACCAAUGUACCUUCCGAGCUCGCUACUUGGCGCGUUAGACCGAGCUCGUUUGGAAUUUUCAUUCCUCAAAGUAUUAUAAAGCCUAAUUGUUUCGUUAUUUUAGUGAAAAGUGGAUCCGGGUGCCCCCAUAUUUUGCAUCACGUCAUGAAUGUUUGUUGAACCAUAUUUUGUUAAAUAAACUUCAAAUAAAUUUUGAAAAACUUUGUUAAAUUUUGAAACUUCCUUUGAUGCAUAAUCAAUGUCAUCAUCCAAUAAACCCAAAUCGUAACAAAUAUUUUCAAUUAAAGUCUCAACCCCCCCAACAUUUAGAGUUGGAUUCAAAGUGGCGGAACAAGUAAUAAUGGGAGCCAUUUCUUGAAAAUAUUUUUUUAACUUUGCUUUCAUCGGUUUCAUCAUAUUAGCAAACAUUGUGCUCCUCAUUUCAAACUCAUUUAUUUUCGCACACAUUAAAAAAAUUUGGUUUAAAACUAAACAACUUGUAGGAUAAUAAACCCCCGAUAAAAAAGUGGUUGUUUUUUUUUUAAAAAAACAUCAAGCAUGUCUGUAACAAGUUUGAUAGUAUCCCAACUUGAUUCCGGAUAAGCCGUAACCUUAUUACGGUCCGAAGGUUGUCAUGUAACAUUUUUAAAGUAUGUUUUUGACGUAAGGCACAUUCAAAAAUUUUGCAAGUGGAGUCCCAUCGGGUAUUAUUUUCCCAAUUCAGACCUAAAAAGAGGGCAUUCGCAUCGACACAAAAUUGCAUAUAAUUAUGAUAUCGAGCGUUACUAGAACUAAAAAUAUCUUUUAGCAUGUCUUUGAAACCAUCUUUUAUAGUUUCAAUGUGAGUUAGUCCAUCUUGCACAACCAAAUUAAUCAUAUGUGCAACACAUCGACUAUGAAAAAUAAACACCAUCACAAAUUGGUUUAUAUUUUAGUUUUAGUUGUCCAACCGCGACGGUGUUGUUUGAAGCAUUAUCAAAAGAUAUAGAAAAAAUCUUUCCUUCAAGUUUAUAAGUUUUGAUCACACAAUCUAAAAUUUUAAAUAAAUUUCUAUCGGUGUGCGGGUACUCAAACAAUUCAAACGUAAUCGUAUGCUUUAUCAUUACCCAAUUAGUUGGAUUAAUCCAAUGAGCGGUAACACAAAGGUACGCAUCCGGUGAACCGUCAGGAGCCGUCCAAACAUCACAAGUUAAAUUCACACCGGUUUCUAAAGAUUGAAAUCCUAAAAUCAAUUCAUUUUUUGCAAGUUUCCACAUUUCAAUACAAUCGCGUCUAAUAGAAGUACGACUCACAUGGCAAUAUCGUGGUUGGAGAGUAUCUUGGAUGAGUGAAGUCAAUCGUUUGUUGUCGAAGUGGUCAAAAGGCAAGCAUUCUUGAAUCACGAACUUCGUCAUCCUAUCCCGAACUUUAGCCAUAUCGUAACUCCACAAUGUUGCAUCAUUCGUCAUUCUUGUUUGAAUAUGUCCCGACCCAAAUUUCACCGUGGGGCAUCUUUUGGUCAUAUGAUUUUUCAAUGUCGAAUUCUCAUCUUCAUUAAAAAAAGCACCACAUUUCUUGCAUUGCGCUUUUUUAUACCGUUCGACAUUACACACAAAUCGUAGUUGCACAAAAUAGCCGGAUUUCUAUUUGUUUCUUUGAUGCUAACAACGGUAAGAGUGUUUGAUGAAUCUCGAACACCAACGGAAGCCGAAUCCAUUGUUUGAAUUAAGAGUGGUUUUUGAACUAAGAGAGGUUUGCGGUUUUUGAACUAAGAGAGGUUUUUUGAGGUUUGGUUAAGGUAAAGUUGAGACCUAAAAAUGUAAUACAUAUAUAUAUACUAUAAGGAAUAGUUAAUAUGGUAAAAAAGAAGCAAAAAUCGAGUCUUGAACAGCCUCAAACGACUAUAUAGCCGUUAGGAAAAGACAAAAAAACGGUAACAUUACAAAAACCGGUUCACCAACGGCACUUUCGAAAUCUGGUUCAAAACUGGUUCAUCACACCUGUUCAGAAUAAACCAGUUCCAAACCGGUCUCCAGGGUAAAACAUGCGAACUGGUAACAUCCGAUGGUUCGGUUCACUAUGGGUUCGGUUCUUAUGUGAACCGGUUCAAGGCUAAACCGGUUUCCGGUUCACCAACCGGUUCGGUUCCUAAACCAGUUUUUUUGCCCACGCCUACCACUAGCUAGUCUAGGUGGGCUUUUAGUACGGGGGUUUUCAUGAGGAAUAGGUUGAAAGGAGUGUUGGCAUCUCACUGCCGUCAUCUGUUACCAUUUCAUAAGGAGUGGUAGCAUUCCUAGCACAUUAGAUUUUUUUUUUUUGAUUUUUUUUUUUGAACUUAAAUAAAUUAUAUUUUUAUAAAACACAAACAAUUCAAUAUUAAUCAAGAAACUAACUACAUUUUAUAGAUAAAUUUACCUUAUUUAAACAAGGAUUAAUAGAAAGGUCAAAUAAAAUUUAAAUGGUUAACGACAUGCUUAAAAUUUUACAAAUAUAUUGAUUUUGUAACGACACAAUUUUCUACUCUAUCAAGGUAAAGAAACAUUUAUGUUAAUAAUAAAGUGACACUUUAAUAUAUAUCUUCAAAUAAUUAUUAAAAAUAAAUAAUACUAUAAAAAAUUACCAAUACUAUCUAGAAACAAAAACCACUCACAGCACGGAAUUUACAAAACAACCAUCCAACUUCCUUAUUUUUUUGAAAGAGCUUUUACGAUCUCCAUUUCCAUUUCCUUUUUUUCUUAAAAUUACAUCUUACAUCUUCCAAUUUGCUAUUAUCAUUUCUUAAGUUUGUGAAAGUAGACUAUUCCACAAAACUACUCCUCCAAUUGUGUGAAACACGAAGCAAAAGCGAGACCUUUGAGCUUUUUCUUAAAAAAUAAUCCUUGUUUGAGAUGGAGACCACACCAUUGAUGGGAGAAAUGAAGGUUCUAGAGAACGAUUGUAAGAGGAAGAUUAUUGUAUCCACAGGCCAAUAUCCAACAAAUCUCUUUCUCUUUCUUCUCGCUAUGGUGUUGACGAGCCAUGGCUGGCGACUUCCUUGGCGCAAGCCAGGGGGCGGCCUUCAGCGCCCUUGGCGACCGGUGGCGACCUCCAUAGCGAGGCCCACUCCCUAAAGCCUUAUAACACACCAUUUAUUGACCAAGUUUACCCAACAAUGCAUCCCAAUUCAUUAGAUUUGUCUUAUCAUUAUACUUUUUAUACAAUUUCAUCAUUUUUCUAUAAUAUAUUAAAACUCUAUGAAAAUUCAAAAGAAUAUACUUUUGAAUUUUCAUAGAAUUUUAUUAUAUUAUAGAAAUAUGGUGAGAAUCCUAGAUGCUUUUAUCUCUCUUUCAGACUUAAAAGCCAGUAUGCGUUCAAUAAGUACGUGGCCAACUCCGGACCUAGCUUUUGCGAACGUGGGACGUUCACUUCGGAUAGCCUCGAAAUGAGUACCUCUUACUUUAAAAAUUUAUAACUUUGGCAUACGAGCUCCGUUUUCGACAUUCACUUUCAUUUAGACUCUGUUUGCUAAUUUUGAUUUUUAUUUUUAAAUUUAUAUUUUUUAACAGGCCGGGACUGGAAAAGCCCGUUAAAAAUUCAUAACUUCUUCAUCCGACGUUCGUUUUCGUAUGACUUUUUACCAUUAAACUACUAUCGACGAGAUUUUUGAUUCUCAUUUACAUUGUGUUGGAUAAAAAUCGCUCGAUCUAUACUUCGAACUACGGGCUGCACAAUGUUAUGCCAAAUCUUAGAAAAUUCAUAACUUCCUCAUACGAAGCUAGAUUUGGAUUUCUUUUUUAUGCACGCUCUUGGUUUAACGUAUACUACGAUUUUCAUUUAGAUUGCUAAGGCUAAAAAACACUUUAUCGUAAACUCACUUUUCACGUCACACAAUGUCAUGUCAGUUUUGUCGCGAAACUUCGAUAUGUCAUAAAUUCUUCGUGAUCAGGGCCGAUCUUGAAAAAUGAAAUAUUCUUGGAGCCCCAGGACGAGCAAGAAAAAAAUGGCCCUUAUCUUUAUUAUAAUUUUGUAAUUUUAAAUAAAAAUAUAUAAUGAAAAAAAUUAGGCCAUGUGCAGCUGCCCACUUUGCCUCCUUCUAAGCCCCCAUUGUUCAUGAUAACUCGGAUUUCAGCGUUCUUUAUAUUUCUGGAGUCCUUGUCACGACCACUACAACUUUCUUCAUAGAUAUCGGGUUUAUAUAACAUUUUAUUUUUGACGCUUAUUUUUAUUCUUAAUUAAUUAUAUCAUUAUAAACAAGUAUAUAAUCACAUAAAAUCACGUAAUUCACAUAAUACUCAAGUAAUUCAUCUUUAUUACAUUAAAAUAGGUUACAAUGGUUGACCUUGACUAUUACAUCAUCAUACUAAUGUGAAACAACCUAAAAUACGACCCAAUUUUUUUUUUGUUAAAAUAAUACUAAAGAUAUCAACCAUCAUAAUAUAUCAUGAAAUCGUACGUCAUAAAUCCCCAAAAAGUUAUAAUAGAUAUGUCAUGACAAAAGAGUUGUAUCAACAUACCAUAGUAUCUAAAAUAAACUCCCAGGACAAAAGUUGAAACUGUGGUGUGUGCAAUGUCAUCAUCCUGAGCUCUUUCCUUUGCUUGCGGAAAUACCUGAAACCAAAACUGAAACUGUAAGCACAAAGCUUAAUGAGCUCCCCCAAACUACCACAUACCAUACAAUAGCAUAUACAACACAUACUAGGCCUUGCCCACUGCAUCGGACCGAAGUCCGGAAAUUGCAUCGGACCGAAGUCCAGAACUAACCAAGGCCUUGCCCUCUGCAUCGGACCGAAGUCCGGAACUACAUCAGACCGAAGUCCGGAAACUAACCAGGGCCUUGCCCUCUGCAUCGGACCGAAGUCCGGAACUAACUGCAUCGGACUGAAGUCCGGAACUGACUGCAUCGGACCGAAGUCCGAAAUUGUCUGAACAUAACAUAUCAUAAACAUCUCAACCAGUAUGAACACAUAAACUGCAUAUCGCAUCAGACCGAAGUACGAAACACAUAACACAAAUACAUGCUUGAAUCACAAAGACAUCAAGCAUUCUAAGUACUGCAACGGACGGAGGUCCGAAACUUCUGCUAACUAAACCGACCGGCAUUGUAGCCGUAGACCCGUUCCUACUGGAAGGAAAACUCACCUCGUAAUGCUGGCUGCUGAGAUGCUAACUCUAAAAGUGACUGACCGCUGCUUCGGAACUGUCCGACUACAAAUCCCAGAAACACUAGAUUAGUUACUUGCAUAUACCCUCAGGGUAAGAUGACUAUUUUGCCCCUGGUCAAAGUCAACUUCUAGUUGACCGGACUCGCCGACUAUGGGCGCAGAACCGCCGAGUCCCUCCUUUACUAACUCUGACUUUAACUCACCGAGUCCCUUUCCCACUCACUGACUCUCUCUGAACUCGUAGGUCGAAGAAAAAAGGGGACUCACGACUCGACUCGUCGAGUCUGAAGAACAACUCGCCGAGUCCUGCCGUGCAUAUUCCAAACAAACGAAUUCAAAACUAUUCCAGAGCAUCUGACUUGAAGAUCUGAGCCCUUGGAACUAUCUAAACACGUGAAGUUUCUAACUUUACGUGCAACUAAGAAGGAAUGAAGCUAUUUCACUCAAACACUACUUUUCUUGGGAAAACUCAUCCGACUCGCCGAGUUGUAUGAACAACUCGUCGAGUCUAAGGUGAUCUUCAUCGGACUCGCAGAGUUGCUCAUCAAACUCGUCGAGUCUACGACUAUCUUCAUAUGACUCGCCAAGUCACACAUGCGACUCGCCAAGUCCAUUCAGUCCCUUUUUCCAUACAGACCUGAUUUGGGCCAUGCAGUGGCUCCAAAUCACAGAUCCAAGAUUCUAGGGCAUGCUUAUCACGUAAAUUUGCAAACUUUACGUGCAUGCAUGGCUUUAAAGGCUUCAAAUGCCAACCCUAAGCUCUUAAUGGGGUUCCAAGCUCAAGAGGGACCUCAAUCACGACCAUAACCGAAACUUUACUCUUCUAGAAUGCAAUGAGAGUCUAGAUCUGAUGUUUCCAUAAAAGGGGAAGUCCAUCUCUCAAGUUUGAACCAUAAGAGGCUCCAAAGAGGGCAUAACAAGCAUAUAUGAGGUUAUAAUGGGGGAAUGCACAAGGUCAUAACUUCAUUACCUGAAUGAAAAACAGAUGUAAGCUAACUCCUAGAUUUUCCUUCCCUUCUAUGGACCUUCCUUCCUUCCCAAAGCUUCCAAGCUAUCACAAAUACCCUCAAACUCAACAAUGGGGCUAGGGUUUACAAGGGAAAUGUUAUGAGAGUGAUAGAGGCGAGGUUGGGGGCGCAUAAGUGUGUUUAAAUAGGGUGAAAACCCUUAAAAUUAGGGCUUCAUCCAGACAGGCGGACUCGCCGAGUCCAACGUAUGGACUAGUCGAGUAGCCAUCUCAAAACGCGUGAUCGUCCCGUCUCUACUUGACGAGUCAGGCUACAGACUCGUCGAGUACCCCUUCAGAAAUGAAAAUACUUUAUUUGAAUUACAUACCAGAAAUGGGGCGUUACAACUCUCCCCCACUUAUCUUAGACUUUGUCCUCGUAGUCUGCUGCUGCUGCUGAAAAUAACUCUGGGUAAUGCUCCCUCAUCUCCUACUCGGACUCCCACGUCCACUCUGAACCCUUUCGGUGCUGCCACAACACCUUCACUAGCUGAACCACCUUGUUCCUCAAGGUCUUCGUCUUCCAAUCUAUGAUCGCAACUGGUCUCUCGAUAUAAUUCAGGCUGCUAUCAACCUGAAUAUCCUCCAAGGGUACAACUGCUGACUUGUCCACCAAACACUUUCGCAACUGGGAAACAUAGAAAGUGUUGUGGAUCUGGCUAAGCUCUACCGGAAGAUCCAACCGAUAAGCAACCCGACCCACCCGGACCAAAACCCUAAAAGGGCCAAUGAACCUGGGACCCAGCUUGCCUCUCUUCCGAAACUUGAUAACACCCUUCCAAGGUGAUACCUUCAGGAGGACCAUAUCGCCCACCUGAAACUCCAAGUCCGAACGCCUCUUGUCGGUGUAACUCUUCUGCCUACUCUGUGCAGUCUGCAGUCUACUACGAACCUGCUGGAUCAACUCUGUGGUCUUGAGCACCAUUUCAGUGCUCCCAAUGACUCACUGACCAACCUCGCCCCAACAAAUCGGAGUCCUGCACUUCCUUCCGUAUAGCAUCUCGAAAGGAGGACGUUUAAUACUAGUGUGGUAACUAUUGUUAUACGGAAAUUCCGCUAGUGGGAGAUACGUAUCCCAACUACCACCGAAGUCUAGAACACAUGCCCGGAGUAUGUCCUCGAGAGUCUGAAUUGUCCUCUCACUCUGCCCGUCCGUCUGGGGGUGGAAGGCGGUGCUAAAAUGAAGACGAGUCCCCAUCUCGUCAUGAAACUGCUUCCAAAAUCUGGAAGUAAAACGGACGUCUCGGUCUGACACUACCGAAACAGGCACUCCGUGCUGUGCUACUACCUCGCGUACAUAGAUGUGGGCUAGCUUCUUAGCCGAUAUGCUCUCCUAGAUCGGUAUAAAAUGUGCGCUCUUGGUCAGCCGAUCCAUUAUGACCCAAAUCGAAUCCACUCCCCGUGCGGUCCUGGGAAGCUUGGUGACAAAAUCCAUGGUAAUGUCCUCCCAUUUCCAUAUGGGAAUAUCUAACGGCAGCAUCUUGCCGUGGGGUCUCUGGUGCUCUGCCUUGACCUUCCUGCAGGUCAGGCAUCUCCCCACAUUCCAGGCGACAUCCUGCUUCAUGCAGGGCCACCAAUAGUCGGGUCGAAGAUCUCUGUAGAUCUUCGUUGCCCCUGGGUGGAUGGAAAAUCAAGAAUUAUGAGCCUCGUCCAUCAAUACCUGCCAUACUCCGCCCCAGUACAGUACCCAAACCCUCCCAUGGAGGGUCAACAAUCGUUAACUGUCAUAAUCAAAGGAAGCUACUCGGUCCACGAUUCUCUCACACUUCUGCCUCUCCUCCUUGAGGCCCUCGACGUGUGCCUCCCUGAUCUGCUCCAACAAGGGAGUAAUCACUGUCAUCCUCAAGCAUACAUCCCUGAUCGGGGCCGCUGCCGUCUUGUGGCUCAGGGCGUCGGCCACUACGUUGGCCUUCCCCGGGUGAUAAAGGAUCUCACAGUCGUAAUCCUUCACCACAUCUAACCACCGACGCUGCCGCAUGUUAAGAUUCGGCUGGUCCAUGAGGUACUUCAGACUCUUGUGAUCCGUGUAGAUGGUGCAACGGACCCCAUAGAGGUAGUGUCUCCAAAUCUUGAGGGCGAACACCACUGCCCCCAACUCCAAAUCAUGCAUCGGAUAGUUAGCCUCGUGAGACUUCAACUGUCUGGAGGCAUAAGCUAUCACAUGCCCCCGUUGCAUCAACACUGCCCCCAUAUCUGCGAUCGAGGCAUCACAGUAGACUACAAAAUCAUCCACUCUCUCCGGCAAGGUCAGAAUCGGUGCCUCGCACAAUCGCUGUCUGAGAGUCUCGAAAGUCGCCUGCUGCUCAGGCCCCUAACGAAACACCACCGACUUCUUGGUUAGUCGGGUGAGUGGAACUGCUAUCUUGGAGAAAUACUGAAUGAAUCUCCUGUAGUACCCUGCCAAACCUAGGAAGCUCUGAAUCUAUGAUGGAGACUUUGGGACCUCCCACUGCAUCAUGGCCUCUAUCUUGGCCGGAUCUACCAGUAUACCCUUCUGGUUGAUGAGGUGCCUAAGGAAUUGCACCUCGCGCAACUAGAACUCGCACUUGGAGAACUUUGCUAAAAGUUUCUCCCUCCUCAAGACCUCUAGCACCUCCCUUAGGUGCUCCUCGUGCUGCUCCUGAGUCUUGGAAUAAACCAAGAUGUCAUCGAUGAAUACAAUCACAGACCGGUCCAACAUCGGCAUGCACACGCGGUUCAUGAGUUCCAUGAACGCGGAUGGAGCGUUGGUGAGCCCAAACGACAUCACCACAAACUCAUAAUGACCAUAACGGGUCCUAAAAGUUGUCUUCUGAACAUCCUCACCCCUGACCCGCAUCUGAUGAUAACCGGAGCGCAAAUCAAUCUUGGAAAACCAAGACGCUCCUUGAAGCUAAUCGAACAAGGCAUCUAUCCUCGGAAGUGGGUAACGGUUAUUCACCGUUACCUUGUUCAACUCCCAGUAGUCUAUGCACAUACGGUGCGACCCAUCCUUCUUCUUCACAAACAAGAUUGGGGCUCCCCAUGGAGAACUAAUUAGUCUAAUGAAACCCUUGUCUAGCAGCUCCUGCAGCUGCGUAUACAACUCCUGCAUUUCUGGAGGAGCCAACCGAUACGGCGCCUUGGCUAUCGGAGCCGCACCAGGAACCAAGUCAAUCUUGAACUCAACCUGUCUCUCUGAAGGUAUCCCAGGUAAUUCCUCUGGGAAUGAGUCCGGGUACUCUCGCACCACUGCUACAUCAUCUACUGUCAUCGUACUCUUAUCCCGGGUAUCCAUCACAUAUGUGACAUAACCUGCUUAACCCUGUUGGAAGUAGCGCCUCACUCUCACUGCUGAACAAAGAAUCGGUCCGCGUUGUGGGCUCUCGCCCUGAAUCACUAACUCUCCCCCGUUGGGAGUGCGAACCCUCACUAGCUGCAAUUCGCAAUCAAUCAUCGCCCCAUUGGGGCUCAACCAAUCCAUGCUUACUAUGGCCUUGUUCCCUCGCAAAGGAAUAGGGACCAUGUCCACCGAAAACUGCUCAUCGAAUAACUGCAGUGAGCAUGCCUUAUGCACCCUCGUGACCCUGACGGUCCUAUCAUCGGCUAUCUCCACCUCGAGUGGACAAUCCAGCUCCCUAGGAUCUCUGCUAAACCUCUUGCUAAGUGCAAGAGAGACAAACGAUCGGGUAGCCCCUGAAUCAAAUGACACUGUAGCUGAAAUGUCGUUCACUAAGAACGACCCUAUACAUAAACAUAUAACAUUAGAAACAAUCAAUAAUCAAUGCAUAGAUAAAAGGAAAAUACAUACCCGUCACCACGUCAGGAGUCGCUCGCGCCUCCUCUGCUGUUAUCUGAAAAGCUCUACUCUUCGCCACUGGCACCUCGGCCCGCCCCUGACGACCGUUCGUAAUCCUCAAUGUAGCAGGGGCAGGUGCCGACACCUUCCCUGCUGCUGCUAAGCUUGGGCACUGGGACUUUUUAUGUCCCCUCUGAUUGCAAUGGAAGCAAAUCAGAUCUGAUGCUGCGGUAGCUGUGGUAGAAACUGUACAAUCUCUGCUCAUAUGCCUAGUCCAACCGUACUUGUAGCAGCCGGAACUCCCUGCCUUGCACGCCCCAUCGUGUAAUCUCCCACACUUGCCACACCGACUGUGGCUCUGCUGACCUCUGGACCUAUGAUCCGAAACCUUGGGCUUCUUGCCCAAACUCCCUGUACCCGAAGCCGCCUCCGCCUUCCUCUUAUUCUCCAUCUCAAGAUCAAUCUCUCUCUCUCUCUCUCUCUCUCUCGCCCUUGCAAUCAUAUCAUCCAGCAUCUUACAGCUGGAUCGGCUCACAAACUGGCGGAUAUCACUCCGCAGCGUCUCAUGAUAACGGGCCUUCUUCAUUUCCUCGUCAGCUGCGUACUGAGGAACAAGAAGAGCCCUCUCCCUGAACUUGGCGGUAAUCUCCGCCACUGUCUCUAUAGUCUGAGUAAGGUCUUGAAACUCUCUAGCUAACUGUUGCACCUCAAUAGUCGGUGCGAACUCGGCUCUGAACCUGGUGGUAAAAUCAGCCUAAGUCAUAGUAUCAAGUGCUAUGUCAUCCCUGAUACCAUGCCCAACCUCCUCCCACCAGUCACAUGCCCUAUCCUUCAGGAGACAGGAUGCUAAUCUGACCUUGUCCCCUUCGGGACAUCUGCUAGUGCGGAACACGUUGGCAACAUCUGCCAACCACCUAGUGCUCGCAAUGAGGUCCCGCACCCCAUGAUAGCCUGGAGCUCCACAAGCCCGAAACUCCCUGAAGGUGAGUGUGCGCGACCCCAUCAUGGCCGCCAUCUCAGCACGAAAUGUGCUCAACUUCUCAUCCAUCAACUCCAAGAUACCCUCCUUGAUCGAACCGAAGAUCACAGGACUCUGCUCAAGUAUGAUACGGGUAACCUCUGAAGUGAAAAACUCCCUAGUUUGCUCAUCCAACUGCUCGGCCCCCCAGCCUGAUCCUGAUCCUUCCUCGGCACCUGAGCUGCCGACUGCUGGCCUAGGGCGUAAAACCACCAUUCUGAAAACACAUCAUGAUAAACGUCAAAAACACUGAUAUAUCUCUAGGGAUCGCUACUACUAUAGGUUUCCUGGUCUCGCCUCUGCCUUCCUUGAUUCAAGUACAAAUCCUCAACAAAAACCAGUCCUCAACUGCUGAAGGCCUCCUUGUAAUGCCAAUUAGUCAUCACCUGAAUAUCAUCACAUGUGACGAGACUCAGAUAAUCCUUCGAGUAAAAGACUCAUUCCUACAACGGAUGGACUCAAACAAGAGCUGCGCAGUAGAGCCAAAUCCAGCACUCUGAGAUUAUUCAACCCUGAUCUCAGGCGAUGUGUCGUAUUCACCUAAUGGUUAACUCUCAUUACCCGGAGUCUCAUAAAGCACAAAGCAAGCAGCAUUCGGACACAGGAAACUAAUCAAGCCACUCUAUUCUCAUAACAAGAAAUUGUACUAGCAUACAAUGUUAAGCUCGUACUGUCAGGCAUAACCUAAACAGGCUAUCCUACUGCUGUCUACUCAAUACUAGCAUGCAGUUCUCAUAAAGCUGAAGCACAUAUAGCAUGCACAUAAGGCAUCCUGCUAGAUCCUUAGUCCUAUUCUAGCAUGCUGUUCUACUGAAACUAAAACUGAUAAUCAUAACAUAAACUUGUAUGGGUAAUUUAGGGGUACUUACUUGAGCUCGACUGAUCGCAUGCACCACACCCUUUUCUCGUUUUCAAAACUCUUUUCUUUUUAAGUCUCUUUCUCAAAAGUUCUUUUGAACACAUUUUUCUUUCGAAAAUCUUUUUUCUAUUUCCUCAGUUUGAGUUCAGUUACACCCGUAAGUGUGUCUGAAUCCCUCAAACCAAGGCUCAGAUACCAACUUGAAAUAACCCAAAAUACAACCCAAUUUUUUUUUGUUAAAAAAAUACUAAAGAUAUCAACCAUCAUAAUAUAUCAUGAAAUCGUACGUCAUAAAUCCCCAAAAAGUUAUAAUAGAUGUGUCAUGACAAAAGAGUUGUAUCAACAUAACAUAGUAUCUAAAAUAAACUCCCAUGACAAAAGCUGAAACUGUGGUGUGUGCAAUGCCGUCAUCCCGAGCUCUUCCCUUUGCUUGCGGAAGUACCUGAAACCAAAACUGAAACUGUAAGCACAAAGCUUAGUGAGCUCCCCCAAACUACCACAUACCAUACAAUCAUAUAAAACACAUAUUGGGCCUUGCCCACUGCAUCGGACCGAAGUCUAGAAAAUGCAUCGGACCGAAGUCCGGAACUAACCAGGGCCUUGCCCUCUGCAUCGGACCAAAGUCCAGAACUGCAUCGGACCGAAGUCUGGAAACUAACCAGGGCCUCGCCCUCUGCAUCGGACCGAAGUUCGGAACUAACUGCAUCCAACCGAAGUCCGGAAUUGUCUGAACAUAACAUAUCAUAAACAUCUCAACUAGCAUGAACACAUAAACUGCAUACCGCAUCGGACCGAAGUCCGAAACACAUAACACAAAUACAUGCUUGAAUCACAAAGACAUCAAGCAUUCUAACUACUGCAACGGACAGAGGUCCGGAACUUCUGCUAACUAAACGGGCCGGCAUUGUGGCCGUAGACCCGUUCCUACUGGAAGGAAAACUCACCUCGUAAUGUUGGCUGCUGAGAUGCAAACUCUAAAAGUGGCUGACCGCUGCUCCGGAACUGUCCGACUACAAAUCCCAGAAACACUAGAUUAGUUACUUGCAUAUACCCUCAGGGUAAGAUGACUAUUUUGCCCCCGGUCAAAGUCAACUUCUAGUUGACCGGACUCACCGAGUCAGGGCGCAGACUCGCCGAGUCCCUCCUUUACUAACUCUGACUUUAAUUCACAGAGUCCCUUUCCCACUCACUGACUCUCUCUGAACUCGUAGGUCGAAGAAAAAAGGGGACUCACGACUCGACUCGUCGAGUCUGAAGAACAACUCGCCGAGUCCUGCCGUGCAUAUUCCAAACAAACGAAUUCAAAACUAUUCCAGAGCAUCUGACUUGAAGAUCUGAGCCCUUGGAACUAUCUAAACACGUGAAGUUUCUAACUUUACGUGCAACUAAGAAGGAAUGAAGCUAUUUCACUCAAACACUACUUUUCUUGGGAAAACUCAUCCGACUCGCCGAGUUGUAUGAACAACUCGUCGAGUCUAAGGCGAUCUUCAUCAGACUCGCCGAGUUGCUCAUCCAACUCGUCAAGUCUACGGCUAUCUUCAUAUGACUCUCUGAGUCACGCAUGCGACUCGCCGAGUCCAUUUAGUCCCUUUUUCCAUACAGACCUGAUUUGGGCCAUGCAUUGGCUCCAAAUCACAGAUCUAAGCUUCUAGGGCAUUCUUAUCACGUAAAUUUGCAAACUUUACGUGCAUGCAUGGCUUUAAAGGCUUCAAAUGCUAACCCUAAGCUCUUAAUGGGGCUCCAAGCUCAAGAGAGACCUCAAUCAUGACCAUAACAGAAACUUUACUCUUCUAGAAUGCAAUAAGAGUCCAGAUCUAAUGUUUCCAUAAAAAGGGGAAGUCCAUCUCUCAAGUUUGAACCAUAAGAGGCUCCAAAGAGGGCAUAACAAGCAUAAAGGAGGUUAUAAUGGGGGAAUGCACAAGUUCAUAACUUCAUUACCUGAAUGAAAAAUAGAUGUAAGCUAACUCCUGGAUCUUCCUUCCCUUUUAUGGACCUUCCUUCCUUCCCAAUGCUUCCAUGCUAUCACAAAUACCCUCAAACUCAACAAUGGGGCUAGGGUUUACAGGGGAAAUGUUCUGAGAGUGAUAGAGGCGAGGUUGGGGGCGCAUAAGUGUGUUUAAAUAGGGUGCAAACCCUUAAAAUUAGGGCUUCAUCCAGACAGGCGGACUUGCCGAGUCCAGCGUAUGGACUCGUCGAGUAGCCAGCUCAAAACGUGUGAUUGUCUCGUCUCUACUCGACGAUUCGGGCUACAGACUCAUCGAGUACCCCUUAAUAAAUGAAAAUACUUUAUUUGAAUUACAUACCAAAAAUGGGGCAUUACAUAAUGCUUAGCCCAGAAACACGGACGUUACACUUCUCUCCUCCUUAGGAUGAUGCCAUCCCCAGAAUCAUACAUCAACAAACUAAUGCGGAUAGCGACUCAUCAUGUCACUCUCCAUUUCCUAGGUGAGAUUUGACUCAUUCGUAUGUUUCCGUCGCACAAGUAGUAAGUCAACCAUCUUGUGACGCAACUUCUUCGUCUUAUGGUCAACAAUCGCCUCCGGUUCUUCAACUAGCCUCUUAUUUUCAUCCAUCCUUAGCUCAUAAAUUAGAAUUAUGUCAGGAACUUCUCCCAUGAAUUUCCUCAAAUAACUCACAUGGAAAGUGUUAUGAAUAAUGUCUAGUUCUUCUGGUAGUUCUAGCUUGUAGGCUUGGUUCCCAAUCCUCUGAAGAACUUUGAACGGUCCAAUGAAUCUUGGACUUAACUUCCCUUUUUCCCGAAUCUUAUAAGUUCCUUGUAGCACCUGGUUCCUGGUAUGUAAUUUAUUUAAAUAUUUUGCAUUUUUGGCCUUGGACUCGGCAAGUUGAAGGACCAACUUGCCGAGUAGAAGCGGGAUGGGACGUGGGAUUUAAGUGAUGGACACGUCGAGUCGGGUCCCGGACUCGACGAGUAGGCUCUGACUGAAAAACCCUAAUCCGAGGGUUUGCACCCUAUUUAAUCAUCUCAUUUUCCCCUAAUGCUCCCAGAAACCCUCCCUAGUAAACCCUAAGUGUUUUGGUGCAAGAUCUAAGGCUUUUGAGUGAUUUUUGUGGGUUUUGACCUCAAGGAAUAAGGAAGAGCAUAGAAGGAUCAAGAGGAGACUGAAGGAUUAGAGUUUGGUGCAUCAUUUUCAGUCCUUGAAAGGUAUAAAUUAUGUACCUUGCUUGUUCAUUUGUUAGAUCCUUUUUUGGGGAAGAUUUAGGGCUUCUUAAGUCAUAUGAGGUGGCCAAACAUGGUUGGGGGUCAAGACUUCGGAUCUAAGUCUUGGAAGGAGUCCCAAAGCAGAUUUGGGUUGCUUUUGCACCCAAGGAAGGUCCCAUGCAACAUAAGAGCCAUUUUAGAGCCUUUUUGGGUCAAAAGUCCCAUGCAUGCACGUAAAGUUCGAAACUUUACGUUCUAGAUCGAGCUUAGGGCUUGGAUCUAUCUUUUUGUCAAAGGUUGUACAUCAGAAAUCGAGGAUUUAGGGUGUGGAUGUUAUCGAAUCGGCGAGUCAGUUCUUGGGACACGACGAGUCCAAAGCAUAGGGUCUGUUAUCUGUUGAGGGUCAAAAGAACCCAGUUGGGUGUUAGAAGGGUUGUAGAAGGUCCGAGAGAGUGACCCAACGUGUUGGACUUAGCCUUAGACUUGGAAUUCAUGGGACUCGUCGAGUGCUAGAACAGACUCGGCGAGUCCAAGGCAAUCUCCUUAUCGAUGAAGAUGAACUCGACGAGUUGUUCAUACAACUCGGCGAGUCGGGGUCAGGACUUGUUCAUCAGAUGAAGGUGAACUCGACAAGUGUUCAUCCGACUCGGCGAGUCGGAUGAAGGUUCAUUGAUGUUCGUAAAGAAAGGGAACUCGUCGACUUGUUGCCAAACUCGACGAGACGAGUCGUGGAUAAGGACGAGUAAAGGAAAGGGACUCGACGAGUUNAACUCGGGGAGUCGGGUCAACUGGAAGUUGACUUUGACUUGGACUUGGUUGGGGGUAAAAUAGUCAUUUUACCCCAAGAGUAGAUAUUAGUUUUCUGACUGAGUAUUUUGUGGGGAUUAUAGCCGGAGGAUUUCCGAAGCAACAGCAGGCAGAGGUUUCCUGCACAUAUUAUCAGCAGCUACUUGUUCGAGGUGGGUUGCCUACCAGUAGCGGUGGGUCUACGACCACAAUGUCGGCCCACCAAUAGGAGUUGUAUAAUUAUAUGAUUGUCUUUGUGAUAUCAUCUAGGUUGCUUCUACCUGAUAUGUUAUAUGCUGGCAUGAUAUGUUAUAUGUGAUAGUAGUAGAGUUCGGUUGUUAGGACCGAAGGGUAGGUCAAACACCCCAGAUAUGUAUGACAGUAUGUGAUGAUAUGUUUAUAUGCCGACAUGACAUGUUAUAUGGGAUAGUGGUAGUAGGAGGGGAACAGUCCCCAAGUUCGGUUGUUAGAACCGAAGGGUAGUUCAGACACCCCAGAUAUGUCUGAUAGUAUGUUUAUGUUAUGAUAUAUGUGAUAGUAGUGGUACGUGUGGAAUAGUCCCCGAGGGUCGGUCUUUAGGACUGACGGGUAGGUCAGCACCCCAAAAAGACUUGACAGGGGUAGGACGACACCCCAGAAUGGCCGCACGGGUAGGUCGGCACCCCAGAAUGGCCGUACCGGGUAGGCCGGGCACCCUAGAAUUGCCUGGCAGUAUGUAUGCUAUGUGAUUGUAUGGUAUGUGGUACGAUGGGGGAACUUACUAAGCUUCCUGCUUACAGUUUACAGUUUUGGUUUCAGGUACCUCUUCAACAAAGGGGAAGGAGCUGGCGCGGUAGCGGCACAUCAUACACACAUGUUGGUUUCCGCACUAGUGUUUCUUGGGUCGUUACAAGUUGGUAUCAAAGCCCUGAUCUGAGGGAUUCGGACACACCUUGGGGGUGUCUGGACUCAAAUCGAGGGAUUAAAAGACUUUUACAAGAAAAAUGGUUUCUUAAAAGCUAAGAUAAAAGAGUUUUGGGAAAGAACAAAGUGUGUGAUGUGCGCGACCGGCCGAGCUCAAGUAAGUAUUCCCCAAAGUACCCAUACAAGUUUAUGUUAUGUUUAUCAGUUUCAGUAGAAUAGCAUGCUAGAAUAGGACUGAAGAUCUAGGAAUGAUGGCUUAUGUGUCUGCUUUAUGUGCUCCAGCUUAUGAGAAUUGCAUGCUAGUAUUAAGUAGAAAAUAAUAGGAUAGUCUGUUUAGGUUAUGCCUGGUAUUAUGAGCUCAGCAUUGUAUGAUGGUACAACUUCUCGUUAGGAGAAUAGAGUUGUUUGAGUAGUUUCCUGUGUCCGAAUGAUGCUUGCUCAGUGCUUGUAGGACUCUGAAUGAUGGCCGUUAGCCAUUAGGUGAGUACGUCGCGUCGCAUGUCAUUAGGAUUGAAUAAUCUCAGAGUGCUGGAUUUGGCCCUAUUGCGCGGCUCUCGUUUGAGUCUAACCGUUGUAGGGACGAGUCUUUUACUUGAAGGAUUAUCUGAGCCUUGUUACAUGUGAUGGUAUUUAGGUGAUGGCUAAUUGAUAUCACAAGGAGGCCUUCAACAGCCGAGGACCGGUUUGGGUAGAGUCAGAGAUUUUCCCUAGGGUAAGCCUACGAUGAGAGUAGCAGAGAUCAGCAGUGGAAAAAGGGACUUGGUGGAGUCGAGGCCGUCCUUGAGGAAAGUACGGAUAGAUAUGGAAGGUAGUAUGGGCCCGUACUACAGAAAGCAGAGGAUCCGUACUCGAAUUAAGGAAGGCUAAGGCAAGACCAAGGAACUUGUGAUGGGUGUGAUCCCUAUAGAUGUACUAGUAUCACUGACGGAUGUCAUGAUGUAUUGCGGAAUGGUGGUACUAAGGCCAAGGCCAGCAGUGGGUAGCUCAGGAGAGGGAUCGGGUUCGGGUUCAGGCUCCGAACCAGUGGACGAGAGGCUACGCGAGUUCAUCGCGUCUAAGAUCACUAUAGGCAUCCUUGAUGCGACCCCGAUCAUCUUUGGGUCGAUCAAGGAAGGGAUUGUUGAGCUGAUGGAGGAUCGCCUUAGGGCGCUCAGGAGUGACAUGGCGACCAGCCAGUCAGGAUCCCGCAUACUAUCCUUUAAGGACUUCAGGGGCAGUGGCGCGCCGGACUUCCACGGGGAAAAGGACCCCAUUUCUGCUAGACGAUGGAUUGCGGACAUGGAGUCUGCACAGCUGACAAGCUUCUGCCCCGAGGGGCCGAAGGUGAGAUAUGCAGCAGGGUGUUUGAGAGACAGAGCUAGAGAUUAGUGGGAGUCUGUUGUUGACUCCUUGGGAGCCUCGGCUGUUGAGGCUAUGACCUGGUUAGACUUUGUGACCAGAUUCAGGGCGGAGUUUGCGCCAGCUGUAGAGCUUCAGCAGCUGGCCAGAGAGUUUUUGGAUAUGAGACAGACUACGGAGACUGUGGCGGAGAUCACCGCCAACUUCUGGGAGAGGGCAUUGCUUGUGCCCCAGUAUGCGGGAGAUGAGGACAUGAGGAUGACCCGCUAUCAUGACAUGCAGCGAGCCGAAAUUCGGGAGCAUGUUAGUUUUUCAGCUUGCCCUACCCUAGAUUCCAUGAUUUCCAGAUCAAGGGAGAGGGAGAUCGAUCUAGAACAUGUCCAGAAGAGGAAGGUAGAGGAGGGGCAGACGAUUGGGGCUUCGGAGAAGAAGCCUAAGGGAUCAGAUGGUAGGCCGAAAGGCCAGUCAGGACCAGGCCACUGCAGGAAAUGCGGCAGGCCACAUGAGGGGGCGUGUAGAUUGGGAUUGUCGGGCUGCUACAAGUUCGACAAGACGGGGCAAUUCAGCAGAGAUUGUACCGCCCCUACACCAGUUAUUCAGACGUCUGAGUUGCUGUGUUUUCAAUGCAACCAGAGGGGCCACAAGAAAGACAACUGCCCCCAGUUAACAGCAGCAACAGUGCCAGUGAAGGCGCCAGGUCUAGCGACCCUGCGAAUUACUGAUGACUGGAAGGCCAAGGCUGAGGCUCCAGUGGUGAGGAGUCGGGCCUUCCAGUUGACUACCGAGGAGGCACGCGCUGCACCCGAUGUGGUAACAGGUAUGACUUCUUGUUUAUGCUUUUAUGAUAUGCUGCUGUGAUUUUGAUAUGUUAUGUAUGUGCUCUGUUUAGGAUCGUUCCAUGUGAACGGUAUCCCAGUUCAAGUAUUGUUUGAUUCGGGUGCUACCCGAUCAUUUGUCUCUCUUGCGCUUAGCAAGAAGUUUCCUGAGUCUUCGGGCAUGUUGGAUUGCCCUUUAGAGGUUGAGAUUGUAGACGACAGGUCGGUACGAGCAUUAGAGGUCUUCCGAGAUUGUGUUUUGAGGUUGUUCGAGGAGCGUUACAUGGUAGACUUGAUUCCCAUACCCUUGCGGGGGAACAAGGUUAUUAUCGACAUGGAUUGGUGGAGCCCCAAUAGGGCGGUGAUAGAUUGCGCACAAUAGUUGGUGCGAGUCAGGACCCCAGGAGGGGGAGAUUUAGUGAUUUAGGGUGAGAGCCACAGCGAGGGCCAACCUUAUGUUCGGCAACGAGGACAAGGCGUUACCUUCAGCAGGGUUGCGCCGGAUAUGUCGCUUAUGUCAUGGACACCCGGGAGGAGGGAAAGGCGACAGUGGGCAAUGUGCCUGUGGUACGAGAGUUUGCGGACGUAUUCCCCGAGGAGUUGCCUGGGAUACCUCUGGAACGAUAGGUGGAGUUUAGGAUCGACCUAGUCCUUGGUGCGGCUCCGAUAGCCAAGGCACCGUAUCGGUUGGCUCCUCUUGAGAUGCAGGAGUUGUCUACACAGCCGCAGAAAGUAUUAGACAAGUGAUUCAUUAGACCUAGUAGUUCUCCCUGGGGAGCCCCGAUUCUGUUUGUGAAGAAGAAGGACGGGUCGCAUCGGAUGUGUAUAGAUUAUCGGGAGCUGAAUAAGUUAACGGUGAAGAACCGUUACCCACUCCCGAGGAUUGAUGACCUCUUUGACCAGCUACAGGGAGCAUCUUGGUUCUCCAAGAUUGAUCUGCGUUCAGGGUAUCAUAAGAUGAGGGUCAGAGAGGGGGAUGUACAGAAGAUAGCGUUCCGGACGCGCUAUGGCCAAUAUGAGUUCGUGGUGAUGCCUUUCGGGCUCACCAAUGCUCUUGCCGCAUUCAUGGAUCUCAUGAACCACGUGUGCAGACCAAUGUUGGAUCGGUCCGUGAUAGUUUUCAUCGAUGAUAUCUUGGUUUACUCCAAGACACAGGAGGAGCACGAGGAGUAUCUGCAAGAGGUUCUAGAGACUUUGAGAAGGGAGAACUUGUAUGUUAAGUUCUCCAAGUGUGAGUUCUGGUUGCGCGAGGUGCAAUUUCUCAGACACCUUGUCAACCAGAACGGGAUAUCGGUGGACUCGGCCAAAGUGGAGGCCGUGAUGAGAUGGGAGGUUCCAAGGUCUCCAUCCGAGAUUCAGAGUUUCCUAGGAUUAGUCGGCUACUAUCGGAGAUUCAUCCAUGAUUUCUCCAAGAUAGUCAUACCCCUGACCAGGCUAACGAGGAAAGUCGUGGUUUUUCGUUGGGGGCCUGAGCAGCAGGCCGCAUUCGAGACAUUGAGACAGAGAUUGUGUGAGGCACCAAUCUUAGCCCUAUCGGAGGGCAUAGAGAAUUUUGUUGUGUACUAUGACACGCCCAUUUCAGGUUUGGGCGCGGUACUGAUGCAGAGAGGGCAUGUCAUUGCCUACGCUUCGAGGCAGCUGAAGCUUCACGAGGCGAACUACCCGACGCAUGAUUUGGAGCUGGGGGCUGUUGUGUUCGCCCUUAAGAUUUGGCGUCAUUACCUCAAUAGGGUUCGCUAUACUAUCUACAUAAACCACAAGAGUUUGAUGUACCUCAUGGAUCAGCCGAAUCUAAACAUGAGGCAGCGUCGGUGGUUAGACGUGGUGAAGGAUUACGAUUACGAAAUCCUUUACCACCCGGGGAAGGCCAAUGUGGUGGCCGACGCACUUAGCCGCAAGGCAGCGCCGAUCAGGGAUAUUUGUCUGAGGAUGAUAGUGGUGACCCCGCUGUUGGAGCGGAUUCGGGAGGCCCAACGGGAGGCCAUGAAGGAGGAACAUCGGAAGAGCGAGCGGAUUGUGGGGCAAGUUUCCUCCUUCGAUUAUGAUAGCCGAGAGCUGUUGACACUACACCGUAGGGUGUGGGUGCCGUACCACGGGGGUGUACGCCAGGUUCUGAUGAAGGAGGCGCACAAAUCUCGAUUCUCCAUUCAUCCCGGGGCGACGAAGAUGUACAAGGACCUUCUUUUGGACUAUUGGUGGCCCUGCAUGAAGCUGGAUGUAGCAUGGUAUGUGGAGUGGUGCUUGACCUGUAGGAAGGUCAAGGCCAAGCACCAGAGGCCACAUGGAAAGAUGCAGCCGUUGGAUAUCCUGCUGUGGAAAUGGGAAGACAUUACGAUGGAUUUUAUCAUAAAGCUUCCUAGGAUCGCUCGGGGAGUGGAUUCGAUAUGGGUCAUCGUCGAUCGAUUAACCAAAGAGCGCCCAUUUUAUUCCGAUCCAGGAGGGAAUUUUGGCCGAAAAGUUGGCCAACAUCUAUAUCAGGGAGGUGGUGGUGCGGCACAGGGUGCCGGUAUCGGUGAUUUCAGACAGGGACGUGCGGUUCACUUCCAGGUUUUGGAGGAAGUUUCAUGACGAGCUGGGUACUCGUCUGUAUUUUAGCACCGCCUUUCACCCACAGACGGAUGGUCAGAGCGAUCGGACCAUCUAGACAUUAGAGGAUAUGCUGCGAGCAUGUGUUUUAGACUUCGGAGGUAGCUGGGAUACCUACCUUCUGUUGGCGGAAUUCUCGUAUAAUAAUAGCUAUCAUACGAGUAUUAACCGUCCUCCCUUCAAGAUGUUAUACGGGAGGAAGUGCAGAACCCCAAUAUGUUCGGGUGAGGUUGGCCAGAGGGUCAUGAGGAGCAUCGAGGUGGUGCUCAAGAUGACAGAGAGGAUUCAGCAGGUCCGGAGCAGACUUCAGACUGCUCAGAGUCGGCAUAAAAGUAAUCUUGAUAAGCGCCGAUCAGACCUGGAGUUCCAGCUCAAGGAUAUGGUUCUCCUAAAGCUGUCGCCAUGGAAGGGCGUCAUCCGAUUUAGGAAACAGGACAAGUUGGGCGCCACGUACAUUGGACCGUUCAGAUUCUUAGCCCGGGUGGGCAAGGUAGCAUACAGGUUGGAUCUGCCAGCCGAACUCAGCCAGAUCCACAACACUUUCCACGUCUCCCAGCUGCAGAAGUUUCUGGUGGACGACUCAGCAGCGGUACCCUUAAAAGAUAUUCAGGUCGAUGACAGCUUGAAUUACAUUGAGCGGCCAGUAGCGAUCCUCAACCGGAAGUCGAAGGAACUGAGGAACAAGAGGGUUGAACUAGUGAAGGUGCAAUGGCAACAUCGGAAGGGCUCAGAAUGGACUUGGGAGCCAGGGGAGGAGAUGAUCGAGCAUUACCCAGAGUUGUUCCAGGAACGAACAGCAGACUUCGAGGACGAAGUCUAAAAUAAGUGGGGGAGAUUUGUAGCACCUGGUUCCUGGUAUGUAAUUUAUUUAAAUAUUUUGCAUUUUUGGCCUUGGACUCGGCGAGUUCAAGGACCAACUCACCAAGUAGAAGCGGGAUGGGACGCGAGAUUUAAGUUAUGGACUCAUCGAGUCAGGUCCUGGACUCGACGAGUAGGCUCUGACUGGACAAAAACCCUAAUCUGAGGGUUUGCACCCUAUUUAAUCAUCUCAUUCAGCCACCACUCUACCCUAAUGCUCCCAGAAACCCUCCCUAGUAAACCCUAAGUGUUUUGGUGCAAGAUCUAAGGCUUUUUGAGUGAUUUUUGUGGGUUUUGACCUCAAGGAAGAAGGAAGAGCAUAGAAGGAUCAAGAGGAGACUGAACAAUUCGAGUUUGGUGCAUCAUUUUCUGUCCUUGAAAGGUAUAAAGUCUGUACCUUGCUUGUUCAUUUGUUAGAUCCCUUUUUGGGGAAGAUUUAGGGUUUUUUAAGUCAUAUGAGGUGGCCAACCAUGAUUGCAAACAUGGUUGGGGGUCAAGACUUCGGAUCUAAGUCUUGGAAGGAGUCCCAAAGCAUAUUUGGGUUGCUUUUGCACCCAAGGAAGGUCCCAUGCAACAUAAGAGCCAUUUAGAGCCUUUUUGGGUCAAAAGUCCCAUGCAUGCACAUAAAGUUCGAAACUUUAUGUGCUAGAUCGAGCUUAGGGCUUGGAUCUAUCUUUUUGUCAAUGGUUGUACAUCAGAAAUCAAGGAUUUAGGGUGUGGACGUUAUCGACUCGGCGAUUCCGUUCUUGGGACUCGACAAUUCCAAGGCAUAGAGUCCGUUAUCUGUUGAGGGUCAAAAGAACCCAGUUGGGUGUUAGAAGGGUUGUAGAAGGUCCGAGGGAGUAACCCAACGUGUUGGACUUAGCCUUAGACUCGGAAUUCAUGGGACUCGUCGAGUGCUAGAAUAGACUCGGCGAGUCCAAUGCAAUCUCCUUAUGGAUGAAGAUGAACUCGACGAGUUGUUUAUACAACUCGACGAGUCGGGGUCAGGACUUGUUCAUCAGAUGAAGGUGAACUCGACAAGUGUUCAUCCAACUUGGCAAGUCGGAUGAAAGUUCAUUGAUGUUCGUAAAGAAGGGGAACUCGUCGACUCGUUGCCAAACUCGACGAGUCGAGUCGUGGAUAAGGACGAGUAAAGGAAAGGGACUCGACAAGUAGAUGACCCAACUCGGUGAGUUGGGUCAACUGGAAGUUGACUUUGACUUGGACUUGGUUGGGGGUAAAAUAGUCAUUUUACCUCAAGAGUAGAUAUCAGUUUCUGACUGAGUGUUUUGUGGGGAUUAUAGCCGGAGGAUUUCCGGUGCAGCAGCAGGCAGAGGUUUUCCAAACAGAUUAUUAGCAACUACUUGUUCGAGGUGAGUUACCUACCAAUAGCGGUGGGUCUACGGCCACAAUGUCGGCCCACCAAUAGGCACUACUAGAAAAAAGGCGUUUUACGAUGCUCAUUGCGCGUCGUAAAACGCUCAGACAACGCGAAAAUGCGUGUCAAGGAAGGCCCUGUCAUAACGAGAGACGACACGCAUUUACGACACGCAUUUACGACGCUCAUUUACGACACGCAAUGCGUAUCAAGGAAGGCCAUGUCAUAAAGGAUGACGACACGCAUUUGAGUGUCGUAACCUUACGACACGCGUUUAGGACAUGCAUUGUGUAUCAUUAAAGCCCCUGUCAUAAAUGAAGAUGACACGCAUUUGCGUGUCAUAAUCUUCAGCAACCAUUUACGAUAUGCAUUUACGACACGUCUUUACGAUACACAUUUACGCAAAAUACAAAAAUAUGGAAAUAAAUAUAUAACAAAACAAUCAAUUUCAUUCAUUAACAUCAUGUCAAAAAAUUGUAAUACAUAGCGGAAGUAUUUGUUGAGAGCCCAAAAAGUUACAUAAAUCAAUGAAAGUAAAAUUCAUAACUUUUCUAGUUUUCAUAAUCCUAACAAUAGCUGCAUCAACCUGCGAUAUAUUUAUAAAAAAAAUGUGAUUAUAAAUUUAUAAUUACAAAAAAAAAUAAAGCAAAAAAAAAUUGGACCUGAUAUUGACGAUCUUGGGAAACUCUCUCUGUGGUGCUUGCGUUUUCUUCCACAGUUUCCUUCAGCUGGAUAUCAUUCACAUGUACAUGGAAUGGAAUGGAAUAAUGAAAUAAGCAAAGGAAUGGAAUGAGUCAUUCCAUUCCAAUUUCAUAUGAACUUCACAUUAUAAAAAAUUAAUUGAUCUCACCUUUAUACGAUAAAGAGGAGCAGUAAAUACAUCAUUAAACAUGAAGGAAUCAUUGUCAUCCACAUCAGUUUGAACCUAUUCUUUUGUCUCCUUUUCUUCUUUCUCUUUCCCUUGUUCUUUUUUGUCUUGUAUCUUUUCAAGUGGUUGGUACAACAAUAGAGGUAACGGGACAUGUGCCAGUAUUGGGUCCUGAAGAUCUUGUUGCUUUUGUGCUAAGUGUUUUGUGAUUGAGAAGCAAAUGGUCACAAAUUGCAUAUGGGUUCUGGACAUGCAAAUAAACUUAACUAUCGAUCACAUAACAAAAGCAAAUGAAAGUAUGAUGUUAUAAUAAACAAUUCAAAUGCUAAUACCUUUGACAUGUUUGUAUCUACAACAUUUUGGGAGCUUUCGAUGCUUCGAAGAAUUAAAAGUAUUGAAAUAACCUCUUCCUUCUUUAGACUAUUAUGAGGCUUCCCAUCUUCACAAUCACCACCAAUUGCCAACAUAGAAAGAAAUAAAUACAAUUUUCCGGAAAAUAAUAAAAAUUCAUAUAUAUUUUUUUCAUUCAAAGAAUCAAAAUCAACAGGUAUAGUAUGCAUUCAAUUUAUAUUUCAGGAAAAAAAAACUAAUAGUAUACCUACCUGUAUGUGGGUUCAUAGCAAGUUUUCUCUCUUGGAUAAAACAUUAUUUUUUUAUUUUAUUUAUACUAAAUGUUUUUUUUUAUAUUUUGAUAUAAUACAAAUUAAUUUAUGUUUUAGAUAAGCUCUCUUUUACUUNCCUGUCUUUUACUUAUUUACAUUGAAAAUUGACAAAUAGUUCUUUUUCCACAAAAACAGACAAACUAUCUACAAUGAGUUUUUUGCCCUUUGCCACUAUUUAAUCACCUUACCUUAGUUUUACACACAAAAUCCAAUAAUGGAAUAAUGCAUUGAACAUUACACAUUUGCAAAUAAGAUACACAUUAGCAAAAAAUGGUCUUAGCACUAACUUUCACCACCCACCCACCCGAUAACAAAAGAAAAUAUAAUCCGCCCACUCAGUUUCACUUUAUUUGCAAGUAAGUAUAAACAAUAAUAUUGCAGGGUUUUUUUUUCAGUAUGAAUGAGUAUUCAGUCACUAUUCAUCCAUACCUCUUUAAGUAGUUGAUACCAAAUGCUACCAUUAUUCAAUCUCCAUCUAGGGGUAGGGCUAGGUGUUGGUGUUGUUGGAGCAGAAGAAGCAUCAAUGAUAUUGAUAACAAUGAAAGGGGAACUCAAAUCAUCAAGUUCAUCAUCACUUGUGUUUGACUUUCUCAACACUGAUGAUCCAGUGCGACCCAAGUGUUUUAUACAUACAGCCACUCCCUCUCCUCCAACCAAAAUGGUUUUUAUUAUUGAUGAUGCUGAUGGCGGAUCAUAAACAACCGAACCAGCUACACAUGGGACACUGCUCACACAGUCUUCGCCACCCUCUGUAGAAUAUAAAGCCAAAAGAAACCUGUGUUUGUUUACUACUCAAAAUGAAGACAUAAAAGAAGAAAGGAAUAUGCAUUGUAUUGGAAAAAUGAAGACUAAAAACCUCUUAUAUUAUCCAUAUCAAUAAAGCUAUAUUUAUAGCUUCUUAGACACCCACGAUGAAGUAUGAAAACAAUCCAUGCUCUUGACUCCACCUAAUUAGCUUAAGAAUUAACUAUUAUAUAAAACAUAAAACACAAAACAAUAAUAAUUAUCAAAUCUAAAGUUUCAGCCAUGCACGUGAGCUAUGACUAACAAACCGAUUAACCCAACACCUUCCACCCCCAAAUCCUUAGCAUAUAUAAACAAACACCCUCUAAAUGCAUGUUAUUAGACAUACCAAAAUAUCUUUAAUUGGUUGGCUUGUGUGUCCUUCACAUCAACAUAAUUACUUAAUUAAUUAAUUAUACUGAACUCACCUCUGAGUCUAAGGCUUCAAGCACAACUUCAGGAAUAGCAUCUGGACAAAACUCAUCUGGAACAAAACUAUCUAGUAUCCCUUUUAUUAAUGCUACACCAAAACUCAAACAUACCUUCAAAAAAUUUUAAAUAACUUUAGCUUUGUGGAUAACUACACUACUAUAAAAGAAAAAGAGCCCAAUUUUAGAGACCUCUUUUCUGAUUGUGCUAUCUAACAACAUAUCCUUAGGAAGCAUCAUCAGGUCACUUAAUGCAUUCAGGAGAUGAAAAGAUUUGAAUGAUGAAUCAUCAGCAUCUAUAUCAAAUAAAUCAGUCAGCCACCUCGACCAAUUUUCAAUUUGCACAUUGCCAAAUGAACNNNNNNNNNNUAUAUAUAUAUAUAUAUAUAUAUAUAAAGGAUCACUUGCCAUGGGAAUUGGUCGCCUAUGAUUCAGAUCAGAGGCCUGGAAUCGUCAAGGUAGAAAACACAAGUCAAGAAAAAAAAUAAAAUAAGAGACUUUUAGGCAUAAAUGGUAUAUACCCUGUAAUAGGGAUAACAAACUCCUUGAGUGCUUUUUCACUUGUUACUCCAAUUAAUUCGCCAAGACCUUGAGCAUCCUGUUCUCUCAAUUCUGCAGACCUGCUUAUUAGGCCCUGAAGAUAUAUGGGAAGCAAUGGUUGAAGAGCCUUUGGGAGACAUAACCUGGGUAUAACAAUUGGUCCACCCUAUAUGUCCAUCAACAAAUAUUUAAAUAAGAUAAACCUUAAUCACUACUAAAUGCUGAUUAAAAUACACAUAGUUGCCCCUCGAGUUCCAAAACAUUAAAACAACUCUAUUUUGUGCUUAGAUUCCAAAAUAGGACCAAAACAAAAUUCAUACGCAAGUGCUCAAUGGAUGAAAAAACUCAUAUGUACAAAUUCUAAGCCAAAAUACAAGAAUACAUUAGUUCUACAUAAACCCUAUCAACUCGAAAAUAAAAUUUUCUCGUAUAAUAAUUACAUAACCAAAUUAUGUAGUGAAAUCACACAUUAAAGCAAAUGUCUUUGUUAUUGUGAAUUUUGAUACAUCAUAUAUUAUUAUAUUUUUACCUUUAUUAUAGAUUGGUUACCCAACUUUACAUGCAUUUGUUGAGUUUAUUUCUGGAUUUGACAUGCCUUCUGACAUUCACUCAAAGAAGAAAGACAACAUUCUUCUAGAAACUGGGAAACCUUUUCGAUGGCUCUCUUCCAUGAUGAGUUAUCGUUGCCACUAGCUCAUAUCUUCGACCGUAUUUAUUAUAAUUUUUUUUAUAAAUUAAUAAAAAGAUGAAAAUGAUAUAUANNNNNNNNNNNNNNNNNNNNNNNNNUAUAUAUAUAUUAUAUAAAUACAUACCUCUGGUGAUGAUAAAAAAAGGAAAUCACGAUUCAGAGUAAGGUGAAGAGGAAUGUGGAUUGGUUUGAGUAAUUUUGUGCUUCCUUGACUUACAUAGCUAAACCUCAUUAAGUGUAGUAUUAUUAUCUCUGGAAGCUCUAAUAUUUCACUGAUUUACUUGCACAUACUAAUUCACAUAAUAAUAAAAAGAAGUAUACAUUUCCUGCUGAUGAAGCACGAUACCCUUCAAGUGUCUCUGGAGCUGAAAAAAGAUGAAGUGCAUCUUCUAUUGUAUGCAUAGGAUCUGGACAUAUAUUCAAAUGGAGCAAAAGAAAUGGCUGAAUAGUUGCAGAUGCUUUGUUACCUAUUUUUGUUUUACAUUAAAAAUAUAUAAAUGAUGAAUUAAUGAUAUCAUGUUAUUGAGAUGAGUGAAAAAUGUUAAAAGAUUAAAAAAAAAUACCUCUUGCUUUCAUUACACUUUUUAUUUGGCCUUCGAAGAUCUGACUUAAUUUUGAAGGAAUAAAACUUUGUGUUCUUGUGAUUGUAGUUUUGUUCUUUGGUCCAACUGUUUCCCAAAUAUCAUCAUCAUCUUCAUCACUUAAAGAUGAAACCAGUGAAACUUUUCCACCAUUAAAAUUACAAACUUCUCCUUCAAGUUUAAGAAGUUCAUCAUGCAUUUGGUGCAUUACAAAGCUUAAAAACACCUGAGCAUCUUCUUGCCUUUUUAAAAAACAAACUUCAACUCAGCAUCCGAAAUUCCAAACAUAACAUAUAUAAAAUUUGUUGAUUAAUUUUAUAACAUUAACACAAACCUUGGUCUUCCAGAGAAGCUAUUUGGCAUAUCUGGAGAGAAAUUGUUGAGAACAGAUUCAAACAUGAUAGGUCGAAAAGGUUUCCCAGUUUCUAGAAGAAUGUUGUAUUUCUUCUUUGAGUGAAUGUCAGAAGGCAUGUCAAAUCCAGAAAUAAACUCAACAAAUGCAUGUAAAGUUGGGUAACCAAUUUGUAAUAUAGGUAAAAAUAUAAUAAUGUAUGAUGUAUCACAAUUCACGAUAACAAAGACAAUUGAGUCCAACUCCAUCGGCGUUUGCUUUUGAAUGAAUUCCUUGGGAUAAACCUUCCAUAUACGCUCUGCUCCCUUUCCUUUUGGAACAAAACACCAUAGCAAGACUCCAAAUAUGUAAUAAUAAUCGAUCGAUAAAGUUUCUACAUAAGUUGCAGGUGAUCAAAAAUGGCGGAAAUCAGGAAAUGUAAAUUGUACCUUUAGCGAGAUUAGGGUAAAGCCAUCACAAGUUAGAGCCAUCAUCACCUGUGGGAGACCUAGGGGAAGUUGAUCGCCUCUAUCCACCUGCCAAAAAAGUGAAUCGUCUUCCCAUAAGUUUUCGUCACUUUCUCUCGAUCUUGCCGCUCAACCGGACCAAGGACGCCGGGAAGGAAAAGGACGUCCCUCUUCACCUCAUACUCGUGGAUGUGCCACAUUGGCUUUUCUGAAUCCGGCAAGGUGAAGAACAAUUUUUAUGUUACGAUGUUUUCAACUCCGAUUAAAAAAGCCCUAGAAAUUAUCCCAGUGAUUUUGUGAUAUAUGAGUUGUUGAGGUAUACAGCAGAGGUGGUAUCGUGAUUAGGGUUUGCAGAGAAAAGGGGGAAGAAGAGAAUGAAGGGGAUCAAGCGGGGUAUUAAAAAAUUUAAGAUUUUUGAGAGGAUUUCAUUUCCCCCUUUCAAGAAGGCGCGUUUUAGUAAAAAUUAUAAAGCGACAAUCACAGAGGACGCAUAUUUUAGAUAAAGUGCCCUCCGUGUUUUUAUUUUUUUUACAUUCGACACUAAUUUAAGGGCAUGCAAUAAUGCGUGACCUAAAUCCUCAAAUUUUUUGAAGAGACGACACUUUUUUAUUGUCACUCUCGUUUGCGUAACAUAAAUCAAUAAGUGUCGUGAUUUGCACAUCGUAAAAGGGUCUUUUUCUUGUAGUGAGGAGUUGUAUGAUUAGAUGAUUGUCUUUGUGAUAUCAUCUAGGUUGCUGCUACCUGAUAUGUUAUAUGCUGGUAUGAUAUGUUAUUUGUGAUAGUAGUAGAGUUCGGUUGUUUGGACCGAAGGGUAGGUCAGACACCCCAGAUAUGUCUGACAGUAUGUGAUGAUAUGUUUAUAUGCUGGCAUGAUACGUUAUAUGGGAUAGUGGUAGUAGGAGGGGAACAAUCUCCAAGUUCGGUUGUUAGAGCCGAAGGGUAGUUCGGACACCCUAGAUAUGUCUGAUAGUAUGUUUAUGUUAUGAUAUAUGUGAUAGUAGUGGUAGGGGUGGAAUAGUCCAAGAGGGUCGGUUUUUAGGACUGACGGGUAGGUCAGCACCCCAGAAAGGCUUGACACGGGUAGGACGAUACCCCAGAAUGGCCGCAUGGGUAGGUCGGCACCCUAGAAUGGCCGCACGGGUACCUAGAAUGGCCGCACGGGUAGGUCGGCACCCCAGAAUGGCCGUACCGGGUAGGUCAGGCACCCCAGAAUUGCCUGGCAGUAUGUAUGCUAUGUGAUUGUAUGUUAUGUGGCACGAUGGGGGAACUCACUAAGCUUCGUGCUUGCAGUUUACAGUUUUUGUUUCAGGUACCUCUUCAGCAAAGGGGAUGGAGCUGGCGCGGUAGUGGCACAUCAUGAAUGGUUUUCCGCACUAGUGUUUCUUGGUAUUGUACUAUGACAUUAUUCUUAUUUUUGUGAAUGGUUUUCAGACAUGAGAUGUGGUUUUAUGAAAAGUUAUGAUUAGAUGGUGUUUUCUUAUAAAUGUUUUUACAAGUCAAUUUUAAAAAUGAAAUUUUUGGACUUGUAAAUUGGGUCGUUACAUUCCUUCCAUGGUAAGACUUUAAGCAAAACCAAAUCUCCAACUUCGAAUGCCAUCAGUCGUCUUUUCUUGUCAGCAUAGCUCUUUUUACAAUCCUGAGCUGCUAACAUCCUUUCCCUAAUCACUCUUAACUUUUCAACAGUCUGAUGGACUAUCUCGGGGCCCAUAAACUGCCUUUGUUCAACUUCAAGCCAACAUGACGGCGUACGACACUUUUUUCCGUACAAAGCUUAAUAAGGUGCCAUCUUGAUGCUUAAGUGGAAACUAUUAUUGUAGGAAAACUCUACCAGAGGUAAGUGUUCAUCCCAGUUACCUUGGAAUUCUAGGGUACACACUCUUAGCAUUACUAUAGUGUUUGAAUCGUCCUUUUUCUCUAACCAUCGGUCUGUAGAUGGUAGGCUAUACUUAAACACAGCUUCGUACCCAAUUCUUCUUGUAGACUCCUCCAAAACCUUGACGUGAAACGGCUAUCAUGGUGUAACGCCCAUGUUUCUAGGCUAGGCAUUAAUGAUAAUGUAAUAGUCUAGGUUAACCUUUGUAACCCGUCUUGAAAUAAUAAAAAUGUAUUAUUUGAGUAUUAUGUGUUUUGUGCUUAAUUGUGUGACUUAAAUGAAUUAAGGAUAAAAAUAAGCAUCAAAAUGAAAUGUUAGAUAAACUCGAUAUCUAUGAAGGAUGUGGUAGUGGUCGUGGCAAGGUUUCCAAAUAUAUAAAGAAUGCCAAAAUCUGAGUUAUAACGAAAAAGUUAUGAUCUGUCGAAGUUUCGUUACAGAACCGGCACGGCACUGCGUGACGUAAAUAGUGAAUUUACGAUAGAGCGAUAUUUAGUCUUAGUGAUCUAAACAGAAGUUGUAGAAUAAGUUUAACCGAGAGCGUGCAUAAGAAGAACGUCUAAAUUUGACUUCGUAUGAGGAAGUUAUGAUUUUUCGAAGUUUCGAUUUAGCAGUAUGCAACCCAAAUCUCGAAUUACAGAUCGAGUGAUACUUGGCCGAAACAAUCUAAACGGGAAUCGAAGAUCUCGUCGAUAGUAGUCCAAAAGUGAAAAGACAUACGAAAACGGACGUCGGAUGAAGAAGUUAUGAAUUUCUAACGGAGUUUUCCUGUCCGACCUGCUAAAAAUAAUAUAAUAAAAAUAAGUUCAAAAUUAGCCGACGCAGUCUAAACGAAAGUUGUAGAGCAUAGUCUCACCUAUGUGUGGAUAUAAAGAACAUAAAAAAUGGAGCUCGUAUGAGGAAGAUAUGAUAUUAUGAAGUUUUUAAAUAAUUAAAAUAUAUAAAUUUUAUUAUAUAUUCGGAUAAUAUCCGAAUCCAUGACUCAGCCGAUCUGAUCCGAAGAUUACGCCCAACGUACUGCUUGUAGAGGCAUUACGCCCAGCAUAAUCAGGAUUUACGCCCAACGUAAAUCGAGGUUUCAUCCCCUAUAAAUAGAAGUCGUGGGCAGCCGAGUUUUGUUGCUCAUUUCUUCCUCUCUCUCCCGUUUUACCUCGUUUUACGUGCAAGCUUUACCCCCGAAGCCGCGGUAUCAUUCCCGAGACCCGAAGCCCCGGGGAUCCCGAGAAGUAAAGUUUCUGAGCCGAAACUCUGCCCGUGUAAAGCCCGGUUUUGGAGAAAACGUCCUGGUUUUAUCGGAAAAUAUUAUUUUAAUAUAUGAGGUGAUGUCCGAUCAUCUUCUUAUCAAGUGAGUGUAUAUUCCCUUUCUUCUAACACAUAGAUAUGAAGUAUCUACUUUAGAAUAUGUGUUACAUGUGUAUAAAUAUACGUGUAUAUAUAUGUUAUCUGUUUAUUUGGAAUGAGUAUCUUAUUAGUUUUUAAGUUACAUAUGAAUGCAUAUGUAUGUUGUUAUCUACAAAAUGUUGGGUAGAACUUGUGUAGAUAGUUGAUGUGUGAUAAACUGAUGAGAUGCCUCGAUGUGAUUGUGAUCUAGUCAUUCAACAGAAUAUGGGUGACGACCACGGACUCUUUCUAGACUGUCCCGUGGAAUGCUGGCAGGCUCAUAACCUGUAGGUGUUGGUGAACUUGGGUGUUCAUUUGUUGUAUUCUAUCCCCCUCAUGGUUGCCUUAGGACAUUCAUUGUUGAGAAAACCCCUCUGCAGUAGUGUCCGUCCUGAUGAAAAUCCUAGAUUAGGUCCCUUGUAAUAGUUAUUGUCAUAGUGACGUAAAGUGAGGAUAACAGGAAUGGGUAAUCAGGUUAUUGUUGGUUGGUGAAAUUAAAUAUAAUUAGUUAUUGUGGGUUGAAAACCCUAUAUGCUCACCAGGCUCCCAAGCUUGACCCACUCAGUUUUUUUGUAUUACAGGUAGUGGUGCGAGGGCAUAAGUUGGAGAACUUAUGAAGAUGUUUUUGUUUAUAGACCAGUAGUUGUAUAUAACAGUGUAAGGUCUAUGUUUUACUGUUUAUGCUUUUGUGUCUGUAUCGGAACAUGACAUCCUGAGUUUUGAUAUAUAAUGAAAAUACAUUUCUUUAAGAAAUGUUUUGAUAAACUUUAUUUUAUCAUGUUUUGUUUUAGGGACAAAUUCUGCAACUCUUUUAAAUCAAUGGAUUUACUCUGAAAUUAUUUUAAAAACAUAAAUGAAACCGGCCUUUUCUGGCCGUGAUUUUGGGGAUUUCACACAUGGUCUGAUACUAUCUUUAAAGGAACACCAUGAAGUCUUACUACCUCCUUCACGUAAGCAUUUGCAAGCUUAUCUGUAGACCAUCUUGUUGGAUUAGUGUCUAAGUCCAUAACUAUUUUGGUAUGUACUUGACCCGAUGGUGCAUGGUCCUUUUGGGUUGCCUUCACCAAAGCAACUUGAUUGGAGAAAUAAAUAAAGAGAGAGAGGUUAUUAUGAUUUAUUAAUAUGUUAUAAGAAUAAUAUAUUAAAGGAGAAAUCAUAUUUGUUUAAUUAAUAUUGGUCAAUAAUUAAUUAAGAAUUAAUUUUGUGAUCAAGUGUAAUUAAUUAAACUAGAGGGGCUGAAUUGUAAUUAUGUGAUAGUUACAAAAUAAGGUAAGGAUUAUCUUAAAUAUAGGGUGAACGAAUUUAAGGAGAUAAUGCCUUAGAAUUCGACUAGGAUAAGGGUUUCUAAGACUUAUCUUAUGGUUGCUUGGUGGGCAAGCAACUAGAUAAGGAUAAGGACUAAAACCCUAAUCUUUACACCUAUAUAAACCCCCUAAGGCUCAUGAAUUCGUCUAAGCCUUCCCAAGAAGUCCUAAGGACGAAUUCCUACCUCUAUCCUCUCUCUUUAUACCUUCUCCAUUUGCUCUUGGUGUUUGUGAGCCAUUAGAGGAGUGACACUUGUGACUCUAAGCCUUCCAAAGUCAAUUCAUGGAGAAUUGGGAUUGUUAUUACUACAUAACAAUCAAGGUAACAUCUUAAACCUAAUUAUAUGUUAAUAUUGAUUUCCAUAUGCUAGAAUUAGGGUUUAUAGUCUUGGAUUCAUUGCAUGUACAAUAGAGAAACCUAGAUCCAAGCAUUAGGGUUUGUAUGAGCACAUAGGAUGUCUUAUGACCAAAACCCAUCAGUGGUAUCAGAGCCUAGCUUGGUUUCAAUUGUAUUGAUGCAUUGUAUAACUGGAAAAUUCGUUUUUUGGGUUUCUGGAGGCUGGACUCGCCGAGUCCAUAGAUGAACUCGCCGAGUCCAUGCUGACUCGACGAGUCCAUGCCUGACUCGGCGAGUCGGCUCGUCAGAAGGAGGGAAAACCGGGAUUUCUUGCUGUUUUUGCUUAAGGAUAGUUGCCUUAUCAUAUUAGAUCAAUAUAAAUCCGAUUUUAUGAUAUAUUUGACUAUAUUCUUGAUCUAAUUGAAGAUAUUUAUCAAUUAAUAAAAUAUUUGUUUCCUUAUGUGAUAAUUGAUUAAUUAUUUUGAUUAAAUUGAUAAAUUGUUUUGCAAGAAAUCAUUAAAUAAAUCAAAUAUGGAUAAUUAUGUGAUUAAAUGUUAAUUUAGAUUAUUUGUUAUUUGAUCCUUGUUGUUAUGAAAAGUUUCAUAUUUUCCCCUUUAGGUUUUAUAGUUUAAAUUUGAACCCAAAAGUUUUGUUGUUUUGAAAUUUAAAUAGUUGAAACCCUAAUGUUUUGAAAAAGGUUUCAAAACUUGCCCUCAAGUUUUGGAAUUUAAAUUUUGAUUAAAUAGUUUAAUUUUGAUGUAUAUUUAAAUUCUAAACCCUAAUGUGUUGAAAUGUUUCAAAACUUGCCCUCAAGUUUUGGAAUUUAAAAGUUGAUUAAAAGUUUAAUUAGGAAUGUUAAAUUCUAAAACUCUAGUAUUGUUUUGAAAAAGUUCAAAUCACACCCUUAUGGUUUUAUUAAUUAAUUAAGGUGUAUAAUUAAAAGAGGUUUAAUAAAUCCAUAAAAGUUUUGGUUUACAAUUUAAUUGAAUUAAAAGUAUAAUUGUUAAAUUUGACCACCUAGUAUUUUAAAAGUGUAAAAUACACCCUAUACUAUAUAUAACAUUAAAAGUCUAACAUUAUAUAUAUGUAUGAGUAAAAGUCAGUCUUACCGUUAGUAGGCCUCAUUCACGAAGCUGGUCUAUAAGGGGUGUUUAAGGAAAUUGCCUAUAAAAUGGCGAUUGAAUGGGUAUCCACUCUUACCCACCGCACUCUUGACUAGUGGAGGGUCGUUAGCCGAACGGGUAGGAUAGGACGAAACCUUCCAUUAUAAGUAUAAUGAAGUAUAAAAGUAACUAAAUGUUUUCAUAAAAUUCCCAAUCUUAGUUACUUAGGCAAAAGUGAAUUGAUGCAAUUCCAUGAAAUUACACUUUGUGCCCUUGCGAAGACGUUAGUGGAGCGUGUGUGGUUUACCGGCACACUAAAUGGUUCUAAGCAAAGGUAGCAAAGGGUGACUCAAUGUUUGUCAUAGUUCGGUGGAGCGUGUGUGGUUUACCGGCACAUCGAAUAGGUGACUGUAACAUGUGAGGGCACCAUGUAAGUUUGCAUGGUUAUUCACACCCGCUUUGUGAUCCUCGGCAUCCCAGUCACAAACAAGAGGGGCAUAUCGAGAUUUAAACAUGCCAUUGAAAUGUUCAAUGAAUCUCAAAGGAUCUAGGAGUUUUCAUAGAUUUAAAACUUAAAUUUCUUUUUCGUUUUUCAUGGUGGAAAUUAGUGAAUCGUCAUUCACUUACCUUCAAAUGUUCUGCAAUUUGGGUUACGGCAUCCCUCUCCCGAGUUGUAGAAUAUUGUGUUGGGUCCUAGCCUUAGUAUCUCAUUUGGGUGAUUUACUAAGGACUCAAUCAAUCAACUAACUUGAAUUCUUUUUCUCCCGUUUUGUAGAUGUCAAAGUUCGACAACUAUGGUCUUCCCAAAUCCCGUGGAACAAGCAUUCCACAUGAAGAUGAUAUUCCACGAUUCGAUCGAGGAACAAGAAAUCAUGCUUCACUUCCUCCACCUCCUCCAAUUAUUCUCCCUAACCCACAAGUUCAAAGGCUUGAAAAGUUCAAGAUCACUCAAGCCCUUUUGGCAAGUAAACAUAAAGAAGGAAAGUCGGUGUGUGCACACGUCCUAGGGAUGAAGUCACACAUUGAUAGGUUAAGAAUGUUGGGAUCCGUUGUCUGUGAGGAAAUGGCUGUUGAUUGGGUUCUUCAGUCACUUCCUAACUCAUAUAGUGAGUUCGUAAGAGAGUACUAUAUGAUGAACCGCGACGUGACCCUUAUAGAUCUCACCUAUAUGCUUAUUGCUGCUGAAUCAGCAAUGGUUUGGCGCAAUAGAAAAGCAAAGUUGAUUGGUGAAUCUGCCUUCAAGACCUCUAUGGAUAUAGACAAUGGCAACGAAAGACAUGCUAUGAUCGAAAAGUUUGAUCAUAAGAGAAAGGCAAUGUCUGAAGUAGUUCCAUGUCAUGUUCCAAAAGAGUCAAUUUGCUUUUAUUGCCAAGAGAAAGGGCAUUGGAGACGAAGCUGCCCCAUUUACCUAAGAGAUCUAAGAGAUGGGAGAGUCGAAACGUAUGGCUCUAAUAUAGGUAAAAUCCAUUAACUAACUCUUUUAAGCUUCUAUUCUAGAUUCUUAAUACAUAAUGUGAUAAGAUUACAAUUGAUGUUUUGUAGGAUCGAAGAAAAGAAAGGAAGCUUAAGGGAAGAAGUGAGCAGAAUCUAACCGUGAAGGAAUGGAUUUCGAUCGCAUUUCUCGAAGAUUAGAUUCUUGAGCUACUACUUAGAGUUAGAAUUAGAUUGCUAAGAAAGAUGUAUUAGCAUAGUUUUUCAAUGAAUUGCAUUGUAAGGACAAAUUUUUCCGCAAUAAAAUAAAUUUUGAUUUUAAAUUUUAUUUAUUUAUCCUUACAAUGGCGUGUAUGAAAAAUUGAUGUUAAAAUGUUUCUAUUAUUAGCAAUAAUGGAUUUGGUUCUUAUUAUGUUAUUUAUGGAAAGUCGAGAAUUUACCAAAUAGGGAGAGUUUCUCAUCGCCCAAGUUUCAAUUGGACAGAAACUUGGAAUCAUGCAACUUGGUUGCACGAUGAAUGAGAAAUUUCAUAUUUGGAAAUUAGACUAAUUCAUUGACAAAGUGUCAAGUGAAGGACUAGGAGAUCGAGUACACAAAGUUGCGUGUUGAUCAAGUCCACCAUAAGAGUAACAAAGAUAUUCGUCAUGAUUUACUAAAGGUUUAGUAAAUAUGAUUAUACUUAUAAGAUUAAGUGUAAUUCUGAAUUGAUUGAAAAGGUUUAAAUCAAUAGCAGAACGAAUAAGAAGAAUCAAGUAGGCAGAAAGAUAAAAGUUUCUCCAUUCUAAGAAGAAGGGAGAGUACCUUUUAUGCUUUAUGAUAGGUCUUAAUGAUUAAGAACCAUAUCUCAAUUGAUCCUCUAAGUGAGUCUUAGUACAAUUGUAUGUCUAAGAAGAGGAAUCAAGAAUUGAAGAAAUGGUUAAAUCAAGAAGUCAAUCAUACUUCGUUCCAAAACAAGUCUUAGAGUUAAGAUUGUGACAUUGAGUGAUAAGUAUAAAGAAGGUUUAUAACAUUCAUUAAAUGUGGAAAGUUGUGAUGUCUUGGAUAAGACAAAGACCAACUAGGACCAAUUUAUGAAGUGUUUUGAUAAAAGCUACACUAACUCUUGAAUAUUUGUUUGUCAAGAAAUGGUUAUUGACAAGAGAAUCUUAUAUGUCAAGGAGUCAGUGGGAGUCUUAAUGGUCUUGAAAGGUUUCAAGAACAAAUCAAAUAAACCUUAUCGAUCAUCACUAGCACACGAGUUGAGGUUUACAACCUAUCGUGUUGACAUUAUUUUGAUUCUGUGCCAAUCCAAUCGAGUUAAUUAUGCAUGUGAGUUCUAUGAGUUCUCAUUUUGAACGCAUAAAAGGCAAAGCACCUUAAUCAAUGAAAGGUACAUUGAUAGGAAAGGGUGAGCUGCUUAACUACUUGGAAGACAUGGUGGGCAGCUGUGCUACCAUAAAGGCAAGAAAUCGAGAUCAAGAAAGUUCGAUCCAUAAGAGUUUGAAUUUGUCGUAAACUUUGGUUUUGACAAAUUCACAUGGAUAGGAACAAAUACACCGUUUAAAUCUAAGUGUCAUAAGAUUUCCUCCUUCAUGAAAAUGAUUGUGAGGAAAUGCUUUCACUAAGACAGAUUUUAAGAAGAUAGUGAUUGUAAAAUUGCAUUCUCGAAUUCAAUUAUGGUUACGGCAUCCCUUUCCAUAAUUUGAAUUGUGAGGUUUGGCAAUUAGUCUUAAUUGUUUAGACACACAUAUGAACUAUCGAAGGCAAAGGUGUAUAAGUUCAAGAAGCCUUGAUAAAAGAUUAUCAAAGCACUAAGUAUUAGAAACAUGAACUUAAGAAAUUCAAUAAGCAUUUUUUUUCUGAAAGUUAAGAUGUUUAUGAAUACAUGUCGAAGCUAGUGGGAGCAUAAGUGUUAUGUUUUAUAAUAAUCAUCAAGAUAGUGGGAGCAUAAAAGUUAUGAUUGUAUGAUUAUUAAGGAAAGUAUUGCAAGGUUAGCAAUAUUAAUUAUAGAAAACAAGAGUCAUACUUUGCAAAGUCGCAAUAGUUGAAGAGUUGUUUUGCUAUAAUUAAGGGAGAGAAUAUUAUGCUUCAUUUCAAAUCUAAAGGUUUAGGUUGAGAAAUGUUAAUAAAAUUUAGUCAAAGGUACAAAGUGUGUUCUUAAAAUUUCGAUUAUGAUUACGGCAUCCCUCUUCACAAUUCGAAUUUUGAGAACAUAGCAAAUAAAACAUUAUGCGUCGUGUCCCAUACGCUUCGGGUAUAGGAUCGAUUGCAAAUGCUUUAAUGUUUGACCAUUCUAAAAUUUUCCAAAUGUCGAGCGCAUUUAGAGGGAAAAGGGACUAGAAUUGGUUUUGACUAAAAUAAUUAAACAACUAUCAAAGGACAAUCCAAAGUUCGACGAGGAUUGGUCGCUUGUGAGUAGUUGGAAGUAUAGUAUUGGAAAAUAUGGAAAUGUUUCCAUAUUGGAUGGACCAUAUCGACAUCAUUACGAAUAGAUAAGAUUCUAUUAAGAAUGAGUUGUCAUAUGGAACAUAUGGAAGUGUGUCCAUAUUGGGAAUUGAAUAUUGAGAAAUCUAUGACUAGAUUAGAAACUUCUAUGCAAAAGGAUGUUCAAAGAAUGUACUUUGAGUGAGAGACAUCACAUCUAUGGAAUUGUCUUGUAACAAUCUCCGAUAGAGGACUUUGUAAUAUCAUUGGCAAUAGUCUUUGUGACUUUGGUGCAGUGACAUUACGAAAGGAUCGUUGCAUAAAAUGUUAGAAUCUAGCAUAUUCUAUAAGUAGCAAGAAUUUGAUAUUCUUUCACUUAUGAAAAGGAUUUGGAGUUGUGAAAUGAGAAUGAUUGGAAAUGUGUUCAAUUUGAUCUAUUUCACAAAGUAAGAACCAUAGGUAAACAUUGUGUGCAUGCUAGGAGCAUGGGACAAGUGUAAUAAUUCAAGUAAGAAGUUGAUUACCCGAAACGACAAAUAAUGAGUAAUCGAUAUGGUGAUAAAUAAAAGGUGUUUUAUUUAUACUCAAAGGUUUGAGGCCAUAUGGGAUUAGUAUUAUUCUUGUGUUUCACAUUUGCAUGUUUUGACUUCCAGAAUAAUUGAGUUUAUUAAGAAUAAUCGAAUUAUUCGAACGGGCCACAGUCGUUCAUAUGUUGGAAGUAGAUAUGAAUGAAGACUGUCGUGAAUUGGUGUGUGGAUUGUCUAAAAGAGUAUUAGACAUAAGCAAAUGUUUGCUGCAACGUUCAUGAGUGCUUAUGAAUAUGAUUUGAGCAUUGGAUUAAACCCACGCUCACUUGGAUCACUCCAUGAAUUGUAUCACGAGUGAUUGGUGAGACGAUAACAUCUUAUAUUCUUGAAACCGAGAUGUGUGAGUUGUAUCUUGCGAAUCGGUUGCACAUUGAUAAUAUGUAAACGCACUAGUAACUUGGUGUUAUAAAACAUAUUGUUGUGUGUGAUUUGGUUAGUAAGUGCAAGCAAGCAUUGUAUCAAAGUUUAUCCGUUCCUUUUAUCCAAAGUAGGAUAAAAGCGAUAUCUUUGGGCCCCUCGAUGAUUUAGUGAUGACAAACGUAAAUGCUCGGCCGGGCUAGGGCUAAUUUGAUUUGUUCAAUUAGUCAGUCGUCAUAAAUCGGGAAUCGAGAUAUAGUACAAAGAGAAUGAUUUGAAAUCAUAUCUCAUAUGAUAUCUAGAAUGGAGGAAUAUAUGAUCCCUUAUCUAAGGACACGCGUAUCUGAUAUGAUCAGAGUUGACAGCGGCUUUGGAAAGCUACGAUUGCAGAUCAGGAUCUGAAGUCAUACGCAGAAUAGUUGUUAGACUUAUCCAAGUGGGAGACUGUUGGAUUAGUGUCUAAGUCCAUAACUAUUUUGGUAUGUACUUGACCCGAUGGUGCAUGGUCCUUUUGGGUUGCCUUCACCAAAGCAACUUGAUUGGAGAAAUAAAGAGAGAGAGAGGUUAUUAUGAUUUAUUAAUAUGUUAUAAGAAUAAUAUAUUAAAGGAGAAAUCAUAUUUGUUUAAUUAAUAUUGGUCAAUAAUUAAUUAAGAAUUAAUUUGUGAUCAAGUGUAAUUAAUUAAACUAGAGGGGUUGAAUUGUAAUUAUGUGAUAGUUACAAAAUAAGGUAAGGAUUAUCUUAAAUAUAGGGUGAACGAAUUUAAGGAGAUAAUGCCUUAGAAUUCGACUAGGAUAAGGGUUUCUAAGACUUAUCUUAUGGUUGCUUGGUGGGCAAGCAACUAGAUAAGGAUAAGGACUAAAACCCUAAUCUUUACACCUAUAUAAACCCCCUAAGGCUCAUGAAUUCGUCUAAGCCUUACCAAGAAGUCCUAAGGACGAAUUCCUACCUCUAUCCUCUCUCUUUAUACCUUCUCCAUUUGCUCUUGGUGUUUGUGAGCCAUUAGAGGAGUGACACUUGUGACUCUAAGCCUUCCAAAGUCAAUUCAUGGAGAAUUGGGAUUGUUAUUACUACAUAACAAUCAAGGUAACAUCUUAAACCUAAUUAUAUGUUAAUAUCGAUUUCCAUAUGCUAGAAUUAGGGUUUAUAGUCUUGGAUUCAAAGCAUGUACAAUAGAGAAACCUAGAUCCAAGCAUUAGGGUUUGUAUGAGCACAUAGGAUGUCUUAUGACCAAAACCCAUCACAUCUUUCAUUGGCUACUAUGAAGUGUGCACUCUUAGUAAACCGAUCAACGACCACCCAAAUCAUGUCGUGACCGUCCUUCGUUCUGGGCAGUUUAGUGACAAAAUCCAUGGUAAUGUCUUACCACUUAUCCAUGGUUACACAUAAAGGUUCUAAAAUCCUAUAUGGUUUCUGAUGUUGUGCCUUAACUCUCACAUAGGUCACACACUUGGCCACAUACUUUGCAAUGUUGAGCUUCAUCUUCGGCCACUAGUAGUAGGGUUUCAGAUCCCUAUACAUUUUUGUGCUGCCGAGAUGAAUCGAGUACAUGGUCUUGUGAGCUUCUUCCAUCAGAAGAUCUCUUACUUCGCCCAUCUUGGAAUACCUUUAAUCCUUGAUUAUUUGUACCGAAAACCAAGUUUUUGCUUAAACAUUCUUCCUUUUGGUCAUUCUCCUCUAAAACUUCCUCCCAAGCUUUGUUGAUGCUUUCCACAAUCAUUGUGACAACCUCUAUUGAUUGUUUUGAUUAUAUUUCUCUUCAAUCUUCUGUCCUAACUCAGAUGCUACAUGAAACUUGGUUCUCUGAACCAUGUAACAUACUCAUCUUAGUUGGACUCGAUAUGAUACGACCACUAGGGUCAGAAUCAGAAUCAUCUUCUUAGUCAUUACCAAAACGAUGGUAAUGAAGAACUUGAACAAAACAGAAUCAAUUACUAGCUUCUUAGUAACCUUGCGACUUUCACUGAUCCAAGUGCAAGUCCUGUGCUUCCGGUAGUAUAGGCCUCUACUACCAUUCACACCUACUCAUACUCGUUCAAGGUGCUAUCUCACAGUUUUCCAAGUCAUCAUUCAAGAGUUUCACAUAAUCAUUUAACACAUCAGAUAACAAAAUCAAGGUUUUAUAUUAUUUCUUGAAAUGAUUACAUAAAUGUUCAACUUCGUCCUAUACUAUGCCUCUAAUAAGUUGCGCUACAUGAUGCUAUCCACAUGGCCACUUCAUAACUUGAUCUUCGGAUAUCAGUCCUCACUCCUGCUUCCUUGCAUUGUCAGCUGCUUCGUUAAGGAUCAUUUGGAAUGCCCUUGGCUGGGGCGGUGCGUUUGGCCUUGCCGCUUUAUUCUUCCUUGGGCGGUUCUUCAAAAUAUGCCAUCCUUCAUUGCAUUCAUAGCACACCCUCUUGCGGGAUGUACACUCAUUGGCGUAGUGCCCAGGAUUUUCACACUUAAAACAAGUGACCUCCCGUCACAUUUCCCAUGGUGCUUCUUUUUGUACUUUUCACACCAUUUCGCUUCAACUCCUCCUCCUCUCGAACCAGACUUCGAGAAAUUACUUUUCUUGUUGGAUUUCGAAGAUCCAUCAAACUUCCUUUUCUUACCAACCUCUGCCCUCUCCAGACCCUUCUCCCUUAUCCGUGUCUCAACAAUCUUCAUAGCUCUAACGACUGCCUUCAACGUGCUUGCCAUUUUGACUAUUGGGCCAAAGUCUGAUGGCAAUCCGUUAGCAAAUUUCUCUAUCUUGGCGAGUUCAGUCGACACCAAGUAUGGAAAUAACUUCAUCUUCUCAGUGAAUGCAGUAGCAUAAUAAUCAAUGCUUAUUCUCCGUUCUUCAAUUUCUGGAACUCAUUGUUUAGAUCUAUCAUAUCUAUUUCGGAGCAGUACUGCAUUUUCAACUGCAUUAUGAACUCUUCCUUAGACAUUUUCAGAGCUUUUCCUCGUGGCAUCGUAUCCGUUAAUAACUUCGACCAGCUUAAAACUUUGGUCUUUACUUGUUUGACCGCAAAGACAAUUUUUUGUUUGUCGCUAUAGUUGCAGCUUUCAAAUACCAUCUCUAUUUCGACAUGAUCUUCAUUGUGAUUUGACGAAACAUAUUUGGACGGUUAUGCUUUUCAUGGCCAAUUUUCGAAGAAGUACUUCUUUUAAAUUGACGAGUGUGACAUCCACCAUUUUCACGGUCAGAAAAGACUGAUUUUGUUUAUGCUUUAUAAUAAAAUCAGAGUAACCUUUUUAAAGAAAAGUGUUGUGGAAUUUGUUCCUAAAAUAAAAUAUGAUAAAGAUUUAUCAAAACAUUUCCAAAGAAAUGUAUUUCAUUGUAUUAAAACCUUGGGAUGUCAUUAUUAAUACAAAUCAGAAACAUAAGCAGUACAACAUAGGCGUUACAACAUUUAUUUAAAUCUACUAGCCUAUAAACCAUAAUCCUCUCGUCAAGUCAUCCAACUAUGCUCUUGCCACUACCUAUAAUACAAGAAACUGAGCCGGUCAGGCUUGGGAGCCUGGUGAGCACAUAGGGUUUUCAACCCACAAUAAAUAAUUUUGUUAAUUUCAACAAAUGAAAUAAACCAGAUUACCCGUUUCUAUUUAUCCUCACAUUACGUCCCUAAAACAUCUAAUAUAAGGGACAUAGCCUAAGGAUUAUUGUAGCACCUGGUUCCUAGUACGUAAUCCUUGUAAUUAAUAUUUCUUAAUUUUGCAUUUUUGCCUUGGACUUGGCGAGUUGAAGAACCGACUCGUCGAGUAGAAGCGGGAUGAGAAGCGGGGUCUGAGCUUUGGACUCGGCGAGUAGACCCUGUUUGGGCAAAAACCCUAACCAAAGUGUUUGCACCCUAUUUAAACGCUCUAACUUGGCCUCCUUUGUCCCGAACACUCCCAGAGAGCUGAAGAGCGAAACCCUAGCCCCCAUUUUGUUCUUGAGAGUGAUUUUUGGCUUUGUGAAGAAGGUUUGGAGCUUAGAAGAAGAAGAAAUAGGUUGUAGUGUGCAAAGAGGGGAAGUAGAUCCGGAAUCUACACUACAAGAGGCUUCCAUUCAGCCGGAGGAUUACCGAUUCAGCAGUCAGGCGCUUAGCAAGCAGAUUUUCAGCAGCUACUUUUCGAGGUGAGUUACCUUCCAGUAGCGGUGGGUCUAAGGCCACAAUGUCGGCCCACCAGUAGGAGACGUAUGAUAGAUGAGUGUCUUUGUGAUAUCAUCUAGGUUUGUUACUACCUGAUAUGUUAUAUGCUAGCUUGAUGUGUUAUAGUAGUAGAGUUCGGUUGUUAGGACCGAAGGGUAGUCAGAUACCCCAGAUACGUCUGACAGUAUGUGAUGAUAUGUUUGCAUGUUGGCUUGUUAUGUUAUAUGCGAUAGAGGUAGUAGGGGGUGAAAUAGUCCCCGAGGUUCGGUUGUUAGGACCGACGGGUAGUCAGCACCCCAGAAUGGCUUGACAUAGGGAGGGCGGCACCCCAGAAUGGCCGUACAGGUAGGUCGGCACCCCAGAAAUGCCUAGCAGUAUGUAUGUGAUAUGAUUGUAUGGUAUGUGGUACGAUGGGGGGGACUCACUAAGCUUUGUGCUUACAGUUUUCAGUUCUGGUGUCAGGUACCUCUUCAGCGAAGGGGAAGGAGCUGGCGCGGUAGCGGUACAUCAUACACACACAUUGGAUUUCCGCAUUAUGAGAUGUCCUGGGAUUGUACUCUGACAUUAUUAUUAUUUUCAUGUUUUGGGUUUUCAGACACGAGAUUUGUUUUAUGACAUGAUAUGAUCGGAUGAUGUUUUACUGCAAAUGUUUUACAAACCACUUAUUUUAAGUGAAAUUUUUGGGCGUGAAAAUUGGGUCGUUGCAAUUAUCAUCGGGGUAACAACAUUGCUUAGGGGAUACUGUGACAUCCCCAAAAUCUUGGCCAGAAAAGACCGAUUUUCAUUUAUGCUUUUAAAAUAUUUUCAGAGUAAAUCCUUUUGAUUUGAAAGAGUUGCGGAAUUUGUUCCCAAAAACAAAACAUGAUAAAACAAUGUUUACCAAAGCAUUUCAUAAAAGAAAUGUAUUUUCAUUAUAAUCAAAACUCGGGGUGUCAUGUUCCGAUACAGACCAAUAAGCAUAAACGAAUACAUUACAAGUCAUAUAACAAAUAUAAACAUAUGCAGACUUGUAAACAAAACAACUUGAUGGUUCAUCCAUCUCAUGCCCUUCCGCCACUACCUGUAAUACAAUUUAAAACUGAGUGGGUCAGGCUUGGGAGCCUGGUGAGCAUAUAGGGUUUUCAACCCACAAUAAAUAUCAUAUUUAAUUUUCACCAACCAACAAUAACCCAAUUACCCAUUCCCGUUAUUCUCACUUUAAUGUCCCUAAAACAACUAACAUAAGGGACCUAGUCUAAGAAUAUUUCAUCGGGGCGACAACACAUGCUUCGGGGGUACCUCAGCAAUAUAAGUCAAAUAAGGCAACCAUGAGGGGGAUGGAGUACAGCGAAUGAACACCCAAGUUCAUUAACACCUACAGGUGGCGAACCUGCUAAUGUUUCCACAAGACUAUCUAGAAAAGUCCGUGGUCGUCAUCUAAACUCCGCUAGAUGACUAAAUCAAACAACAACGAGGCCUCUCAUCUGUUUAUUACACACCAACUAUCUACCCAUGUUCUACCCAACAUAUUAGUAGAUAAAAAUAUACAUUUUUAUACAUAGUUUAAAAACCUGUAUAGCAUGCUUUAAUCAACACAUAUUUCACAUAACAGAUGAGGCACACACACACAUAACACGUAUCUCAUAGAGAAUAAAUCAUAUCUAUGAGAUAGAAGAAAGUGAAUACACAUUCACACACAUAACCACAAAAUUAUACACAUAAUACGUAUUCCGUAUAAAAUACUUCAUAAUUAUGCGUUAGAAGAAAGUAACUACACACUCACUUGAUCAGAAGAUGAUCGGACAGCACUACGACUUGCAGAAGUAGUAAUCCUCAGCAGAUCUGGAAGAUCUUCACAAAAAUCGAACUUCUCGCGGGCAGAGCUUCGGCUCGGGAACCGCACUUCUCGGGAUCUUCGGGAUCUCGGGACUUGCCUCGGGGCUCGAGUAUGAUACCGGGGCUUCGGGGUAUUUCUGGCACGCAAAACGAUGCAAAACGGGAGAGAGAAGAGAGAAAAUGAACAAAAGAAUCGGCUGCCUUCGGAUCCUAUUUAUAGGAGGCUGAAGCCUCGGAGUACGCGAGGUGUACUGGUCCGAAAAACGUCACUGCUUACGUAUCCGAAGACUCGAGUGCGAAUGUCGACAUCCCUCGGUGUACGCGGGGCGUACUUCGGAUCGGAUUGCUGACUCCCCUUCGGAUAAUACCGGAUUUUCUAAUAAAAAUUAAAUACAAAUUAUUUAAUAAACUUCGGAAAUUCAUCUCUUCUUCAUACGAACUCCGUUUUCGACGUUCUUUAUAUCCACGCGAAGGUGAGACUACGCUCUACAACUUUCGUUUAGACUCCGUCGGCUAAUUUUAACUUUAUUUUUAUUAUUUAUUUUUAAUAGGCCGGGACAGAAAAACUUCGUUAUAAAUUCAUAACUUCUUCGUUUGACGUCCGUUCUCGCCUAACUUUUUAUCGCUUCGAGACCAACAACGAGACCUUCGAUCCUCGUUUAGGUUGCUUCGGCUCAAAACCGCUCGAUCUCAAAUCGAGUAUUUCGGGCUGCACACCGCUAAACCGAAACUUCGAUAAAUCAUAACUUCCUCAUACGAAGUCAGAUUUGGGCGUUCUAUAUAUACAUUCGUAAACCUCGUUUCAACUACUACAUCAUCAACCAAAGAUAUCAAGUUUAUUUUACACUUUAAUUUUGACGCUUAUUUUUAUUCUUAAUUAAUCAAACCACAUAAUUAAGCAAUUAAGCACAAAACACAUAAUACUCAAAUAAUACAAUCAUAUUAUUUCAAAACGGGUUACAAAGGUUAACUUAGACUAUUACAUUGCUAAAAAUGGCAAGCCCGGAAACACAGGCGUUACAGAUACCUCAACAUUUUAUGUCAAAUAAGGCAACCAUGAGGGGGAUGGAGUACACCUGGUGAACACUGAGUCCAAAUAAACACCUACAGGUUGCGAGCCUGCUAGCGUCCCAUUGGACUGUCUAGAAAAGUCUAUGGUCGUCAUCUAUACUCCGCUAGAUGACUAGAUCAUCGUCAAUAUCGAGGCCUCUCAUCAUUUUAUUUCAUCACACGCCAACUAUUUCAUCUACCCACGUUUUACCCAACAUAUUUGUAGACAUAAAUUACAUAUACAAUUCAGAUCUAAAAAACAAAAUNUAUAUAUAUAGUUUAGAUCUGAAAAGAAAAGUCUAGAUCUGAAAUGAGAAAGUUUGGAUUUGAAGGAAACAGUUCAGAUCUGAAAGAAAGAGUUUAGAUUUGAAAGAAAAGUUCAUAUCUAAAAAGAAAAAGGUUUAGAUCUUUCUUCCAACAUAGAUCUCAGGUAAACAGAUAAUAUAUAUACACAUAACACGUAAUUUAUAUAAAAUAGUUUAGAUCUGAAAAGAAAAGUCUAGAUCUGAAAUGAGAAAGUUUGGAUUUGAAGGAAACAGUUCAGAUCUGAAAGAAAGAGUUUAGAUUUGAAAGAAAAGUUCAUAUCUAAAAAGAAAAAGGUUUAGAUCUUUCUUCCAACAUAGAUCUCAGGUAAACAGAUAAUAUAUAUACACAUAACACGUAAUUUAUAUAAAAUAUUUCAUAUUUAUGUGUAAGAAGAAAGUAAAUACACACUCACAUGAUAAGGUGGCGAUUCGGACAACGUUUUGCUUCUUAAAAUAAUCUCCAUUGAUGAAACCGGGAAGUUUGGUUGAAAACCGGGCUCUGCGGGGGGGCAAAGUUUCUAAACCGAAAAACUCUUUUUCUCGGAGACUUCGGGCGCUCCGGGGCUUUCUUCUAGUGCUAAGGAGGUCCCCUAGGCUUCGGGGGUGUUUAGGGUGGAUAGAGAGAGAAAGAGAGAGAGAGAGAGAGAGAGAGAGAGAGUAGAGUAGAGAGUGAAAGAAGUGUGAAAUAUGUGAGAAAACAUGGCUAGCCUCGCAUCCUAUUUAUAGUCAGGAGGUCUCGCAUUACGUUGGGCGUUCCUCGGUCUACAUGGGGUGUUCCUCGGUACGCAGGGCGUACCCUCGUACGCGGUACGGUUUGCGAGGUUCGGAUUUGUCACCCUUCAGAUGGAGCUAUGUGGCCAAUUCCGGACCUAGCCUUUGCGAACGCGGGGUGUUCUCUUCGGAUAGCCUCGAAAUAUGUACCUCUUACUUCAAAAAUUCAUAUAUUUUGCAUACGAGCUCCGUUUUCGACGUUAUUUAUAUCCACGCGUAGGCAGGACCGUACUCUACAACUUUUGUUUAGACUCAGUUGGCUAAAUUUGACUUUAUUUUUAAAGUUAUAUUUUUAACAGGCCGGGACAGGAAAAGUCUAUUAAAAAUUCAUAACUUCUUCAUCCGACGUCCGUUUUCGUUUUUCUUUUAACCGUUGAACUACUAUUGACGAGAUCUUCGAUUCUUGUUUAGGUUGUGUCGGAUAAAAAUCCCUCGAUUAUAAUUCGAGCUACGGGCUGCACACUGCUAUGCUAAAUCUUAGAAAAUUCAUAACUUCCUCGUACCAAGUCAGAUUUGGACCUUCUUUUUAUGCACGCUCUUGAUUUAACGUAUACUAGGAUUUUCAUUUAGAUCGCUAAGGCUAAAAUGCACUUUAUCGUAAACUCACUUUUUACGUCACGCAAUAUCGUGCUAGUUUUGUCGUGAAACUUUAACAGGUCAUAACUUUUUUGUGAUAACUUGGAUUUCGGCAUUCUUUAUAUGUCCGAAAUCCUUGUCACGACCACUACAACUUUCUUCAUAGAUAUCAGAUUUAUAUAACAUUUUAUUUUUGAUGCUUAUUUUCAUUCUUAAUUUAUUAUAUCAUUAUAAAUAAGUAUAUAAUCACAUAAAAUCACGUAAUUCACAUAAUAUUCAAGUAAUUCAUCUUUAUUACUUUAAAAUAGGUUACAAUAGUUGACCUUGACUAUUACAUCAUCAUACUAAUGUUUAGCCCAGAAACAAGGGCAUUAGAACGAGUAUGUUACUAGGGAGAAGAGAAAGAAAAAGAGAAACGGAAAACAUGAAGGUUUCACGAGAACUUCUCACUGAUAUCACUAUUCCCGUCGGUAACGUCAUGGACAUUGCCGGUGAUAAGGUUACCUCGUUACCAGAGGCAUUUUCGGUGAAAAACGACAUGAGUGAAGCUUUUCAUCGGAGUUGAUAGAGAGAAAAAGAGUAACACGGAAGAGGGAAGAAUGAAGUCGCUAAGGGUAUUAUUCGUGUCACACUUUAGCAACGAUACCAUUUAGUGGUGUCGAAAGACAUUUGUGGCAACUCGAAACGUAAUAGUCGCGACACACUUUUGAGGGAAUAAUUGGCAGAGGGUUCGAGUAUUAGCGGUGACACCGUUGCUGGUAUUAGUUAGUGGUGUGUAUGGGGCGGUUUGGUUCGGUUAUUGGUUAAAACCGAACCAUAACGAUUAUGAUUGGUUAAUGCAUUUUGGUAGCCAUUGGGUAUGGUUAAUAUUGGUUAUGGUUAGUAGUUUUUAUCGGUUAACGGUUUUGGUUAAUGGUUAAUAUUGGUUAACCAUAAUGUUCAAAAUAAUAUAAACGACGAAAGUAUUUUGGCAUGAAAAAUGAAAAUAAAAUACCAAAAAGUCCUCGACGCCGAUGUUUGUAACCUAACUUAUAGUAAUAUAAUAAAAUGUGUAUCUGUAAUACUUAGAGUGAGAUAACACAUAGUCACAUUUAAAAUCAAAAAUAUUUAAUAAAAAUAUAAAACAUUAAAAAAAUUGACAUUAAUAAUUUCAUAUAUUGAUAAUUGAUAUUAAUAUUAAAAUAAAGUCAAACAUUCAUACACGUUCAAUACGAUUAAAUUAAAACUAUUAAAUAAAAAAGCCAAACAUUCAUAUUCUGUGUUAUUAGAUAUAAAAAAAAAAAAAAGUCAAUCACUCAUCUACAUUCAAUGUGAUUAAGUCAAAAACACUAAAAAAAUUCAAAAAAUUAAAAAAAAAUACAUUCUUAAUAUAUCACAUAGUUAAAAAGAACCAAAAACUUAACUUACCUAGAAGUCUUGAGUAUAAAGUCAAAAAAAUCCUUCGAAUAGGACUAUAAAGUCCAAACAAUCUUUGAUUAUGAUUAACGGUGUGAGAAGCCUUCGAUUAGGAUUAUGAGUGUGAAGAUUAAACUAAUUGUGAAUAAUGUUUACAAAUUGUAGAAUUAGCCGAUUAUGAAUUACAACAUUAAUUAAUAAUCUAACUCAAUGUAUGAUUGGAAGAUUAUGUGUGUCUGAGUGAUCAGUCUUUGAUGAUUUGAUUGCUCGUUCGUCUCCUGGUAAGUGAAGAUUAAUAGAUUAUAUUUUCAAAAUUUUAAUGGAUCUUAAAUAAGUUUGACUAUAUNUCUCUUUCUCUCUCUCUCUCUCUAUAUAUAUAUAUAUAUAUAUAUAUAUAUAUUAAAAUAUAAAGUUAGCGGUUCGGUUAAUAAUGGUUCGGUUAACCUAUAAAACCAUAACCGAACCGUUAGUUAUUGGUUAACAAAAAUUAGAAACCGAACCAACGGUUUUUAAAAUGGUUCGGUUAUAACGGUUAAUUUGGUUUUGGUUCGGCUUUUCGGUUAUUAUGCUCACCCCUAGUAUUAGUUUCGCCGUUAUUGUUAUGUACGAAAUCAUUUUUCAAGUGUUGGAUUAUGACAAAAUCGACGAAUAGGGUUUAACCUCAGAUUUUGACGCGGAUCGGGGUUGAUGAGUUUCGCCUUUAGCGGUGACAACCACCAUUACAACGAGACCUAAUCUAAAUGUUGGGUAUCGCUUGUAAUGGUGGUUGUCGCAACUAAAGGAUUCGCCACUGAAGUCCUAUAUUGUUGUAGUGAUAAAUGUUAAACCUAAACACCAAUUUAAACACACCAACCACUAGAAAUUGGUGGCGACAAGUUCAUGGCAUUAAGAGCGAUAACAAAUGGUGUAUAAAUCCAUUAUGAUCUUCGUUGCGAUUUAACAGAACAUAUUUGGACGGUUAAUGAUUUUGAAGCUCAAUUUUGGAACAAUUUUUUUUUUGAUCCAUCAUGUUAUUAAGUUUUAAGUUUUUAAUUUUUUGAGUUGUUAUGGUUUAGUUUCUUGUUGUGUAAUUUUUAUUUUGAUUUAAUAUAAAAUUUAGUUUUUAAAAAAUUAAUUGCUAAAAAAAGUACUGAUGUUAAAAAAAUGAUGUUAAUCCGCCUAACCUAAAUGUAAAUGGUAUGUUGAAGACGGUGUGUAGCAAAAUCAAAUAUAAGCUGCUGGUUGAUGCAUCGGGUAUUGUAUUACGUGAGGUUGAUAGUUUGAUUUGUUGAAAUUAUCUUUUGUGUGUUUGAGAAUUCUUUUAUGGAAGUCCCUAUAAAAAGGAGUUCAAACUCAAAUGUUGGUUGAAAUAUUGCGAGUACACUUCACUUAAUUUGAUUGCGGUUAGGAAGCAAUUUAAUUUCUCAAAAGAUUAAAUGCCACUAAUAAAUUAAAAAAAUAAACUAAAAAUCAACACCAAAUUAAUGCCAAAGCUUUAAACCAUAUAUUACUAAAUUAAUUCACAUACGCCAUCAAAAAAAAAUUCAUGUCACAAACCCAUACUCAUAAAACUCACUUUCCAGGUACAAAGUUUGUAGCAUAUGACCAUGCAUUGUUUGCAACAGGGUCAGCAAGGUGGUCAGCGAGGUUCUCCAAUGGUCCCUUUCCGGUAACAAUGGCUUGAACAAAGAAUCCAAACAUAGAGAACAUGGCUAGUCUACCGUUCUUGAGCUCCUUCACUUUCAGCUCAGCAAAUGCCUCUGGGUCAUCAGCCAGACCCAAUGGGUCGAAGCUACCACCAGGGUAAAGUGGGUCAACUACCUCACCAAGAGGUCCACCAGCAAUUCUGUAACCUUCAACUGCACCCAUCAAGAUCACUUGGGUAGCCCAGAUGGCUAAAAUGCUUUGUGCAUGGAUCAAACUUGGGUUCCCCAAGUAGUCAAGACCACCCUCACUAAAGAUCUGGGAUCCAGCCUUGAACCAUACAGCCUCACCAAACUUGACACCAUUACGCGCCAAGAGUUCGGGGAAGACGCACCCAAGAGCUCCGAGCAUGGCCCAUCUGCUGUGGAUGACCUCAAGCUCACGGUUCUUGGCGAAUGUUUCAGGAUCAGCAGAGAGCCCAGCAGUGUCCCAACCGUAGUCACCGGGGAACUCACCGGUCAGGUAAGAUGGGGCUUCGCCGGAGAAUGGGCCAAGGUACUUAACACGGUCGGGGCCGUACCAUGGACUUCCUGAUGGUGCGACUUUCUUGACUGCUGUCUUCCUCAUGGAAACCCUUCCAUUUCCGGUGAUUUCUGAACCAGAUGGUGUUAUUUUCACUGCUUGUCCGAUGAAUGAAGAAGAUACAGACAUAGUGGAAGCUGCCAUUCUGUUAAAUUUGGUUGAAAGAUGUUGUGGAGAUAGGAGAGUUUGAGUUAUGAAGAUGGGGAGAUCUGCAAGUUUAUUUAUAAGGUGGUUUUUUGGUCAGAUAGAUAUGAUCGAUGCUUAUCUAGAUACAAUCUUCACCUUCAUUUUGAUUGGCAAACAACAUUCUAGUUUUAUCUAAGGGUCAGUAAUCUGCGUGCUGUGAGUUCUCUGGUCCACCAGAGAUUUUUGAAGGGGCUGCGGUAUAUUCAUGGCUCUGGUUUAUUGAGGGAAUGUAAUGGCUCCCAUUCUCAGCCACAAGCUGUUCUUGGUGGGGUUUUUCAUCUUUAACCAUUUUACAUUUUCACAAAGUUACAUAAAUAGUCAUCAUGCUUUACAAAGUCACCGGUUCAGCAACAAACUUUUUUUCCAUGAUUAAAAAUUCAAAACGGUCCGUAUGGUUUUAAUAUUAUUAGUAAUCAUCUUAACAUUUCUAAUUUUUAAAGACAAAUAUUCAUAUAAAUGGUUAUGUGAUUUUCCAGAAUAUCAAGUGGAGCACAUCAUUUUUUCGGUCUUAUGGAAUGACUAUUUGGUUUCAAUUCCUAUCAUAAUUGAUCUUAGAGCAUCCACAAUAGGGGAGUUUAAUGGAAGAGUUGAAUGAGGUGUCAUGCCUACUUGUCAUUCAAUGGAUACAACUCCACCAUUGUGAAAUGCCACCUUGGCAUUCAAUGAAUUUGGAGUUCAAUGGUCAUUGAACUCUUCAAUGGGAAAAAGGAAAAUCUUUAAAUCUUUAAAUAAAUAUUUUUUAAUAUAUUCCAUUGAACUUGUAGAGUUUAAUGCAUUGUGGGAUAAAAAUGAAAAGAGUUGUAUGGAAUAAUGAAUGAUGACGUGACACUCCAUUGAACUCUAUAGAGUUCAAUGCAUUGUAGAUGCCCUUAGUCCCACAUAAAUAAACUUUUAUACCCUUCUAUAUUAUAAUUAGUUUAUUUAAUAUAUAAAUAGCUAUGUUUUAUAGUUAACAAUAAAUUUUGUUCAUNNNNNNNNNNNNNNNNNNNNNNNNNNNNNNNNNNNNNNNNNNNNNNNNNNNNNNNNNNNNNNNNNNNNNNCUCUCUCUCUCUCUCUCUCUCUCUCCCAUCACACCCUCCUAAUCUUUAUUUCUUUCACUCGAUCGGUCAACCUCUUUUCUUUCUACAUAAAAAUUAAUCCAAAAUGCAGCCUUUUCCCAUACUCUGUGCUUGCACCGCCACUUUACCUUCUUGAAACCAAAUUACUAACCAUACACAAGUCUACAAAUCUACUAAUGUGUCUUCCAUUUCUCAAAAUCGAAAAAUAGAGAAGGUGUAGAACAUUGAGCUCACUUCUGUGCAUCUCCCACCUCUUUUACACAAAUAUGAAAUUAAAAUUGAAGAACAACUUUGUGAAGAACCUAGAUUGUGGAGAUGAUGAUGAAUAAAGUCGAUAGUUGGUGGUGCUCGGUGAUGUUUGAUGUUAGCGGCAGUACACUAGUGUUGUGGUGAUCGCCUGUUCAGUUGGUUAUAUUCUGGUAGGGUGGACGAUGGUGACCGUAGAACAGUUCAUAUAUAUAUNNNNNNNNNNNNNNNNNNNNNNNNNNNNNNNNNNNNNNNNNNNNNNNNNNNNNNNNNNNNNNNNNNNNNNNNNNNNNNNNNNNNNNNNNNNNNNNNNUAUAUAUAUAUAUAUAUAUAUAUGUGUGUGUGUGUGUGUGUGUGUGUGUGUGUGUGUGUGCGCGCGCACACUACAAGAAAUUUAGGUGUUUAUCCACACACGUUAUAUGUGGCUAAAAGACCUUUAUGUGUAGUUAUCUUUAGCUACACACAGAUUAAGUGUCAUAAUGUAUUGACUCAUGCCUAUAGAUAUAUAUCAUUAACUAUACAUUCAUUAUGUGGAAGUAUAGUGCAAUUAGUACACACAUACAUGUGUGGUUAAAACUAGUAAGUAUGUGCAUAUAGAAAGGGAGCUGAUCCGUUCACAACAAUUUUUCUCCAUACACAAUAAUUGAUGCUUUAAAAUGUUGUAUUAUACAACUAUAUAAUGCAUGAAUUGUUGUGUAUGGCAAAAAACUGUUGUGUACGAAUCACUUCCCAUAUAGAAGUACUAAAAAUUGUUUGAGUUGUCAACGAUGUGGCUGAUGACAUGUCAAAUUAUGUGGCAAGCCCACACAAAGUGUUGGUGAUAUGUGUUAUUCGAUAUGUGUGGGUAAUAAUUGUUAUAUGUGUAGGUUAAGAUAAGAUAUAUGAAAUAUAUAAAACACAAUAAAUGAAAUAUAAAAUUUAACAACACAAAUUGUUAUUACUUUUAAUAAGGAGUUAACGAUAUAUAAAACUUCUUUUGGAAUGGAAGUAUGUAGCACCCAAAGUCAGAAAGGCCAAGAAAGGAAAGGAAACCCUAAGUUUAAGGGACGACUCAGCAAGUCCAAGGAGGUACUCGGCGAGUCCGAGCGGGAUCCGGGUCGAGGAGUAAAUGACCGACUCGGCGAGUCGGCCAAGGAGACUCGGUGAGUCUGGUCUGUACGAGGAAAUCCCUAAAUUCGGGACUUGGAGCCUAUUUAAGCGCCUCAUUCUCUUCUCUAGGGUUCCUCUACUGCCUCUCUAACCNCUCAACCCCACCCCCGCCCCGCCAUAUCCAUUGUUGAGCCAAUUAUUGCUUUGAAGAGUGCAUUAAAGCUUGGAGAAGGAAGAAGGACCUUGGAGGUGCAAGAAGGAGCUAUAGAUCUGGGCUUGGGAAGAUAUUUCUGAACAUUUGGAGGUAAUAAACUAGUUCUUGGACUCCUUUGCACCUAGAUCUAUGUGUGAGUUUUGGGGCUUUUGGCCAUGAUUGGUACCCAUUUAAGUUAGAAGCCAGAUCUAAAGUUGCUACUUCGGAUAUAAGCAUAUUAUGGGCUUGUGAAGCAUAAAGUAUCAGCCCUUGAGUUGAUUAUGGAGCCUCUUUGCAUUAAACCCUAUUUUAUGGUGUGUCUAGCCUAGAUCUCCUUCUCUACACGUAAAGUUUGCAACUUUACGUGAGGAAUAGGCUUGGGAAGGGUAGAUCUACAGUUUGGGGUCCAUGCAUGACUCAAAAGUCCUCUACAUGUAUGUAGAUCUGAAUGGACUCGGCGAGUCCUUUGAGUGGACUCGGGGAGUAGCAUGAAGAUUAGGAGGAACUCAACGAGUGGGAUGAACAGCUCAUCGAGUCGGAUGAAGUUGGGCAGGAACUCGGCGAGUUGGAAGAACAACUCGGAGAGUCGGUUGAAGAUUGCCUUGGACUAGGUGAGUCUGUUCUUGGACUCGGCGAGUCAGGUCGCGAAACCCUAAACCCUUCGACUUGAGACUCGAAUCAGUGAGUCGAGUGGAGACUCGGUAAGUUGGACAGGUCAGGACUCGGAAAUCGGUAGACUCGGCGAGUCAUGGACUGACUCGGUGAGUCGAGUCGCGAUUGGAAGGACUUAGAGCAUAUGAACUCGGCGAGUCAAUAGGUAGACUCGGCGAGUAGGGUUGACCUGGAAGAUUGACUUUGAACAGGACUUUGACUUUGACCAGAGUUGACUUAGUUGACUGUUGGGGGUCAGUUAGUCUAAGUGUUUCAUUGAUAUUGGUAGCUCGGGGAGCUAGUGGAGCAGGAGUUCAGAGAGUUUCCGGGCAGCAUCCAGAAGGUUAUCAGCAUGUUCAGCAAGUGCAUGUGAGUUUCCCUUUGUGCCAAUGGGUCUACGGUCACAAUGUCGGCCCAUGUAGUUAUGAGUAGAAGACCCGGGGGUUAGCCCUAGGCACAGUAUGCUAGUAUGAUAUUCAGGACGAGGUCCAAUGAUAGCGGGCGGGUGCCCAAGGAAUGGUUUAUGUGAUAGUUUAUACUUGUUGUAUGUGUGAUACUUGUAUGUGUCUGGUAGGGAGGUGAGUGUGGGCGAGGUCCCGUAUCUCACCAAUAGCAGAGUGUGGAUGGUGUUCCACAUCUCAGUAGCAGCAGAGCAGGGGCGAGGCCCAAGUUAGGGAAGGAGUGAGGGUGGGCUGGGCCCGUACCUCACUAUCAGCAGGAGUAUGGACGGGGUUCCAUGACUCAUCAGUAGCAGGACAAGGGCGGGGCCCAGAGAUAGGCGAGGCCUUAGGACAAGAUCCGUUAGUAUGUGUUUAGCUUAUGUGAUGUGAUGUGAUAUGUUUAUGUGCUAUUAUAUGUUAGUGGGCGAGGCCCUGUGACAGGCGAGGCCUAAGUGAAACAGAUCUGUAUCCGAGCGGGGCUCGAAGCCAGGCGGGGCCUGGAGCGGCGGGGCCGUUGUAGCGGGCGAGGCCCGAGGUAGGGGGGGAGGCCCAGGAUAGCGGGCGUGGCCCAGCGUGUGCAGUAUGUGGUUAUGCAUGGUAUGUGGUAGGGUGGGGAACUCACUAAGCUUCGUGCUUACGGUUUUCAGUUUUGGUUUCAGGUACUUCCGGUAGCGGAGGGAAGAGCUCGGGGGUGAUCGCAUGGCACACACCAUAGAUUAGACAGUCUGGGAAUGUUUUACUCUGACAAUGAACAUGUGUUUUGGAAAAUUAAUACUCUGAUUAUGUUUUGAAUUGGUGACCUUGCUUAAAGAAAUCUUUUAUUAAAAGAAAUUUUUAGUCAUGAAUUUUGGGACGUUACAAGUUGGUAUCAGAGCCUUGGUUUGAGGGAUUCGGGCAUACUCUCGGGUGUGCCUGAACUCAAACUAAGGGGUCGGAUAAAAAGUUUUCAAAAUGAAAAGACAGUUUUCUAAAAAGAGAGUUUUGGGAAAGAAAACAGUUUUAGAAAAGCAAAAAGAAUUCAGAAAGAAAAGAACUUUGAAAAGAAAAAAAUGGUGUGGUGCAUGCAAUCAGCUGGUCUUAAGUAAGUACCCCAAAUUACCCAUACAAGUUUAUGUUAUGAUUAUCAGUUAGUAGAACAGCAUGCUAGAUUAGGACUAAGGAUCUAGGGAGGAUGCCUUAUGUGCCUAUUAUAUGUGCUUUGAGUUGCAUGAUAGUGUUGAUUAGACAGUGGUAGGAUAGCCUGUUUAGGUUAUGCCUGAGUAUAUGAGUUUGUGUUGCAUGCUAGUUCAGAUUCUUGCUAUGUGGAUAUGAUUGCUUAUGUAUGUUAUGGUUAGAUUUUCCCCUUGUCUGAAUGCUGCCUGCUUUGUGCAAUAUGGGAUUCCGAGUGAUGGGAGUAACCAUUAGGUGGAUACGUCACGUCACAUGUGAUCAGGGUUGAAUAAUCUCAGAGUGCUAAAUUUGGCCCUAUUUCGCAGCUCUCGUUUGAGUCCAACCAUUGUAGGGAUGAGUCUUUUACUCGAAGAAUUAUCUGAGCCUUGUCACAUGUGAUGGUGUCCAGUUGAUGGCCAAUUGGCAUCACAAGGAGUCCUUCAGCAGCUGAGGCCUGGUUUGGUGUGAGUCAGAGGUUUCCUUAGGGUAAGCCUAGGAUGAGAUAGUGUUGGGAGCAGUAGUAGUGGAUAAGGGACCUGGUGGAGUCGAAGCAAUUCCNGAGGAAAGUACAGAUAGAUAUGGAUGGUAGUAUGGGCCCGUACUACUGAAAGCAGAGGAUCCGUACUCGAUUCGGGAAAGGCUGAGACAAGACCGAGAACCUAGUAGGGUGAGUGUGUGUCUGGUCUCACAGCAGUGAUAAGUAUUCUGAUAGAGGAUGUAUUAUAUAUUCAGCAUGGUGACAUUGCGAGAGAGACCAGUGGGUGGACCAGGCGCCGGAGAGGGAUCGCUCGGGGUCNAGCAGCUCGAGGAGCGGAUGAGGGAGUUGAUAUCAGCUGAGGUUACGCGCAGUAUUCUAGAUCAGACUCCUGUGAUCUUUGGCACGGUCAAGGAGGGUAUAUUGGAGAUUUUGGAUGAGAGGCUGGGAGCCUUCCGUACCGAGAUGAUGGCAUUGAUGGGAGCACGUACCUUGACAUUUCGAGAGUUCAGGGCUUGCGGGGCACCAGAUUAUCAUGGGGCUAGGGACCCCAUCGCUAGCAGCAGAUGGUUGGUUGAUGUUGCCAAUGCAUUCCGUACGAGCCGGUGUCCUGAGGGGGACAAGGUUAGGCUCGCUUCUUGUCUUCUGAAGAACAGAGCAAGGGAUUGGUGGGAGGAGAUUAGUCAUGCCUUGGGGGAUGAUGUCGCGUUGGAUGCGAUGACUUUGAGCGAUUUCUCGUCCAGGUUCAGGGCGGAGUUUUCGCCGAUUAUUGAGGUGCAGCAGUUGCCACAGGAGUUUCAGGAUUUGACGCAGACCACUGAGACUGUGGCGGAGAUCACCGCCAAGGUCAGGGAGAGGGCUCUUCUUGUACCGCAGUGUGUCGCGGAUGAGGAGAUGAAGAAGGCCCGAUACCAUGAGAUGUUGAGGGAUGAUAUCAGGGUGUUCGUGAUCAGGUCCAGCUGUAAGACGCUAGAAGAUAUGAUUUCUCGAGCUAGAGAGAGGGAAAUUGAUUUGGAGCAGAUCCGGAAGAGGAAGCCGGAUGAGGUUUAGGUAGCCACAGGUUCGGGCAAAAGGCCUAAGGGAUCAGAUUCGAGAUCGAGGGAUUAUCAGGACCGCAGUCGGUGCGGGAAGUGUGGCAGGGCGCACAGGGGUGCGUGUAGGAGUGGUAGCGGUGGUGAUUCUGGCUGCUUCAAGUGCGGUCGGACUGGUCAUUUCAGUAGAGAUUAUACUGUUACCACCACACAGGGAUCAGACUUGAUAUGUUUUCACUGCAAUCAGCGGGGCCACAAGAAGGCCCAGUGCCCCAGUUUGUUUUCAAUAGGACGGGUGAUGACACUUGCCCCUGCAACUUUGAGGAUCACAGACGGCCGUCAGGGCCGUGCAGAGGCGCCUGCGGUAGGAGGCAGGUCUUUUCAGAUGACUACCUUGGAGGCGCGAGCAGCACCGGACGUUGUAGGUAUGCGAUUUUGUUUUCAGUUCUUUUAUUUGUGCAUGAUUAUAUUGUUAUGGUUCUGGAUCAUCAUUGGUUUGAGUAUUUUAUUUUUUGAGCGGUUGAUUGUGAUCGAGUUAUAUGCCAUCUUAAUACCUUGGAUAUUUGAAUGGUAGUUAGGAGAUGUGCUCUAUUAGAGAAGGUUUCAUAGGAUGCAGUAAUUGUAGCAUGCCUGGGAGGGACUUGGUAUGUCUCGCUAGAUCGGAGUUGUAUAAUGUUAGAGAUGGAUUGGUUAGAUCCCUAGCUAUGGUGAGCUUGGGUUCCUCAGCAGCUUGAUUAUGGAAUGGUAGCAAGGAUUGGGAUUCUUUUGAGUAUUGAGCAGCAAGGGGUAAGCAGGAUCGAAGUGGGGGAGAAUCCUCCGAGUGUGCAAAGGUAGGAUCACGCAGACCCAAAAUGAGUGCGCGACCUCCGAGAAGGAAAAGAAGUAGUUCAGCGUUUGAUGGAUUGAGGAUUUCAGGGUUGGGAUUUUGAGAAACUCCCCAUCAGCUAGUGCGUGUGAUGGUGAUGGUUAGUAUGUGGUUGGGAAUUCAGGUUGUGGAUCGCCCGUAGGACUCGAGGGAGUCGGAAUGAGGAUCUUGAGAGCUAAUGGCACAUGGGUGCCUUCGUAUUAGCAGUCAGUGGUAGAAAGUGAUGUAAGACUACGGGGCAGCCGUAGCAUUCACUAACAGUUAGUGGUAGAAAGUGAUGUAAGACUACGGGGCAACUAUAACACUCACUAGUAGUCAGUGGUGGAAGUGUUGUAAGACUACGGGGCAACCAUAGCAUUCACUAGCAGUCAGUGAUGGAUGGUGAUGUAAGACUACUAGUAAGCCGUAGCAUUCCUUAGUAGCUUCGUUAGCGGAGUUGGGGCGAGGCCCUUAUCUCCUAGCGAUCAGAUAGGGAUCAGGAAUGGGUAGUGGAUGAAAGUGAUAGGAAGUUUGCUUGUAUAGCCCUAGAGAGGUGAGACCUUGGGAGAGGCCGCUCCAGGAUAUAGUUGGGUGAGGCCUGUGGGCGAGGCCCGUAUGAGAGUAGCGGUAUAGGUGAGACCUGAGAGUAGGGUUGCUCAGUAGUAUGGCCGGGUGAGACCCGUAGGCGAGGCCCGAGAGAGAGUGGUUAGACAAGUAGGACUAGAAGGAUAGAGGCGGGGGGGACCCGUGGGCGAGGCCCGUGUGUUUUAGCGGCAUAGGGGGGACCUGGUAAGGACCUUAGUGUCAAGAUAAGGGAUCGGGGAUCCAUGGAUUGUAGUGACUGAAUGGCAGAAUAGAUUGCGCAGUUAUAGGUGGUCAAAGUUCCUUCGAAAGUCGCUGGGAGCGACUAGGAGUAGUGUUGGGACUAGCGACCGGUGGGAUCCGGUAAUCCAGAUAUUGGUAGGACGGUAGGGAUUAGGGUGGUCUCAGUUCAUCCGGAAGGCAGAUAAGGAAUAGCAGAAUUUUCAGUCAGUAGUAGUGCGGGUAAGCAGUGUAUGGUGGAAUUCAGUUAGUUGUAUCGAGGGGUGCUCGACACCAAGUUUUGACAGAGAGGAGUGUCAGUGGUUACUGGCGGUGAUGACCUGUACUGGAAGUAGCGGGGGUGAUGGAGUUGGCGAAGGAUAUGACCUUCACAGUGACAGAGGAAAUAGUUGGUUAUGGAGCAUUGCCUUGGGAAGGCAAGGAAUUCGCACAAGGAAAGAAGGGGUGAACCCCUAUAGGUUCAGUACAGUACUCGGUGAGUACCGGAAGGAUUGUCGGUUGAGUAAGUUGUGUUUCCAGGAUGUUCAGGGUCAGGGUGACCUGAGUCUAUUAUCCGCAAGGAAUGAUGUUAGUCAGAAUGACCGGGCGGAAGACCAGCGAAGGUAGGCAGCUGGUGUUGGAAUGAUUAGUUGGGUAUUGAAAGCAUAUCGCAGGCAGUGGCCCAUAGCAAACUUCGAGGAUGAAGUUUAGUUUAAGUGGGGGAGAGUUGUAACACCCAAAGUCAGAAAGGCCAAGAAAGGAAAGGAAACCCUAAGUCUAAGGGAUGACUCAGUAAGUCCAAGGAGGAACUCGGCGAGUCCGAGCGGGAUCCGGGUCGAGGAAUAAGUGAACGACUCGGCGAGUCGGCCAAGGAGACUCGGUGAGUCUGGUCUGUACGAGGAAAUCCCUAAAUUUGGGACUUGGAGCCUAUUUAAGCGCCUCAUUCUCUUCCCUAGGGUUCCUCUACUGCCUCUCUAACCCAGAACACCAAACCCUAGCCGCCAUAUCCGUUGUUGAGCCAAUUAUUGCUUUGAAGAGUGCAUUAAAGCUUGGAGAAGGAAGAAGGGCCUUGGAGGUGCAAGAAGGAGCUAUAGAUCUGGGCUUGGGAAGAUAUUUCUGAACAUUUAAAGGUAAUAAACUAGUUCUUGGAAUCCUUUGCACCAAGAUCUAUGUUGAGUUUUGGGGCUUUUGGCCAUGAUUGGUAUCCAUUUGAGUUAGAAGCCAGAUCUAAAGUUGGAACUUCGGAUCUAAGCAUAUUUUGGCCUUGUGAAGCAUAAAGUAUCAGCCCUUGAGUUGAUUAUGGAGCCUCUUUGCAUUAAACCCUAUUUUAUGGUGUGUUUAGCCUAGAUCUCCUUCUCUACACGUAAAGUUUGCAACUUUACGUGAGGAAUAGGCUUGGGAAGGGUAGAUCUACAGUUUGGGGUCCAUGCAUGACUCAAAAGUCCUCUACAUGUAUGUAGAUCUGAAUGGACUCGACGAUUCCUUUGAGUGGACUCGGCGAGUAGCAUGAAGAUUAGGAGGAAUUUGACGAGUGGGAUAAACAGCUCGUCGAGUCAGAUGAAGUUGGGCAGGAACUCGGCGAGUUGGAAGAACAACUCGGCGAGUCAGUUGAAGAUUGCCUUGGACUUGGCGAGUCUGUUCUUGGACUCGGCGAUUCAGGUCACGAAACCCCAAACCCUUCGAGUUGAGACUCGAAUCAGUGAGUCGAGUGGAGACUCGGUGAGUUGGACAGGUCAGGACUCGGAAAUCGGUAGACUCGGCGAGUCGAGUCGCGAUUGGAAGGACUUUGAGCAUAUGAACUCGGCGAGUCAAUAGGUAGACUCGGCGAGUAGGGUUGACCUAGAAGAUUGACUUUGACCAGGACUUUGACUUUGACCAGAGUUGACUUAGUUGACUGUUGGGGGUCAGUUAGUCUAAGUGUUUCAUUGAUAUUGGUAGCUCGGGGAGCUAGUGGAGCAGGAGUUCAGAGAGUUUCUGGGCAGCAUCCAGAAGGUUAUCAGCAUGUUCAGCAAGUGCAUGUGAGUUUCCCUUUGUGCCAAUGGGUCUACGGUCACAAUGUCGGCCCAUGUAGUUAUGAGUAGNGGAAGGUUGACUUUGACCAGGACUUUGACUUUGACCAGAGUUGACUUAGUUGACUGUUGGGGGUCAGUUAGUCUAAGUGUUUCAUUGAUAUUGGUAGCUCGGGGAGCUAGUGGAGCAGGAGUUCAGAGAGUUUCUGGGCAGCAUCCAGAAGGUUAUCAGCAUGUUCAGCAAGUGCAUGUGAGUUUCCCUUUGUGCCAAUGGGUCUACGGUCACAAUGUCGGCCCAUGUAGUUAUGAGUAGAAGACCCGGGGGUUAGCCCUAGGCACAGUAUGCUAGUAUGAUAUUCGGGACGAGGUCCAAUGAUAGAGGGCGGGUGCCCAAGGAAUGGUUUAUGUGAUAGUUUAUACUUGUUGUCUGUGUGAUACUUGUAUGUGCCUGGUAGGGAGGUGAGUGUGGGCGAGGUCCCGUAUCUCACCAAUAGCAGAGUGUGGAUGGUGUUCCACAUCUCAGUAGCAGCAGAUCAGGGGCGAGGCCCAAGUUAGGGAAGGAGUGAGGGUGGGCUGGGCCCGUACCUCACUAUCAGCAGGAGUAUGGACGGGGUUCCAUGACUCAUCAGUAGCAGGACAAGGGCGGGGCCCAGAGAUAGGCGAGGCCUUAGGACAAGAUCCGUUAGUAUGUGUUUAGCUUAGGUUAUGUGAUGUGAUAUGUUUAUGUGCUAUUAUAUGUUAGUGGGCGAGGCCCUGUGACAGGCGAGGCCUAAGUGAAACAGAUCUGUAUCCGAGCGGGGCUCGAAGCCAGGCGGGGCCUGGAACGGUGAGGCCGUUAUAGCGGGCGAGGCCCGAGGUAGGGGCGAGGCCCAGGUUAGCGGGCGUGGCCCAGUAUGUGCAGUAUAUGGUUAUGCAUGGUAUGUGGUAGGGUGGGGAACUCACUAAGCUUCGUGCUUACGGUUUUCAGUUUUGGUUUCAGGUACUUCCGGUAGCGGAGGGAAGAGCUCGGGGGUGAUCGCAUGACACACACCAUAGAUUAGACAACCUGGGAAUGUUUUACUCUGAUAAUGAACAUGUGUUUUGGAAAAUUAAUACUCUGAUUAUGUUUUGAAUUGGUGACCUUGCUUAAAGAAAUGUUUUAUUAAAAGAAAUUUUUAGUCAUGAAUUUUGGGACGUUACAAAGUACAUUAAUCCUUGGUACAAAUAUUACAUCAACAAAAGUUAUCUCUAAGCUUUCAUGAAAUUGAAGACCUUAUGCCUAACACAACCAUUGUAUCUAGAUAAGAUUUUCCUACUUAUUUACUUUGUUGUGUGCAAAUAUUAAUACACUUGACUUAAGCAUCACCAACAUUUGGACAUAAUUGUUGACGUUGAGGUGGUUGGUUAGAGCAUUAGUCAACUUUAAUAUUCAAGUGAAGACGUAUCAAAUACAAGUGAUUGUAGUUCACUCCUAUAGCAACAAGAGGAGCAGAGGCUUUAAGUAGUUUAUCCAUUUCAACAUGAAACUCUUUUCACACAUGAACGAUCUUAUGACACCUGUCAAAUGCCUCUUAAAAUAUACAAUCAACACUUGGUCAGUAGCUUUCUUCUCUGUGGCCAGAACCAUGACCUCUUCAUUUCCCUAUAUUAAUGAUGACAGGUUCAUAAACUAAAAGGACUGUAAAGUCAAAAUAGUUGACAUUAUGUUGACAUACCUAGUGGUGUGAAGAGAAGAAUAAAUAGAAUGUUUGUAAUAAACCCGCUUUCUUGGGUGAGGAAACCAUGACACUUGUUCAGAAAUGAAACAUCCCAACUAGCACCUAACGACUUUUGCUACAUUGAGAUAUACUAGCAAACAACAUAAGCAAAUCACAUGGAAAAUUAUUACAAUUAAUAAAACUCAUAAAUAAAGUGGUAAAAACAGCCUUGCACACACUCUUGAUUAAAAAAAUAGUUUAUAUUAGUGUAACAUCCCGAUUUCUCGAUAUCAGUUUAAAGUUCUAGAGUCAUGUUUCAAAGACAACUCGACGAGUUGAUAGGCCAACUCGUUGAGUAGUGACCAAAUCAGCCAUGUGGAUUUUAGACCCUACUCGUCGAGUUGGAGGACCCGACUCGACGAGUAGGUGCUGGAAAGUGAAAACCAUAAUUUUUAGGGUUUGCACCCUAUUUAAAGGUCCUUAACUUUCCUCCUCAGCCUCCCUUGUCACCUUCACGUCCAAAAAAACCAACUAGUCUCUAUUCUUGAGUGUGUGAGACCAAAAGAGAGUGUAUUGGAGCAUUCUUAAGGAGUUAAGAGCUUUGAACAAGGGAUAGCUUGUAGAUCCAACUUUUCCAGUGUUGUGACAACAAUAUUGAGUUAUAAAGCUACCACCUUUAUAUUUCAUUGCUUAGAUCUUCCUUUUUGGUAAAGUAAUUGUCAUGUCUAGGGCAUGAUGGGGUCACACUCGGAUUUAAGCUUGCCACAAGGGCAUAGUUUUAGAACUUGACUUCUUAAGGCCUUAUGAACAUAAAUCCUUAAGCUUUAUGAAGCCCUAGCCCUCCUUCAUGUCCAAAACCUUCUCCUAAUGCUAAUUAUGAGUGUUUUAGCUUCAUAGAACCAUGCAUGCAUGUAAAGUUAGCAACUUUAUGUGAUAACAACACCCUAGGAGCAUAGAUCUACUGUUUGGAGCUUUGGAGCAGCUUAAAAUAGUCUGAAUGAGUGAUGGACUGAAGGAGACUCGACGAGUUUCAUGGUUGAAUCGAAGAGUCGGUUGAAGAUUGCCCAUAAUGGUUUUGCAUGGACUCGGCAAGUCAGUAAGAAGACUCGACGAGUCAGUUAGGGUUCUUCCUGACAUUUAGACACGCGUAGACUCGCCGAGUUGGUGGGGAAACUCUGCGAGUUGGCCCAGGGAUUUCACGGUUUUCUGAGUUUUGGAGGAACUCGAUAGGUCAGUAGUUGGACUCGACGAGUUGGGUCAACAUGGACUGUUGACCUUGACUGUUGACUUGGAGUUUGACCAGGGUUAACCAUGUUUGACUUUGGAGGGUAUUUGGUAAAUGGGUAUUUAAGGAAAUGGAUCAUGGGUGGAUAUAGGUAAUGGAGUUUGGGGCAGUAUUUUGAGAGCGUGAUUUCGUGGUUUAGUUCGGCAUUGCAAGGUGAGUUAUCCUCACUAUAUCAACAGGGUCUAAGGCACCAAGGUCAGCCCUUUAUCUGAUUUGUAUUCGGGUAUUUGCUUGAUAUGUUUUUUGAUCUGCUAGAUCUGCAUCCUGGUAGUUAGGAUGGUAUUAUGUUUAGUGACCUGGUUUAGGUCAGUAUCCUGGUAUAUGGGAUGAUGUUAUGUUAGUGACCGGUUAGGUCGGUAUCCUGGUUAUAGGACGGUUGUUGUGUUAGUAAUCAGUUAGUUUGGUAUGAUUAUCUGUUGUAUACAUGCUCGCGUAUAAUAUUUAUGUGCACAUGAUUGUUUGAUUGUUAUGGGGGUUGGGUUGAGGCGGGUCCUGCUUCGUGUUGUAGGCCAACAUACCCAUGGCGGACCGGAAAGACUACAGGCCCAGGAAGGCACAUUGUCCAACCAAUGGCCCAACGAGCGGUCCGGAUAGGCUGAAGGCCCCGAGAGGGUGGUCCAAACGUGCCGAGGCUCGGAGAGUGGGCCAGGUGGACUGAAGGCCCGGUGCGGGCGGUCCAGUCAUACUGUAGACUCAAAGAGUGGACCAGGUGGACUGAAGACCCAGUGCGGGUGGACCAGUCACACAGUAGACUCGGGAUGCAUGGCUGUUCAGUGUUUGUUAUAUGAUAUGAUUAUGGAUUGUAUGAGGUUGGUAUUUUGGGGGUAACUCACUAAGCCUUCGAGCUUACGUUUAUCAAUUUAUGUUUCAGGUACAACGAAUUAACCCAGGAAGACGAAUGUGUGAUCGUACACUUCCCCAUAAUAUGUUUUGGAUUUUCUGGGAUACUCUGAUGUGAAACUAUUUUGGAAACCUUUUUGUAAUAACUAUUGGCAUUUGAAAUGUUUUUAAAAGUUUAAAUUUGGCUUGGAUUUUAUGGGUGUUACAAUUAUUUCAAUUAUCCAAGACGAUUUUAUGUCGAGAUUUUAAGUUAACAUUAAAUCUCAAUUAUUUGUUUGAAUGAUUUUUUUCUUUUAUCUUAGAGAUUUGUUUGAAAUUUAUUAAUUUUUUUUAUAAAUUUGAAUUAAUCAAAGACACAUAUAAAAAUAUCUCAUCAAAUCAAAUAAAUUUAAUAUAUAAAAAAGAUAGUAUCCGAUUAAGUCAAUCUAAAAAUACCAACAUAUAAAUAUAACUCACAAAUCUUGAUGGGAAUAAGAAUCAAACUCAAAAUCAAUCAAAUAAAAAAACCUUUGAUUUGUGUUAUAAGUAUAAAAUAAAUCAGGAUUCCAAAUAAAUAUUACAAUGAAAAAAAACCUAAAAUGUUUGAAACAAAAUAUGAAAUUCGCCAUCACUGUCAAUUUAAAAAAAAAACCUUUAUUAAUACUAAUGGGCUAUUUGGUAGCAUCCUGAUGAAUCAUAUCUGAAUGAUCUAGAUGCCUGGAUGAUCUAGAUGCUCUUUAGGAAUUUCUAUCGGAAUGAUAAAAUAAUGUUUGGUUAGGCAUCUAAAUAUCUGCCUCUUAAUGAGGAAAAUAACCAUUUUAGCCCUCUAAAUUAUUUUUUGAAUACAAAAUAAACAUUAUACAAUAUCCAACAAAUCGGUUAAAACAAAUUGGCUUUUGAUAUUCAGAUUCAUGUGUUUCUUCAUCAACAAUCUCUUUGAAGAGGACUCGUUUUGUUUCUGUUUUUAGAUCAUUAGGCUUUCUUGCUUCUGGAACAUUGAUGGGCCUAUUUUCUUGCUGAAUAUCUUCCAUCACUAGCAACUUCAUCUUGCUCCUAGAUCACAUAUCAACUAAACAAGUUGAAAAAUAACCAAACACAUAUUUUCAUAUAGAACAUUUCAAGCAAACACAAACACAUUUUCAAAAAAAAAAAAACAAAUCAAUUGUUAUUUUCAGAUUUCCAAAGGACAAAAACAACAUCAACUGAACACAUAUAUAGAGCAAGAAGAACAAAGCACAAAAAUCGAUUUCAUACAAAAUCGAGCAGCAAGAACACGAUUGACACCAAUUUCAUGCAAAAUUGCUCAACAAUAACACGAUUGAAGCAACAGAUUCGAGAAAAAAAACCAUACCUGAAAACUUACCGACGACGAGUAGGCGGAGAAGUAGGAGCGUUGUCGAAGGCAUGCAAGGGGAGGCGGCGACGGAGCCAAUAAUUGGAAGUUGUCAACGCUUAAUGAAGAUAAAGAAUGAGGGAUGAAAGGUCGAUCUCUAGAAAGAAGGAGAAGAAAAAAGAGUCGGCCGCAAUUUGUUGUUAGGGCAAUGGUAGAAGAUGAAAAUUUUUUUAUUCAGACUUCUCCUCAUAUCUUAACGAAUCAGAUUAGUUUUAGCUACAUCUGACCGAUUAAGAGCGUAAAAAUGUUUCAACCAAACACUCUGAAUCUUAAUGAUCCAAAUGCAACCUCUUAAUGAGACCAUUAAGAGGCAAAACAAACAGCCCCUAAAUAAAAAAAACAAUAUAGUUUCCAUAAAAAUCGAUUUAAAUAUUAAAGAAGAGAAGAAAUCAGCAUUUAUACGACGUAAUAGUUUUUUAAAAUUAAAAAAAAAAAAUUAUUCAUAUUAUAAGUAUAAAAUACAUUUUAUUCUUAACUCUCAUUUGUAAUUUGCCAUAUGUUUUCAUAAGAGUUUAUGGUAAUAACUUAAAUUUUUAUUUUUCCAUAUACCAUUUUUCAUUUACAAAAUUGUUUGUGCUUAUUUUUUUUUGUUAUAUUAAAAUUUAUUAUAUUUUAUUAUAUAAUAUAUAUCAUAAUUUUUUUCAUUAAUUUACAUAUAUCUUAUUUUUACGUGUUUAUUUGAAACAAUCGUUAUAAUGCAAAAUAAAUACCACUUCUCCAUAUUAAUUAUUAAUUUUUAUUAAAAUACUUUAUUAAUUAUUAUAAUUUUUAUCUAUUGAUAUUCGUUUAAUUUUGUAAGUUUUAUUUUCACAAAGUAUAACCUAAUUAAUUUCUCAUCAUCUAUAGUAAAUGAAAGUUUUUUUUUUCACAUGCAAUCACUAAUUAAUUUUGACACUUGUCAUUUUAUAAUAUUUUUUAAAUAAAUAAUAUCCACAUAUCAAUUUAUGAUUUUUNNNNNNNNNNNNNNNNNNNNNNNNNNNNNNNNNNNNNNNNNNNNNNNNNNNNNNNNNNNNNNNNNNNNNNNNNNNNNNNNNNNNNNNNNNNNNNNNNNNNNNNNNNNNNNNNNNNNNNNNNNNNNNNNNNNNNNNNNNNNNNNNNNNNNNNNNNNNNNNNNNNNNNNNNNNNNNNNNNAUCAAAUGUAAUAAAUAUUAUUUUAAAAUUUCAUUUUAAAAAAUAUUUAUUAUUACAUUUUAAUAUUUUAUAUUCUUUAAUCAACCGUGUAAUACAUUUUAAUACAUAGAUUUUCCAUCUAAUAAAUAAAUAAAAUGUAACCAUUUUAAUCACUAAAUAAUUAAUCAACCAAAGAUUAAAACCCACUGAUAAAAAGGAAACUAAAUCAACACCAAAUUGAAAAUUAAACCAUAUAUUACUAAAUUAAUUCACAGAGAGUUCGACAUCAAUCAAAUAUUAUCUCGCACUCAAAUUCACAAAACUCACUUUCCAGGUACAAAGUUUGUAGCAUAUGACCAUGCAUUGUUUGCAACAGGGUCAGCAAGGUGGUCAGCGAGGUUCUCCAAUGGUCCCUUUCCGGUAACAAUGGCUUGAACAAAGAAUCCAAACAUAGAGAACAUGGCUAGUCUACCGUUCUUGAGCUCCUUCACUUUCAGCUCAGCAAAUGCCUCUGGGUCAUCAGCCAGACCCAAUGGGUCGAAGCUACCACCAGGGUAAAGUGGGUCAACUACCUCACCAAGAGGUCCACCAGCAAUUCUGUAACCUUCAACUGCACCCAUCAAGAUCACUUGGGUAGCCCAGAUGGCUAAAAUGCUUUGUGCAUGGAUCAAACUUGGGUUCCCCAAGUAGUCAAGACCACCCUCACUAAAGAUCUGGGAUCCAGCCUUGAACCAUACAGCCUCACCAAACUUGACACCAUUACGCGCCAAGAGUUCGGGGAAGACGCACCCAAGAGCUCCGAGCAUGGCCCAUCUGCUGUGGAUGACCUCAAGCUCACGGUUCUUGGCGAAUGUUUCAGGAUCAGCAGAGAGCCCAGCAGUGUCCCAACCGUAGUCACCGGGGAACUCACCGGUCAGGUAAGAUGGGGCUUCGCCGGAGAAUGGGCCAAGGUACUUAACACGGUCGGGGCCGUACCAUGGACUUCCUGAUGGUGCGACUUUCUUGACUGCUGUCUUCCUCAUGGAAACCCUUCCAUUUCCGAUUAUUUCUGAACCAGAUGGUGCUGCUUUCACUGCCUGUCCGACGAAAGAAGAAGAUAGAGCCAUGGUGGAAGCUGCCAUUUUUGUGAGAUUUAUUUUGAAGAUGUUGUGAUGGUUAUACUUAUGAAGAUGGGUAGAACUGGAAGUAGAUUUAUAGGGUAGUUUUUGGAUCAGAUAGGUGAUCAAUGCUUAUCUUGAUACAAUCUUUAGCUUCAAUUUGAUUGGCUACAGAGAUUCUUGUGGGUCCGUAAUCUGUGGUGUGAGUUCUCUGGCCCCCCUGAGAUAUUUUGAAGGGGCAGGAUAUUCGUGGCUCUGGUUUAUUGAGCCAAUGACUGGCUUUCACUCACUACUCUUAGUGGUGGUUUUUUAUAAUAUGCUGUAAGCUUGUAACCAUCCAAUCGUCUAAGUUUAUAACUGACCUAUUAUUACAAAUAUAUACUAACCAGGCAAAACUUUUGGUUAUAAAAGUUAAUGUGACCGAGAGACUAACACAAAAAAUUAUAACAGGAGUAGUUAAUAAUCCGCGAUUUACCGCUAUGCCGAGAGCCGUAGGGAGGAUCCACCAUUUACCCCUAAGUGUGCAGAAUGCCUUUUUUUUUUUAGUAUUAAAAUAUCAAGAUCGGACACGCGUUGUAAAAUUCUUGUUCGAAUUGUUUGCAAACUCUUCGUCACAAUAAGGGGAGUUUAAAUAUGCGUUUUAAUAUAAUAACAUUGGCAUUGAUUAAAUGUUAAUAUUCAAUUAUCAUCCCACAUGAGAAUGAAAUAUAUUAAUGAUUUAUUAAUCUAAAAACAUUAUCAUCCCACAUGAGAAUGAAAUAUAUUAAUGAUUUAUUAAUCUAAAAACAAUUUUUUUAUGUCAUUAUUUUUUGGGGUUACAGUCGAGCUUGGAGGAUCUCGACUUUAGGUAUGCCCAUUUUAUUGAGAGGAAUUACUAAUAAAUUUCGGAAAGAGGAAAAAAAUAUGAUCGUGGACAUAUGGUUUAGGAAUAUUUUCAUGUUCGUUUGACACAAGUAAAGUUCUUGAAAUGGGUGCUUCAGUUUGUACGAGCGGCUAACUUGAUAAAGUUCAAAGACAUAAAGGCAAUUUUCAAAAACUCACAUGAUCAGUUAUCGAACAAGCAUGUCGUACUAGUGUGCCCACUACACAUGUUAGUUAGCGGUUUCAAUAGGAAAAGAGCAUCAUUAGCUGUCAAUGAUAAUAUUCUUUCUCUAGUACUCGAUCCUUACGACUUUUAUAUUUAUAUCAUGUAAUUUAGAAUUUAAUUUAAUUUCUAUUAAUCUUCGAUUACAGUUUAUGUGAUCUAAUUCAUGGAUGUUUUGGCACUACAUAUCUCAAUGGAGUAUGCCAGGGAAAUUUUGGUCAUAACAACAGCCUCCAUGGGUUUAUAUAUAUUUUUAAGGUACAUAUAACAUCCUAUUUUUAGGCUUAGAAAUUUUGGUCAUUUAUAGUGAAAAUAAUUUUUUUUAAUAAAAAAAUAAAAAAGGAAAAAUAAAAAUAAAAAGAAUGACUGAAUGAAUACAUGAGCUAAUAAAAGGUUUAGAUCAAAUGUUUAAAGAAAAUAGCGAAUUUAUACUUAAAAUAGGAAAUAAAUAAGGAAGGGUCAGUGGUGGCAACUUUGGAAAACUUGUUUAAUUUAGAUCUAACUAGACAAUUUAUUUGUAAAGAGUUAAAAAUGUAACGAAAUGAUACUUAUAAGCUUAAGAGGGAGUUUUUCAGUUGGAAAUGUUGUUAGAAACCCUUAUUGGAAAAAAUUAGGACAAAAGGACUAAAAUUGUCAAGUUGAUGAAACUUGUGUUAACCUUAAUGUAACGACCCUAAAAUCUUAAAUUAUGUGUUUAAUUACUUUGUAUCAUUUUGUUGAAAAAUGAACAUUAAUGAUGCAAUAAUCAAUUUGUUAGUAAAUUUCAUUGUAUAUCCUUACAUUUAUCAUGUUAUAAUCGAAAAUAUAGGACAUUUCAGCAAAAAAUAACCCUGUAGGAAAGUCGCAUUACACCUCGAUAUAUUCGUGUGGAUAUAAAUUCUAUGAAAAUCCAAAUUUGUAUGACGAAGUUAUAGUCAAUAUAAGUUGGAAGUACAAAUUUUAAUGUUUAAAUGUGUAUGUUNNNNNNNNNNNNNNNNNNNNNNNNNNNNNNNNNNNNNNNNNNNNNNNNNNNNNNNNNNNNNNNUAUAUAUAUAUAUAUAUAACAUCUCAAAACCAUAAUAACCAUAACAUAAAAUCAGAGUUUCAAAACAUAUUAUCUCUCUAAACCAUAACAAUCACUGGAUGAUGUGUAGAGUCACGUGUAACAUCUCGUUUAAAAUUAGAUAAAUAAAAUAAAAUAAGUAAAUAAAUUAGAUAAAAUAAGUAAAUAAAUAAUAAACCCUAAAACCUCAAGAUGAAUUUUAUAUUUUUAUGUUAGCCUUAAAUCCAUAAUAAUUAUCAGAGUAUUAGCGCAAUAAGUUAAAUGUUAUUAAUUCUGGAAAUAGGGGUUUAAAAUGUAAAUUUCGAACUAGUUAAGAAUAGAUUUGUGGAAGCUGGGGAUUGUUUGGUAAUUUGGACUUGAAUUGAAAGGAUUAUUGGAAACAGGUAUAGAGUAAAUUACAGAUUUAAUUUGUAAAGGAAUUGAGAUGGAGGGACUGAAAAUAUAAGAAAGGGACUAAUGUUUGAAGAGAUAGGCAUGACUUAAACCCAUUCCCCCUCCACCCUCUUGCUACUCGGUUGCACCCAUAUAAACCCUAACCCUAAUAUCUUCUCAGCCGCCACCUUAUCCCUCCAUAUCUCCAGUCGCUUCCAUCACCUGUGUCGCCGUCAUGAACCACUGAGCACCACUGCCGCUGCUCCCACUGCCGAUGAAAACGAAGAUCAACGUUUGGACACCGUGACAGUGGGGAAGUAGGAAGAAAGGAAGCUCGUGGUUGUUAUUGCUGUUAUUCUCGGUUAGGGGUCGCAAAACCUUUCUCUUCUCCGUUUCCUUUUGUUGCUACGUUGUCAUCGUCAUCGCUCCAUGUGAGGGUGGUUGUGUUUGUGUUUUGUGAGUGUAGGUGUGUGUUGCUGCUGUGGCAAGUUGGAGAGGUGUGUGUGUCUUUUGUUGGCCAGAAAAACGAAGAGAAUCACCAUGGCAACCAACCAUGGUGGUUUUCACCGUUCUGGAGCCACUAGCCACCACCCUAGGUGGCUGUGUGUGUUGGAUUGACAUUUCUUCUGUACCAGGAUGCUUUUGAUAGUGUUUGGCCUAAAAUUAUAACUACCACCAUUAAAAAGUGGUGGCUGUCGCCUCCUACCGCCAUGGACCGCCGCCGACCACCAAUGCCCGAGGUGGCAGUGGGUGGUGUCUGACUUACUAAACAUUAAAUAACCUAAACAUCUAACCUUAGACCGAGUGGUACGUGUUUGGGUUGGAAACUCUUACUAGGCUUUAGAAAAUCCUAAGGUCAAGAAAACCCUAGUUUUGGAGUUUUGUCGGGACCCGCGUUGAAGUGUUAAUUGAACUUUAAUUAUACUCGAUAAGGCCCUACGAUUAACUUAAUGCAGUAUUGAACUUAAUGAAUUAAGUCCUUAAGGGGUUAUGUGUGGAGCACUAACCCUAGUUAUCAUUUUAUGUGGAAACCCUAAAAAUCAAGAAGCCUUAUUUUCGGCAAUGAUCAGGGCACAUAUUUGGGAUAUUCCUUGGAUUAUUAUUAUACCCGAGAAUGAAUAUGUCAAACCUUAAUCACUCCUACUUUUAUUUGAUUAAGUCCUUAAUGGGUUAAGUGUCCUUACUUAACCCUAAUCGUCAUUUUAUGUGGAACCCUAAUCACUAUUUCAUGUGAGGUAGUCACUGCUGCAAUUGACGAUGACUUGUGAUCGAGUAUUGAAUCAAGUAUCUUCCUGUAGGUGAUUGGAAGUGAGUUGAAGCUGGUAGAGUUCUUCGUUACUACGGUGGUUACCUACUAGCAUAUCGAGCUGAGUUUCACCUCACUGUGUUAGAUCUAUAUGCACAAGAAUCAUUAUUCAGUGACAUUGCUAAUAACAUAUGAUCCUAUAAGGUCACACUUUAAUCAAGUUGGUACUUAUUGAAUAUUUAUUAAGUAUUUUAUAAUUAAUAAUAAAAGUUCAACUCAUGUAUUUAAUUAAAGAAAAUUUAUUGUUUUGUGAAAAUAAUAAUAAAUGAAAGACUAACUANAUAUAUAUAUAUAUAUAUAUAUAUAUAUAUAUAUAUAUAUAUAAGUCAUGUACAAAGUUUUGGACACUUUCACCAAAGAUUGACAAACUAGCUAGUUAAUUAAGUGACUAAACAAUAAACUAGAAAAUCCAAUGGACCAUUUUAGUCCUUAAAACCAUGGGUUAUCAAGGCGAGGAGGUUGAAAGUCAACCUCCAACAUUCUUGUCCCCCAUGUUUGUUCAUUACCUUGCAUGUAAUACACACCAUGAUCAUAUUAUAUAAGGCUAGUUGUUUUAUCACUAUAUGACUAGAAGAAAAAAAUCAUUUACACUUUCAUCCAUAGAAUUGUAGGUUCUCUUGGCUUCUCCCUAUCUCUCACUUGAAGUUAGUUCUUGGUUUUUUAGAGUUCGUCUUUUGUGUCUUCCUUUUACACUUAUUAUCUAUGUGCUUAAGGCUUAAAGAGAAAAAUAUUAUACAAGAAGAAAUCUAGCAAUUUUGGUACCUUAUUCUUGUUGGUGGAUUACUUGUAGAGAAGAUCAGACUUGUUGUUCUUGCCAUCUACUUCAACACCCCAAAUCUAAGAGGGUCCAAAGUCUACGAAGGUUGUAUUUUCUAAACUCCCUAUGGUUGUUAUAAUAUCAUUCUAAGCACUUUAAAAGGAUCCUUGAUGGUUUGUUUUGUUUUCAAAUUUAUAAGAAAUUUUUAAAGCUUCCGUUGCCAGUUUUUGUGAAAAACUAUUUAUUUUAUGCAACAAACCCCUUCAGUUGUAACACUAUAAAUUUUCAAACAAAAUUUCCAUUUUUAAAACACACAAAUCUUAAAAUCACAUUUCUCAAAAAUCACAAAUGUAUCAAUUGUAAGAAUAUCCCAGAACCCUCAAACAUAAUCUCGAACAGGUGUGUACAAUCAAGUCGGCGCCUUACCGUGAUUCUGAGAAGUACCUGAAACACAUAACACACAACAUAGUAAAAACGAAGCUUAGUGAGUUCCCCAAAAUACCACAUACACAAAUAAUAAGCCACUCAUAGCUAUAGCUCGGCAUGGACCUUCCAGUCAUGCGUCUCGGUGAGGACCCUCCGGUCUCACGGCUCGGUGUGGACCCUCCGGUCAUGUGUCUCAGUGAAGACCCUCAGGUUUCACAGCUCGAGUUGGACCCUCCAGUCCUGUAUCUUAGUGAAGACCCUCCAGUCUCACAACUCGGUUUGGACCCUCCGGUCCUAACUCAGUAAGGCACAAAAUAAUAUAGCAUAUAUGACAAAGACAAAAUGCAUAAUAUCACAUAACUCAGUAUAAGCACAUAGGACCAUCCGGUCGAUAACUCAAAUAAGACCCUCUGUUCACAUAGUAUUACCACUCAGGUAAGUAUAGUGAUAAGACUCGUCUCGGAAGUAAGCAAAUAGAUCUAGUACCCCACGAACAGUUUAGACUCCGCCUACAUAAUAUAAUUAUCUCUAAUAAGCAAUUUGUAAUAACCAUUCCGAGAUGUUAAGCUAGCUCCCCCACUAAAUCUCAAAAAUGGUGAAAAUACCAUUUUACCCCUCCAUGGUCUCUAAGGUCCACAGUUGACCAAACCCUAAAACUCAACGUAAGUCAACGCUCAAGUCAACAGUCCAUGUUGACUAAACUCGUCGAAUGCAUCCAUGCGACUCGUUGAGUACCGUCGUUUUCUCUGAAGUAUCGGGAAAAUCCAACUCAACUCGUCGAGUUGUCUCAUCAACUCGCUGAGUUGUAACGCAUUUAGACUAUCAGGGAAAACCCUAGCUGACUAGUCGAGUUGUCUCAUGCACUCGUCGAGUCCCUCUAUACAAAUUCUCAUUUAGACUAUUCUAAGCAGGAAUAAGGUCCCAAACUCUAGAUCUAGCCUCCCAAGGCUGAAAUACCAUGUAAAGCUGCAAGCUUUACGUCUAUGCAUGGAAUCUAGCGCUCAAAAUGCUAAAACAAGCUCUAUAUAGGGUUUAAUGCAUAAAAUCUUGCCACUAGCUUGAUAAAGCUUGGACCUUUGGGCUCAAGGGACCUCAUAUUGUCCAUAUCUGAAGUCUCAAAUUCAUGGCAGGCUCAAACAACUCAAGUACUCAAAGAAGGAUGGAAAAAGGCCCUAAAACUCCUUAGAAAAGAGAUCUAACCAAAUAAUGAUCAAGGUGGUAACUUUUUACCUUCAAACAGAAGCUAGAAAUGAAUAAGCACCAGAUCCAAGAGCUCCCUCUCGUCCCAAGCCUUUUGUUCCUCAAUCUUUCUCCAAAAAUGCACCAAAAUACACAAUAUUAUCCUCUCCUUCUCUCACACAUAGAUAUAGCUCGAUUAGGGUUUCUCUCAGAGUUUUAGGAUGAUAAGGGAGGAUGAAAUGAAGGCUUAAGGUCCUUUAAAUAGGACACAAACCCUGAAAAUUGGGGUUUUCUCACUCUGCUCCUACUCGUCGAGUUGGGGUCCUCCAACUCGUCGAGUAGACUCUAAAAAUCACGCAACCUUUAACUCCUCUACUCGGCGAGUUGGGGCAUCCAACUCGUCGAGUUGCUCUGACAUCAUAAAUGCAAAUUUAUUAAAUGUUAUAUAUGGGAGCAGGAUGGUACAUGUAACGACCCAAUUUUCAUGACCAAAAAUUUUGUUUUAAAAACAUUACUUUAGAAAAUAUUAAAAGCUAAAAACAUUGUCGGAUCAAAUCAUAACACAAGUGAACCAUGUCUAAAAGCCAAUUCAUACAUUCAAUCAAAAUAUCAGAGUACAAAUCCCAGUGAAGCUCGUAAAUGCGGAAACCGGAGAGUGUGUGUGUGACAUGCUGCUACCGCGCCGGCUCCUUUCCCCUAGCUGAGGAGGUACCUGAAACCAAAACUGAAGACUGUAAGCACAAAGCUUAGUGAGUCCCCCCGUCGUACCACAUACCAUACAAACACGUAACAUACAUACUGUCAGGCUAUUCUGGGGUGCCUGACUACCCGGUACGGCCGUUCUGGGGUGCCGUCCUACCCGUGUCAAGCCAUUCUGGGGUGCUGACUACCCGUGUCAAGCCAUUCUGGGGUGCUGACUACCCAUGUCAAGCCAUUCUGGGGUGCUGACUACCCAUCGGUCCUAACAACCGAUCCUCGGGGACUAGUCCCCUCUUACUACCUUUAUCUCAUAUAACAUAACAAGCCAGCAUGCAAUCAUAUCAUCACGUACUGUCAGACAUAUCUGGGGUGUCCGACCUACCCUUCGGUCCUAACAACCGAACUCUACAACUAUCACAUAUACAUAUCAUGCCAGCAUAUAACAUAUCAGGUAGUAGCAAACCUAGAUGAUAUCACAAAGACAAUCAUCUAACAUACAACUCCUACUGGUGGGCCGGCAUUGUGGCCGUAGACCCACCGCUACUGGAAGGUAACUCACCUCGAAGUAGCUGCUGAUCUGAUCGGGAACUGACUGCCUACUGCUGCUGCUGCUGCUCCGGAAAUCCUCCGGCUGCAAUUCCCACAACAUACUCAAUCAAACACUGCUCACUGACCUUUGGGUAAAAUGACCAUUUUACCCCUGAUCAUGCCCUAAGUCAAAGUCAGAGUCAACUUUCAGUUGACCCGACUCGCCGAGUUGGCUUUCCAACUCGCCGAGUCCCUACCCAAACGACUGCCCUGAAACCCGAUCCUACCCGUCGAGUUAGGCGACGACUCGACGGGUUCACCUUCUUAACCAAUAUUCAAGUCCUUCAUUCUACUCGCCGAGUUGUAUGAACAACUCGCCGAGUUCAUCUUCAUCCGAAGAACACUUAUGCUAAGACUCGCCGAGUUGUAUGAACAACUCGCCGAGUCUGUUCUUGAUCUAAGGAGAUUGCCUUGAACUCGCCGAGUCAGGGCAUUGACUCGCCGAGUACCUCCAUAGAUGAGUUAAGCUUCCGACUCACUGAGUCACACCCCGUGACUCACUGCUCACUCGACACUACGAAAAGGGGACAAACUCGGAGACUCGCGAACAGACUCGCCGAGUCAUAUGAACGACUCGCCGAGUCGUUGCCAUGCAUCCACUAAAUACACAGAUUUGCUCGAUUCCAGUCCAUGCCAUUCAUAGAUCUGGGCUUCUAGGACACGAAUCACACGUAAAGUUUCCAACUUUACGUGUGGAUAUUCACCAAUAUGGAUUUUAGGGCUCAAAAUGUCUCAAAAGGGUAGAUCUAGGGCUAACAAGCAACAUGGGGCCAUAAAGCUAACAGAUCUGAGCUCCUGGAGCUCAAUCUUGCCUAGAUCCAGAGGCCAAACAUCUUAUUACGACAUACAAUGCACAUACAAGCUUGGGGAUUUGACCAAGAAGGACCCAAAUGAAGUUUUAAGCAUAGAAUCAAGGGGAAAACGGGUUAUACCUCAAAGGAACUGCUGGAAGAACACAAAUAAUGCCUGGAUGGCUUCCCUUCUUCUGGAUCUACUUCCUUCCUCCUUCCAAACCUUCAAAAACACACACACUAACCUCAAACUCUCAAGGAAUAGCUUAGAACGAGAGAUACAGGGCUUUAAGGGUCAAUGGGGGCCGGCUUGGGGCUGAUAAGUCCUUUAAAUAGGGUGCAAACCCCUGAAACUUAGGGUUUCAUCCAACAGCUAUGACUCGCCGAGUCCAGGAUAUGGACUCGCCGAGUCGCCAACUUAAACGUGUCCCGGGUCCCGCAUCCACUCGGCGAGUCGGACCUAUGACUCGCCGAGUCCAAGGCUAAAAGAAAGGAAAUACUCAAAUAACAUUUACGUACCAGGAACCGGGUGCUACAGUACAUCAGUUGUAUCAAAACCAUCUUUUAAAUGUUAGAAUGAUUUUUAUGUUAUGAUAAUCUUUGGUUUUUGGGAAACAAGCAUGGAUUUCUUUUUAGCUUGCAUCAUGUUAAUGAUUCGACCGAAGUGGCUUGCAUCAUGCUUGCAACUAUGACUCCUGAACUUCAAAAAACUUUUGAGUUUCAUGAAGCAUUUGAAAUGAUUGAACAACUGAGUCAUGUUUCAAGUUCAGGCUAAGCAAGAUAGGUUUGAGACCUUGAAUGCUUUCAUUGGUUGCAAGAUGGACAAAGGAUCUUUUGUGAGGUCACAUGUACUAAAAAUAAAAGCUUAUGUUGACCAACUUUCCUGCCUCAGAUUCUAAUUUGGGGAUGAGCUAAAGACCAAUGUGAUCCUGGCCUCACUGCCUAAGUCAUUCAACCAAUUUUUGAUGAACUUCACAAUGAAUUAUUAGGAGAUGAGCAUUAAUGAGCUUCAUAACUUGCUCAAAAUUGUUGUGAAAAACGUCAAGAAGUCUGGGAACAAUCAAGUGCUGAUGAUUCAUGAGGGUCUAAUCUCUAAGAAGAAAACUAGUACUAAUAUCGGUUAGGGGAAAGGAAAAGCUGCCAAGAAAGGCAAGGGCAAGGGAAAGGGUAAAGGGAAGCCUCCUUCCACUAACCCAACUCCUAAACCCAAGCCUACUGCUAAUGUUGAUUGCUUUAAAUGUAAUGAAAAUGAACAUUGGAAGCGCAACUGUCCCAAAUACCUAUAGGAACUUAAGAAGAUCAAAGCCAACUAGUUUGGCACCUCAGGUAAUAUGUGAUUGAAUUACAUGCAUUCCGUACUAAUUCUUGGGUAUUCUAUACUGGAAGUGGUACUAACAUCUGGAAUGAUUUGCAGGGACUAAGGAAUGUUAGAGAACUAAGAGAUGGCGAUUUGGAACUUCAUGUUGGCAAUGGCAAUCGAGUAGCUAUCAAAGCCAUAGGACAAUAUCAUCUUUUUCUUCCAAAUGUCCUUAAUCUUAUUUUUAACAAUUGUUGUUAUGUACCUAGUAUAACUAGGAAUAUUAUAUCUACUUCUCGCUUGUAUGAACAAGGUUGUCGUUAUAAGUUUGACUUUGAUUUUGAAAACAUUUUCGUGUUUAAGGAUAAUGUGUUCUAUUUUGAGACUAGUCCCACAAAUGGAAUAUACGAAAUCGAUUUAAAUGGUUCAUACACAAAGGAUAAUUCAAUAUUCAACUUAAAUAAGAAAACAAAGUUAGACUCAAAUAAAACUUUUUUUUGGCAUUGUCGACUUGGGCACAUAAGUAAAACUAGCAUUACUAAGCUCCAAAAGGAUGUGAUAUUAGAGUCAACAGGCUCAAAGUCUUUUGAUGUAUGUGAAUCAUGUAUAUGUGGCAAGAUGACCAAAGCUUUGUUUACCGGUGUUGGUGAAAGAGCUUCGGAUCUAUUAGGACUCAUACAUACUGAUUUAUGUGGACCUUUUAGAACAAUGACCAUAAGCGGUGAAAGAUACUUCAUUACACUUAUUGAUGAUUACAGUAGAUUUGGAUAUGUGUAUCUCAUGAAACACAAAUAUGAACAUUCAAUGUCUUCAAGGUUUUCCAAACUGAAGUACAUAAUCAACUUGGUAAAAAUAUUAAACCCAUACGAUCAGAUCGUGGUGGUGAAUAUCUGAGAUAUGAGUUUGAUGAACAUCUGAAGAAUUGCGACAUAGUGUCACAACUCACUCCACCGGGAACACCUCAGCAUAAUGGUGUCUCAGAAAUAAGAAAUCAUACUCUACUUGAUAUGGUGCGAUCAAUGAUGAGUGAUACUUCCCUUCCUCAUUUAUUUUGGGGUUAUGCCCUUGAAACCGCAGUUCGAACUGUAAACAUGGUCCCAACUAAAAAGGUUAGUAAGACUCCCUACAUGUUAUGGCAUGGAAAGGAUCCAUCAGUGUCUUUCUAAAAUAUAUGGGGUUGUGAAGCAUAUGUUAAAAGAGAAACUUCUGACAAGCUUGACCCUAGAUUUCAUAAGUGUAUCUUUGUUGGAUACCCAAAAGAAACCGGGUGUUCAUAGCUCGUAAAACAAUGUUUCAUGUAACUGAAUUUAUCUUGCAUAAAGUAAGUGGGAGCCCCCUUGACCUCGAAGAAAUUCGAGAGAAACAACCUUUAGUUGAAAACGAUAAUCAACAAAGCAUUUUUGAACAUGAACUUAUUAUUCAGAUGCCGGAAACCACACCAAUUGUACGAUGUUCCAGUAGAACUCCUCAUGAACCUGACAAAUUUGGAUUUGUCAUUCCUGAAUAGGAAGUCUUCUUGAUGGAUCAAUAUGAGCCCAUCAACUAAAAGGAUGCUACUGCAGACCCAAAGUCUAACAAAUGGCUUGAAGCCAUGAGAACUAAAAUCCAAUCCAUGAAUGACAAUCAAGUAUGGGACUUGGUUGAUUUACCUCCUAACAGUAGAGCUGUUGGAAGCAAGUGGAUCUUCAAGAAGAAGAUCUACAUGGACGGAAAUGUACUCAAAUUCAAGGUGUUGACUAUGAAGAUACCUUCUCGCCAUUUGCUAAGAUUGAAUCUAUUAGAAUUAUCAUGGCAAUAGCUGCAUAUUAUGACUAUGAGAUUUGGCAAAUGGAUGUCAAAACCACGUUCCUUAACGGAUAUCUUGAGGAAGAUGUUUUUAUGGAACAAUCUGAAGGUAUUGUCAAGCCGGAUAACCUAAAGAAGGUACGUAAACUAAAGAAGUCCAUUUAUGGAUUAAAACAAGCAUCUGGGGUGUGGUAUCAUCGUUUUGAUGAAAAGUGUUGGGUUUUGAGCAUUCUAACACUCCUAUGGUGUACAUGCAACCCUAAAUACCUUGGAUCUAUGUUUUCUCUAUUAUACAUGAAAUAUCAAUUUCCAAGGUAUUUAUCCUAACUAGCAUAUUAUGAAGUACAAGUAAUAUAGAAACUAGUAGAAAUACAUACCUCUUUGUUGGUGCUUGAUUCCAUGGAGCUCAAGAGCCUAGUGCCCCAAAUGUGACACCUCAAAUGGUUCACACAACAUCAUAUGCACGUGGAAUAACUUAGACAGAAAUCAUCACUUCAUGAAAUCGACUUGCCCUCCAUAUACACACAUAGUGGCCGAUUUUUCACAAGAAUAUGAUGCUUAUAUAGUUGUUACAAUUAGGGUAAACCCUAAUUGUCAUGGCUUUCCAUUUCCUUAGAUCCAUGGGUUCAAAUACACCAUGGAGCAUCCAUGGAGUAUCCUAUGGGUUUUAGCCUAACUUAACAAUCCAUGGAGUCUUAGCCCACUAUACAGGUAUGUAUGAUAUACACAACCAACCCAUAUAUUUAAUUAGUCUUCUUUUGAUCACUUAAUUAAUUCUAGAUUAAUUCUUGAUCAAUAUUAAUUAAAUAAUCUUAUUAAUAUAUUAUAACUUAUAAUAUAUUAAUAAACCUUAAGUGUUAUUUCUCUCAUUUUAUUCUAUCCAAAUGCAUGAUGCCAUGCAACCCAAAUGGACUAUGUCGGGUCGGGUCAAGUAUAUACCAAUUAUAGUUAUGGACUUAGACACUAAUCCAACAAUCUCCCACUUGGAUAAGUCUAAUAACUAUCAUUGCAAGUACGGCUUCACAACCCGACCAGCAAUCAUAGCUCUUAAAAGUUGUUGCCGAUCUCUGAACAAAUCAAUGACGCGUCCAUUAGAUAAAUGAUCAUAUAUUCCUCCAUUCUAGACAUCAUAUGGACUGAGACAUGGAUUAUAAUCAUUCUCUCUGCCAUUUGUUAUUUCCCGAUGUCUGAUUUAAGAUGAUCAACUAAUUGAACAAAUCAAAUCAGUCCAGGCUUAGCCAAGCACUUAGGGGUGCCAUCACUAAAUCAUCUAGGGGCCCACAGAUAUCUCUUUUAUCCCAUUAAGGGUAAAAGGAAUGGAGAAACUCCAACUCAUAUGCUUGUACUGACUACUAUUUGAAUCAUACAUAAAUUCACGUUUAUAACAUCGAGUUACCAAUGCGUUUUCGUGCAAUCAAUGUAUAACCAACUCGUAGUCAACAACUGAUAUCUCUAGGUUUGAAGAAUAUAAGAUAUUAUGUGGUGUAAGUGUUCUUAUCCAUGUGAAUUUGUCAUCACCAUAAUCACAAGACAAGGUGUCACACCCCAAAACCGAGAACGGCGGAAACGUUCUGGGGCGGAGGACGUCAUGUAAUGUAUCACAAUAAAUGUAAAGUAGUAAACAAGCAACAACAUCGUCCAUUCAUUAAUAGUAAAAGUUUAAUAUAUGUGUGUUCUUUCAUAGUAAUAAGACAUUACAACAAGUAAUCAAAAUAAAAGACGAGUCUUGACUGCUCUGUCUUCGCAAAACCUGGUCAUCGUACCUGUCUACUGGUGACCUGAGAAUACAAGUUAUUUUGAAAGUGUAGGUCAGCAUUUAAGCUGGUGAGUUCAUAAGUAUUUAAUGUCAUCGUUUGUAUAAGUAUGAAGAAAACAUUUGGAAUUAUUCAAUGUAAUUGUUUGUAUAAGUUUGAAGAAAACGUUUGGAAUGAAUCAAUGUAAUUUUUCAUAUAAGUUUGAAGAAAACGUUUGGAAUUAAUCAACGUAAUUGUUUGUAUAAGUUUGAAGAAAACGUUUGGAAUGAAUCAAUGUAAUUGUUUGUAUAAGUUUGAAGAAAACGUUUGGAAUUAAUCAACGUAAUUGUUCGUAUAAGUUUGAAGAAAACGUUUGGAAUUAAUCAAUGUAAUUGUUUGUAUAAGUUUGAAGAAAACGUUUGGAAUUAAUCAAUGUAAUUGUUCGUAUAUGUUUGAAGAAAACGUUUGGAAUUAAUCAAUGUAAUUUUUCUUAUAAGUUUGAAGAAAACGUUUAAAAUUGUUCUACAUUUGUAUAAAACUGAAUAAAAUAGUUUGUACAUGUUUGAAAGUUUCUAGAAAAUCUGAUAUUUUCUACUAGUAUAACCAUACUAAGGCAUUUGAUAAUCCCGUAAACCAGUGUGUUUCUAAUACUCCAUGUGAGUUUUAUAACCAUACUAAUGACCCAGACUUCCUGUAACAACGUUCUUCAGGCGUUGAAAUGUUAUGACAUUUGUCACCCCAGGCCUGCGGGCCUAGCUGUAGCUAACAACUUAGGUGCGGGAUUGUCAAUCCCGUAUAGAUCUAUACACAAGUAUCACGCUCCCCCUACAAUGGAUUAUGGUAUGUAAUACAGGACUUAAAAUGCAUACUCGAAAGUACGUGAAAUGUCUCACAAAACUUAGUAUCAAACAGAUUUACGUAUGAAAAUGUCCAUUUGUUCUUGAAUAUGAAAGUAUUUCUUUGAUAUAGUAUUUCUAGUAUGUAAAUGUUCAUGAUUUCCUCGUAAACUAUACCUAUUAUAGUCAUUCAAAGUGUGUGUUUCGUUCGUAUAGCAAAUCCUAGUGUAAUGUUCACUUGUUAUGUAAAGUAUAACAUCUAAAAUGACAUAAAUGAUCACAUAUACUUAAAGUAUAAAUAAAGGGUUUGAUUCGCAUAUCUAACUACUUUAUAAUACAUACAUCUUGGUGGGGACCACAAAAUUUAAGACAAAGUCUUAAAAACAAGGGGAAUCAAUUUUGACCUUAGAUUUUUUUUGAACGGUGGAGAUUAUAUUAUUGUUGGUGAUCCAAGUAAACAUCUUUAAACCAAUCACAAACAAGUAUUCUAGAUUUUCAAUUCUUUAAAGUUUAUGUCUUCCAUAUUUAAAUUUACAGGGAACGGGAAAGAAAUCACCUUUCAUUUAAAAUCACAUUUCUCAUCUUCUCGAAUUGCCGUCUCUCUAGAACCUCCUCACUAUCUUCAUCUUCUCCAUUAACGACUCUGGAGAUCAAUGUCAUCAUUACCUUUACUUACAGCUAAUCCGUUCACCAUUACCUUACUUCCAUCAAACCCCCACACCAACAAUAGAGUUUCUCAUGACAUUCUCCCUCUCUCUUUCUUCAACGCCACCUCCAUUCUCAAACACGGGUAGGAUAAAAUUUUUUCAAAUCUUUAUGUGUAGAUCCAUUUGUGUGUGUGUUUUACAGAAAGAGACUAAGGCCACAGGUAGGAUAAAACAUUUAAAAUCUUUAUGUGUGUGUUUUAGGGAUCUAUAUGUAUGUAAACCUAUUUAUAUGUAUAAAUUUGUGUAUUUAUGUUUAAUAUAUUUUCGAUUUUGAUGUUCUAAGAGUUUUAUAUUUCAUAUUUUCAGAUUUGAAUCUGCAAAUUCUACACAAAAAGACAAAAAGUUGGAUCUCUUAUAAUCUGUUGUAGAUAUUUGUAGGUCUUACUUACUCAAUGCAGUGUAGAUAUGUGUUUUAGAUGUGUUUUUUGUUGUAUUUUGUAAGUAUCUAUAUUUUGUUUAAAGAUAAAUGAAUUAAUUAGUUCUAUGUUUUUUAUUAUUAUUAUUUAGAUAUGUAUAAUGGAUUUCAAUGAUUUGGAAUAAGAACUAGGAACUGUAUGUCACAGAUUAAGAUUUGUAUUGCAUAAAUUACGUUUGAUUUUUUACAUCUAGAUUUUUAAUAAUUUUAUAUUUUGAUGCAUGAGUGAAGGACAUAAAAACACAACAAAACUAAUUUCCGGUUUUUGUUUUUCUCUUUAGAUGUAAGGUUUUGAUGGUAAAACCUAAAGGUGCAAAAUUUGUUGUUCCAUGAUUUAGUGUGAUUUGUAUAUUCUAUCUAUUUGUAUUAGUAUUGAAUGAGUUAUUUGUUUAUUUUUAUUAAUAAACGAGAAAAAUAUUUCCCUUUUUUUGUGUAGAAUAGUCUUUCUAUUUUUAAAUAUUUGGAGUUAUACUUUUUAUAUAAAAAAACUUGAAUGAGAUAUUGUAACUAUUCUAUUUACAAAUAAAAAAAUAUUUUGCUAGACAAAAAAUAAAUAACAAUUGAAAUAUUUUGAAGAGGUUGUAAAUUUUGUUUAUAGAUAAAAAUAUUAUGUUUGAGUAUAUAAUAUUAAAUAAGGAAAACUGUUUUCUUAUAAGAAACGAUUAACUUAAUUAAUAAAUGACUUUUGUAAACAAAAUUAUAAGGAAAAAAAUCAAAGAUAAAAAUGGCGUUGCAAAAAAAUAGAAAGAGUUAAGAUUCUUUCAAAUAUGCUGAUUAUCAUAAAUGUUGCGAUUGGUACAAAGUGCUUUGGGUAUUCUAACAGUUUAAAAAAAAAAAAACUUUUAGGUUUGUGAAAAGAAAUGUGGCGAUAUCAUGGGUUUGUAAAAUACGUCUUUUCGUUAAAAAAAUGAUUUUUUUAUAUUUAAUACUAAUAUUCAUUUUACAUUUAUAUUUAAUUAUAAAACUUUUUGAUUAAUAUAACAAAAUAGACGUCAUUUCAUUUUAAAAAAUGAAAUCAAUUAUGUAUAAGGUAUAUCCAAAUUUAUAAAUAGUUGUUUUUUAUACAAACAACAGUUUAGGAUGAUUAACAGUCUAGGAUGAUUAGAAAAAAAUUUGUCUAUAAGUUAAUAUGCUAACAUAAAAGAUGUUAUAUAAACAAGUUAAAAUAACAAAUAUUACUGCAUAAUAUUUUAAAUUUUUUUGAAUCUCUAGAUAUAUGAUUAUGUUGUUUUAAUGGGUUUUGUUUUGCAAAAUUUACUAUGAAUUAAGAAACCACAAAAAUAUAAACACUUGAAAGAUUAAUACAAGUGAAAAACAAUAAGUGAGUUUCCUUAAAAAAAAUGAUAUGUACAAAGAAAAAAAGUGAUUAAAUGUAUAUAACUUUGUACAUAUUUUUUAUUAUCUUUCAUAUUUAAAUAAUGGGUUAAUAACUUUUUUUGGACGGGAGUUUUAGUUUUUUCAAUAUCUCUGAAUAAAAUAUAAAUGAUUUUGAACUAUUACUUUUAUCCAAAAAUCUAACACACUUAAUUUUUUGUUAAUUUUUGGUAACAAAAGAACGAAUUAAAAAAAAAAUUCUAAUUUAUUGAAUUUUAACAUGCUAAAAAAAUUGACAACUUUAAGUGUAUUUAAUUAUAUCUUAUAAUAAUCAUAUAAUACUAUUUUAUUAAACUUAUAAUUAUUAUAUAAAUAUAUAUACUAAACGAAGCCUUAAACCAGAUCCUCCCGUUUUUACUAUUUCGUUUAUUAGAAGUAUUUAAGAAUUUUAUUUGUUGCUUAUUAGCUUAUUACUUAUUUGCUUAUUGUGGUGAGAAUAAAUAUUUUUUUAAAAUGUGUUUGGAUUAGCAUAUUGCGGUGGGAAUAAACAAUAAGUAAUAAACAUUUAAGUGUUUGACAAAAUAAAACAACUUAUAUGAGUAAAAUGACCAAUAAACAAUAAAUAAUAAGCAAUAAGCAUUCCCCCUCUUGCUUAUUAAAAUCAGUUUAUUUUGUUUAUUCCUACCGCAAUAAGUUGAUUUUUAAAGAUUACUAUCCAAACACUUAAAUUUGCUUAUUGCGGUUGGGUUUAGCAAUAAGCAAUAAUCAACUUAUUUUUUCCCUAUCAAAACACCCACGUAAUAUUAAUUCCAAAGCCAACUACACGAUUUAUAUUUGGAUUUGGAUUACAAGCACAAAGGUAACACAUCAUCAAAUAUGAAAUUUAUUAAUUUAUCAUUGUGGUCCCAUUUUUUCAACUAUUUGUAUUACCCUCAUUUUAAGUAUAUUUUAAAAACUAAAAAACACAUCUUUAUUUAAAACCAAAACAAGAAUGCAUGUAAAAUAAUUGCACACAAAGAAUAUAUUCUAGAAAUAAAUUUCUGAAUCAAAACAAAUUGCGGAAAAAACUUUUUUCGCUAUAAUUUGUAAUCCAUUNUUUUUUUUUAAUUUUUUAAAAAUUUUUUUUUUUUUUUUUUUUUUUUUUUUUUUUUUUUUUUUUUUUUUUUUUCUAAAAAUAAUAAGACUUUUCUGUUAAAAAAAAUUAAGACUUUGAUUUCUGAUAAAAAAAAAAGACGAGUCAAGAAAAAGACCUGUACGAAAAACGAACGGUCGAGACAACCCGUAAUACAUCGAAAGCAAAUUAUUCGUUGUUCGGGAAAAAUUUACUAAUCUCCGGAAUGAAAUUAAUCGUCGUCCGCUGCAUCGCGCGGGUAGCCUACUAGNNNNNNNNNNNNNNNNNNNNNNNNNNNNNNNNNNNNNNNNNNNNNNNNNNNNNNNNNNNNNNNNNNNNNNNNNNNNNNNNNNNNNNNNNNNNNNNNNNNNNNNNNNNNNNNNNNNNNNNNNNNNNNNNNNNNNNNNNNNNNNNNNNNNNNNNNNNNNNNNNNNNNNNNNNNNNNNNNNNNNNNNNNNNNNNNNNNNNNNNNNNNNNNNNNNNNNNNNNNNNNNNNNNNNNNNNNNNNNNNNNNNNNNNNNNNNNNNNNNNNNNNNNNNNNNNNNNNNNNNNNNNNNNNNNNNNNNNNNNNNNNNNNNNNNNNNNNNNNNNNNNNNNNNNNNNNNNNNNNNNNNNNNNNNNNNNNNNNNNNNNNNNNNNNNNNNNNNNNNNNNNNNNNNNNNNNNNNNNNNNNNNNNNNNNNNNNNNNNNNNNNNNNNNNNNNNNNNNNNNNNNNNNNNNNNNNNNNNNNNNNNNNNNNNNNNNNNNNNNNNNNNNNNNNNNNNNNNNNNNNNNNNNNNNNNNNNNNNNNNNNNNNNNNNNNNNNNNNNNNNNNNNNNNNNNNNNNNNNNNNNNNNNNNNNNNNNNNNNNNNNNNNNNNNNNNNCCGGGGCUUUGGGAGGGUCUCGGGGGCUUAAACGCAGAGUUUCGGCGCGAGAAAGAAGGGAACUGAGCAAUGGAACUCGGAGCCCUUGAAAUAUAUUUAUAGGGGCAUUUUUGAGGUGUGCCACGUCAUGGCAAGGGAUGGACACGUCGUGGGGAGUCAAACUUAUCCUCUUCCAUUGAUUGGACGCCCUCAGUCACUUGUCGGGUCGCGGCAAGCUUGUGCCACGUCGUAGCAAGCCUGACAGCCUCGGAUUUCGAACGUCGAAUUUGUAAAACCCAUAACUUUUGCGUACGAGCUUCGUUUUGACGUUCUUUAUAUGCAUGCGUAGCUGAAAAUAUGCUCUACAACUCUCGUUUAGACUUCAUUGGCUAAUUUUGACUUUAUUUUUAAUUAUUUAUUUUUAACAGGCCGGGACACGAAAAUUACGUUAAAAUUCCAUAACUUCUUCAUCCGAUGUCCGUUUUCGUCAGACUUUUCGCCGUUGCGCUACUAUUUUUGAGACCUUCGAUUCUCAUUUAGGUUGUUUCGGUCAAAAGUCUCUCGAGCUCUAUUUCGAGUUUUUAGCUGUCUACUGUUAUAUCCGGAUCUUGGAAAAAUCAUAACUUCCUCAUACGAAGUCAGAUUUGGACGUUCUUUUUAUGUACGCUCACGGUUUAAUGUUAUCUACAACUUUCAUUUAGAUACUUAAGGCUAAAAACUAUUGUAUUGAAAUUUCGUGUUUUUCGUUUAAUCGGUGUUGCCGGUUUUGCCGCGAACUUUCGGUUGGUCAUAACUUCUUCGUUAUAACUCGGAUUUUAGGGUUCUUUAUAUAUACAAAAACCUUGAUGCGAUUUGUACUACUUUAUUUAACCCAAAUAUGAUUUUAGGAAAGUUAUAUUUUGACCUAAAUUUGACUGGUUUUACAUUACAUUGUCUCUAAAUAUCGGGUUGUCACAUCAUCCCCCCGUUAGAGACUAUUUCGUCCCGAAAUUAGAGUUUUAAGCAGAAUUGAUAAAUAUGCUACGGAUAAAAGUUUUAUUUGCUCCUCGUGUUCUUAAGUGAACCCAGGUCCUCGCUUGGCAUUCCAGCGAACCUUUCACUAUCGGGAUACAACUUUGCUUGUUUCGUUUGACUUCCCUGGUAUGAUAACUCCUCUUUGUCGAACGUGUGUUGAGUGUUUUUGUCGUCUGUGAGAGUAUUACACCUUGUACCUUACAAGUAGUGUCUCCAGAUCUUCAGAGCAAUUACCAUUUCUCCUGACUCAAGAUCAUGUGUUGUAUAGUUAACUUCUUGCGUCUUAAGCUAUCUUGAGGUAUAUGCAGUGACCUUUCCUCUUGCAUAAGAACACAACCAAGCCGUUGGUUGGAUGCAUUGCAUUACACCAUGAAAUAUUCUAUCCCUUUUGGGAGGGAUAAUAUUGAUGUGAUGCGUCAGGCUUACUUUAGCGUUUGGAACGCUCUUUCUUGUUUAUAGACAAGUCUGGUGCUCCUCCAAGUGAGAAACUUGGCCGAAGGAAUCCUCUUUUGAGGAGUUCGUUAAGCUGUCUGGGAAGUUCUAGUAUCUUAGUUAGAGUUAGACGAUAAGGUGACUUGGCUACUGGGGUAGCCCUUGUAACUAAGUCAAUUCUGAACUCGAAUUGACGUUGUGGUGGUAAUCCCGGUAGUUCUUCUGGAAAGGUGUUGGGAAAGUCGCGUACUUUUGGGAUGUUCUGAAUGUCCUUCGCUUCUUGGCUCGUAUCGACGAUGUGUGAUAUUCCCUUCGUAAGCGCUUUUGAGAUUAAAUACAUGAAAUGAUGCGAAGGUUCGUACCUGAUUUGUCUCCGUAAAUAACAAGAGGUUCUGUGAUAGGGAGGUUAAGAUGAACUGCUUUAUCAAAGCACCUGAUUUCGGCUCGACGUAGACUUAACCAACUCCUACUGAUUAUGAUGUCAAAACCUUGGGGUGGAUUAGAUGUCGUGAAGAUCUAAAAGAAAGUAUGACUACUCAUGAAUUAGGGAAAAGGAUAGGUAUUUCUAAGUUUAUUCUCACGGAAGCACGAUCACUCUCAGUCUUGGGCAGUCUCCGUCUAGAAGUUCAUAGUAGAACUCAUACCUGGUUCAUUAAUCACAAUCUUGGGUAUACGAGUCGUAUAUAAUUAAGAUUGAAACUGUGGGUCUUUGGAUUGAACUUGACGUACUGCACGAGUGGUACUUCGGGGAGGUUUGCUGAGGUUUCUUUGGAAAGGGUAAGAAACAUGACAUACUCUACGCAUGAGUACUUAGGAGUUCUGAAGUGAUAGUUUCAUUAGAAAGAUGAUUUUGGAGAAAGAGAUUUACGCACGAAACUGGUAUUGUGAGGAUCAAAUAGACUCUGAUCGUAUGAUGAAAUCGGAAUCACUUGGAAAUAAAGACACUAGAUUCGAUCAUAAAGGCGUUACAGACAAAACACAACAGUGCAACUUUUUUAAUAGAGUUACAGUACUUUAGAGUAACUACAGGAAUACUGCUGCGAACGAAGUACACUAUAAAAGGCAAGUAUACGCAGCACGAGGGUCCCUUAACUGACGGGAUCUCGCAAGAGAUAAUACUCGAGUUGCACUAGUUCUAAACAUGUUUUAAAAACAUACAUAAUACUGACGAUUGGAAGUGAACCUAUACUAUAGUAGGGUCCUUCAUUGCCUCUUUCCAUUAUGAGGUCAAACUCCUCCGGAUUCGCCGUCGUUCUCCUCUAUUGGACAGUCCCUCUUAAAGUGUCCCAUUACGCCACAUAGAUGGCAUAUUCGAGAGAUUUCGACAUUGGUGGUUGAAGUAAUGUGUUGGAUCCGAGUCUUGCAAUAAUGGACGGUGUGUCCCUUUUUAUUGCAAUUUAAGCACUGCAUUUUCCAACAAAGUCCAUGAUCGUGGUAGUUGCAUUUGUUGCACUUUGGGAGAUUGCCAGCAUACUGUCUGGCCGGGUUGGGGAUAACUGGGAUACUAGAAGAAAUGGUAGUAGGAGGUAUAGAAGUCGUGGCUGUGAAGGUUGCCACAGGUUGUUGUCUUUUGCUUGCCCCUUGGGGUGAUUUGCCUUUAGCCUUAGCCCAAAACUUUCGUUUGUUAUUCUUGCGCUUGAGAUUCGGGGUGUCGUGGUAGUUUGUUGUUCAUCGAGGUACUUGAUCGUUACUUGGAUUGGAAUUAUUGUUAACAAUCCCGCUAACAUUCGCGUUGUUAGCAUUAAGGUGGACCAGAAUAGCUGACACGACAGCCGAGACUGCAGCUUGAAAGGUAGCCGCAUUAAUCUAAAGAGUUGGUGUUUGGUUGAUGGGUUGAUCAUUUUUCUUCGGCGACAUGAUUCUGUUACACGGAAAGAAAAAUGAAUUUGUGAGCGAGUAUGGUUGAACCUAGACGUAGUUCGAUUGUUCAUGUAAAGAAUAGAAGUAUGUUCUCUAAGGUUUGACCUAUAUCCCUAUGAUGUCGUCCUAGUAUGGAGUAGAAGUAAGCUCGUAGAGUGGUCUCAAGACGUUUAUCGUCCAAUCCAGGGUAUUAUUGGUUGGUAAAUAACAUGAUCCAACCUUUGAAAGAGACUUGGAAAUGAUUCCAGAGUUAAACUACCAUAGUCCAAUAACUUGACUAGAUGGGGUUUCAGAUAGACUCCAAUGAAAUCAUGAUGAAAGCAUUUGAACAAAGAUUGACACGGAAGUUAGACGACUGUCGAUAUCAUUGAUGUUUAAGAUUUAAUAGGUUUGGGGAAAUUGACCUUGUUGUAAGUCUUACAUCAUAUUCAGGGAAGAAAAGUCUUCGACAACAUAAGGACUUAAAUAAAAGUACUUACAGUACAAGGUAAUUACAUAGAAAGUACUACACAGAUCAUAGGCAAGAACAUGGUUCUAUAAAACAAAGAAGGAAGUAAGGUAUCUCCCACUGGUGAUGGUCACGCCUAUGGUGAACCCUUAGUUCGGCUAGUUGACGUUCCAUAUCCAGCAGGUAUCUUUCGUACACCCUCUGGCGUACUUGGAGUUCUAUGACAUCGGCUCGUGAUUCAGCCAGUGCUUGAAGUAGUGCUUCAUGGUCUCUCUCAGAGCUCUCACGAGCAUCUUCCAGACGAAUGGUGCGGAGGGUAUGCAUUCUCGCAUUGGUAUUAACCUCUUCGAUACAUUAGAGAGCCGUCCUGCCCUGAAUUUCGUUUCGGGCAACUCUACGGAUUAGGAUUGGUAGAACUUUGUCUGCUGAGCUCCCUUCGUUUACGUUGUAGAAGCUUCGGUCUCCAUUAAACGGCAUAGGUUGAUAUUGCUCUUCGCUCCAUGUUUCCAUGCAUUCUACCCAAGGAGGCGUCGGGCCAUAAAAAGCGGGACGAGGUUUAGGAUUUAGAAAUGGAGCUACCGGGGGUAGGUUCUCAACCUCGGUUUCGGAGUUGUCAACAUCUGAAAGGUUUUCAACAUGGUGAUCAUUCAAAGGGAUUGGAUGAUCAUUCUCUGGUCCUUCUCCAACCCAUCCAACAAUGACUUCGUUCGGAAAGUACGGGUUGCCAUGGGGAUGGAGUCCAGCCAUGUUAUCUACGCGAGAAUUGGGGUAAGGAAAUAAUUAUUAGACGAACUAUCUAGAUAAUUAUUAGAAAAUCUUCAUUAGUUACAUCGCUAUUUGUAAAGUGCAUACCAGUCAUAUGUAAUCAACACAGGAUAGGCUUUCGAAUAAGUGACCUUAACUCCAAAUUCACAAGGAAUAGGGGUAAAGCAAAAAUUUCACCGAUUCUAAGUCUAUAACAUCCUAGUUACAUAUAGCCUUAGUGUAUCCACUUAACAACUAUCAACUUAGUAAUGAAGAUCCUUUUUAGUUCUCAAGUAAGUAAUUAUGGUAACCCAAAACACCCCUAUGGUAUUUUAGACUUAGGUUCUGUUAUAAUGUUCUCAUUGUGGUAAUGUUGGUAAGUUUUUAGACUUGUUGCCAUAUNAGUUUUGACCAUAUGUCUCUAAGCCCACUUGUGUUGCCCAACAAUCGUAAUUCUUUUGUACUGUCCUACUGACAUUGAUUUUAGUAUGAAUGCAGGCACGUAUACUCACUUAAAUAUUUUAUUAUUUUAAAGUAUAAACUCUAAAUCAGAGUAUUUUUAAUCCCAUUGUAUUUAUAGUUAGUAUAUCUUUUAUGGGUUGAUAUACUCAAUUCACUAUAAACAAUGCUCUGAUACCAAUCUGUCACACCCCAAAACCGAGAACGGCGGAAACGUUCUGGGGCAGAGGAUGUCAUGUAAUGUAUCACAAUAAAUGUAAAGUAGUAAACAACCAACAACAUCGUCCAUUGCAUUAAUAGUAAAAGUUUAAUACAUGUGUGUUCUUUCAUAGUAAUAAGACAUUACAACAAGUAAUCAAAAUAAAAGACAAGUCUUGACUGCUCUGUCUUCGCAAAACCUGGUCAUCGUACCUGUCUACUGGUGACCUGAGAAUACAAGUUAUUUUGAAAGUGUAGGUCAACAUUUAAGCUGAUGAGUUCAUAAGUAUUUAAUGUCAUCGUUUGUAUAAGUAUGAAGAAAACAUUUGGAAUUAUUUAAUGUAAUUGUUUGUAUAAGUUUGAAGAGAAUGUUUGGAAUUAAUCAGUGUAAUUUUUCAUAUAAGUUUGAAGAAAACGUUUGGAAUUAAUCAACGUAAUUGUUCGUAUAAGUUUGAAGAAAACGUUUGGAAUUAAUCAAUGUAAUUGUUUGUAUAAGUUUGAAGAAAACGUUUGGAAUUAAUCAAUGUAAUUUUUCGUAUAAGUUUGAAGAAAACGUUUGAAAUUGUUCUACAUUUGUAUAAAACUGAAUAAAAUGGUUUGUACAUGUUUGAAAGUUUCUAGAAAAUUCGAUAUUUUCUACUAGUAUAAAAGUAUUCUUCUACCAAGACUCGACUAUUUUGUAUGCUUACCUUUAGAAGUCCAAUAUCUGUUCAUAAGUGUGUGUGUGUGGUUUAAAAACUCCAAAACUAUAACAAAAUGAUGUUUUUCAUGCCUAAAUAAUAGUUAUGUGUAAAUAUAAAAUCACUAAGGCAUUUGAUAACCCCAUAAACCAAUGUGUUUCUAAUACUCCAUGUGAGUUUUAUAACCAUACUAAUGACCCAGACUGCCUGUAACAACGUUCUUCAGGCGUUGAAAUGUUAUGACAUUUGUCACCCCAGGCUUGCCGGCCUAGCUGUAGCUAACAGCUCAGGUGCGGGAUUGUCAAUCCCGUAUAGAUCUAUACACAAGUAUCACGCUCCCCCUACAAGGGAUUAUGGUAUGUAAUACAGGACUUAAAAUGCAUACUCGAAAGUACGUGAAAUGUCUCACAAAACUUAGUAUAAAACAUAUUUACGUAUGAAAAUGUCCAUUUGUUCUUGAAUAUGAAAGUAUCUCUUUGAUAUAGUAUUUCUAGUAUGUAAAUGUUCAUGAUUUCCUCGUAAACUAUACCUAUUAUAGUUAUUCAAAGUGUGUGUUUCGUUCGUAUAGUAAAUCCUAGUGUAAUGUUCACUUGUUAUGUAAAGUAUAACAUCUAAAGUGACAUAAAUGAUCACAUAUACUUAAAGUAUAAAUAAAAGGGUUUGAUUCGCAUAUAUAUAUAAACAUGUUUUAUUUCCAAAAGACAAGAUGUUAUCGUGAAUAUAUAUAUCAUACGAAAGUUCCUAUGAAGUAGUUAUGAAUCACAUAUGAUUCACUCGAUAAAAAGAGUAUAUGGUGAAACUUUAUGUUACACACGAUAACAACCGUGUGUUUACUUGUAUUCCCCCCCUUUAAAAGUGUAUACAACGAUUUAAAAGUAGUUUGUUUGAUAAGACAGUGUAAAGUAAAAGAAAUCCCUUGUUUGAAAACACAGUUAUAAAUCACAUAUGAUUGAUUAUAUAACAAAGAGUAUAACAACAGAUUUAUGUUUUUCACACGGUGAUAAUCGUGUGUUUACUUGUAUUCCCCCCCCUUUAAAGUGUAUAAAAUGCAUUUAUAAAACAUUUGAAAGUGUUGUUUGUAGGGGUAGGAACUCACUUGAUUGAAGUGGUUGAUUUGAAGUAGUCGAGAAAAGAAUCAAGCAGAACUUCGACAGGAAGAGUUGAAAACGCGGGAAAUCUCGGGAUUCUUGGGAAACUUGGGAAUCUCGGGAACACAAAACCUUCCUUCGGGACUUGAAGGUGAAAACCUGGGCUUUGGGAGGUCUCGGGGGCUUAAACGCAGAGUUUCGGCACGAGAAAGAAGGGAACUGAGCAAUAGAACUCGGAGCCCUUGAAAUCUAUUUAUAGGGGCAUUUUUGAGGUGUGCCACAUCGUGGCAAGGGAUGGCCACGUCGUGGGGAGUCAAAAUUAUCCUCUUCCAUUGAUUAGACGCCCUCAGUCACUUGUCGGGUCGCGGCAAGCUUGUGCCACGUCGUGGCAAUUCUGACAGCCUCGGAUUUCGGACCUCGAACUUGUAAAACCCAUAACUUUCGCGUACGAGCUCCAUUUUGACGUUCUUUAUAUGCACGCGCAGCUGAAAAUAUGCUCUACAACUCUCGUUUAGAUUUCAUUGGCUAAUUUUGACUUUAUUUUUAAUUAUUUAUUUUUAACGGGCCGGGACACGAAAAUUACGUUAAAAUUCCAUAACUUCUUCAUCCGAUGUCCGUUUUCGUCAGACUUUUCGCCGCUGCGCUACUAUUUUUGAGACCUUCGAUUCUCAUUUAGGUUGUUUCGGUCAAAAGUCUUUCGAGCUCUAUUUCGAGUUUUUAGCUGUCUACUGCUAUAUCCGGAUCUUGGAAAAAUCAUAACUUCCUCAUACGAAGUCAGAUUUGGACGUUCUUUUUAUGUACGCUCACAGUUUAAUGUUAUCUAAAACUUUCAUUUAGAUACUUAAGGCUAAAAACUAUUGUAUUGAAACUUCGUGUUUUUCGUUUAAUCGGUGUUGCCGGUUUUGCCGCGAACUUUCGGUUGGUGAUAACUUCUUCGUUAUAACUCGGAUUUUAGGGUUCUUUAUAUAUACAAAAACCUUGAUACGAUUUGUACUACUUUAUUUAACCCAAAUAUGAUUUUAGGAAAGUUAUAUUUUGACCUAAAUUUGACUGGUUUUACAUUACAUUGUCUCUAAAUAUCGGGUUGUCACACAAGGUUAGUGGCAAAUCUAAACACAUAUGGACUGAAGGUUGUAGGCUAGUGAUUAAAAAUACUCUUGAUUAGUUCUUGAAAUUAUUUCAGGAUCAUUUAGACUCCCACUGUCCUCUUGACAUAUAAGACUCUCUUGUCAAGAACCAUUCCUUGACAAAACAAAUAUUCAAGAGUUAGUGUGGAUUCUUAUCAAGACAAACACUUCACACAAUUGGCCUUAGUUGGUCUUUAUUUUAUCCAAAACAUCACAACUUACCAAUUUCAAAUGUACCAGAGUAAGAAAACAUUUUACUCUACAUUUGACAAGUAUUUUAAACCUUUCUUAAGAUUAUGUCACUCAAGGCUCUAUCUUGGAGUAUGACUCUAAGAUUUGAUUUGGAACGGACUAUGAUUUAUCUUUUGAUUUAACCAUUUCAACAAUUCAUGAUUCCUCUCCUUAGUCAAACAAAUGCACUAAGGUGUCCUUAGAGAAUCAAUUGUGAUAUAGUUUCAUAAUCACUAAGAUAGUCAUAAAAAAGGAUACUCAAGUACUCUCCCAUCUCUUCAGAUUGGAGAAACUUUUAUCUUUCUACCUUAUUUGAUUCUUCUUAUCCGUUCUGCCAUACAUUGAAACUUUUCUAAUGUUUCAGAAUUGAACUUAAACUUGUAAGCAUAACCAUAUUUACUAAACUUUUGUAAAUCAUAACGAAUAAUCUUAUCAACCUUUGUGGUGGACCUGACCAGCACACAACCAAGUGUACCUAAUCCUUUAGUCCUUCACUUGACUCACACAUAAAUGUGAACAAGGUCUUAGUCUUAAUUUCCCAAAGAUGAAAUCAUUCAUCACACAAUACAACUUGCAUGAUUCCAAGUUUCUAUACGAUUGAAACUUGGGUGAUGAGAAUCUUUCCUUAUUUGGUAAAUUACGAUACUACCACAAAUGAAAGAAUCAAAUCCAUUUACCAAUAUUGCUUAUCAAUGGAAACAUAUAAAUAACAUUAUUUUUUCAUAAAUGCCAUUGUAAGGAUACUUAAAAUAAAUAAAACAAUUUUUUUAUCUUAAAAACUUGCGGAAAAAAAUAUACUUACAAUGCAAAUACAUAUGAAAAACAUUUUGUUGUCUAUUCCUAAGCUAUAUAUAUCAUAACUCUUAUGCAGUAGCACAAAAUUCUGAUCAUCGGACCAUGCGAUCGAAAUCCACCGAAGCCAAUAGAUGGAUCAAGAAGGAUCCAGAAGAAGAUUUCGAAGAGUACCAAUAGAUGAAAUACGAGGAAGAAGAUUUCCGAGAAGGGACCAGAUAGAGAAAGAAGUUCGGGAGAUACCAUCAAUAAACCUUACCCUAUCAAGAGGAGUGUGAGAACCUCCACCUCUCAUUUCAGGAAGCAACCCGCAAUUAACUACCUAGCCACACAUAUAGACUGGAGAGGACAACCGAUGAUCCAUAACCGACAUAAACUCACUACACCGUACUUCGGGCCAUAGCACCCAUAGACCGGCAAGCAGAUCAAGAGAACAAUACGGAUCACCUACACUCCUUAGAAAAGGAGAUAGUCGUUAUAGGACAAAGAACCCUUACAGCUACAACCUGGACAGUCAUCACAGAACUGAGAACAGAGGAGGCCACUCGCGAAAUAGAAUCAUGCCGACACAUGAAGGUAAUCAGCAUACUGGUGCAACACUAGUUCUAUAAAUAGACCCUACAACAUUUCAAAUUGCGGUAACAGCCGCCGUGACAGCAGUCAUAGCACACCUCGGCGCUAACAACACAAACAAAAGCAGGAACAACGCCGAAAGUUCCAAUCGUAAUAACAACCAGGGAAACCUCGAGUAUGUUCCUGCAACGACGCCCCAAAUCAAGGACCUACUAAAAGACAACAAAUAGUGAAAUUCCAUACCACCACCAUCCCUACUACCUCAGUGCCGACAAGACCAUAUGUUGGAAACCUGCCAAAAUGCACCAAGUGUAGCUUUCAUCACAAAGGAAAGUGCAGGGAAAUGCACUGCAAGAACUGUAAUGAAAAGGGGCAUACCACAAAUUUAUGUAGGGUGCCGGCUCAACAAACCGCCCAGAACACAAAAUCUGGGAUGAGUCGGACUUGCUACAAAUGUGGAGAAGUAGGACAUUUCAUAAAGGAGUUCCCGAAGACUAAAAACAAAGAUAUCAGGAGCGUCGGAAGUGUUUUAGCAACAGAGCGUGGGAAAGAAGUAAUAGACCCCGCUGAGAUUCCGGUACGUUCAUUCCCGAUAGCACAUAUGCAUGGAUACUAUAUAAUAGCAACGCGGAGAGGAGUAUUGUGAGUCGUAGAUUUAAUCAAUUUCUCAACCAAAAACCUCAAAAACUUAAUCGAAAUUUUUACAGUAGAAUUGGAAUAAUCAAAAGCACUAGAGACGUGUACAUAGGGUGCACUCUAACACUAAAUCAAGCAAUUCAUUCAAACCAUCCUAAAACUGGUCACAAUAAAAAUUUAUGACAUUUUCAUUUUAACAACGUAUUAGUUAGUUUCCUCAACAUACCGAUAUCAUAUAUUACGAAAAGUCCAUUCGCCUAAACCCAUCGAGUAAUAGAACCCUCGUUGUCUAUGGCGACAAACCGGACACAAACCCCCGACUCACCUUUUACAACAAGACUCAGAAGUACCUACACAGGAGGUACCACGCCGUCCUAGCCCGUGCUGUGGAUAAGAAACAAGAAGAGAAAGACAUCAUGGAUGUUGAAAAAGCCCGUAACCUUCUCGAUAUAUUCCGAGAAGAUCUCCUGGGAAUACCAUCCGUACGACAACCCGAGUUCAAAAAUCAACCUAAGUGCAGUAGUUGUGGAAAAGGGUUGUUGUAAAUGCCAUCUCACCCAAGUUAAUCACCCCACUCAAGUAGAGACUAUGGACCCAUACUAGUGAAUCUAUGAUUACUAAGUGUAUAUAUUGGAGCCCUAUAUAAUUAAGAUUCUACGGACUUAGGGUUGGUAAUUCCGCUUUAAAUCCUUUUCCUUGUUUGGAUGUGGGCUUAGAAUAGAAUCACCGAUUCGACUGUCUUUUCAAUCUUAAUUAUAUACGACUUAUAAACACAAAGAGAUGAUAGAUGAAUCAGUUAUGAGUCAUACCAUGAACUCCAUGACAAGUUACCCAGGACAGUGGAUGGACAUGCUACCACUUGAGCGAUCGUAGACAAAUCAACCAAACCCACACACUUUCUACCGACCAAGGAUACAAAGAAAAAUA
Molecule: long non-coding RNA, 112828 nt
Filed under: Lactuca sativa (garden lettuce)
Lineage: Eukaryota; Viridiplantae; Streptophyta; Magnoliopsida; Asterales; Asteraceae
Description: long non-coding RNA (LSAT_LNC003408)
Source: RNAcentral